This 93437-nucleotide long non-coding RNA is filed under the name Setaria viridis. Its description in RNAcentral is "long non-coding RNA (SVIR_LNC008621)". The record is from RNAcentral. Lineage: Eukaryota; Viridiplantae; Streptophyta; Magnoliopsida; Poales; Poaceae.
CAUGGGUCCACCUAACAGAGUAGUACCUCAGUUGCACACUUUUGGGCGCUAGUGCUUUCAUUUUUAUUUUAUUUUUUUGGUUAAAAAAGAGAUACUUAAUCUAGUCUGUUUCGGCUCAUUAUUGAAGAGGUUCACGUCGCACGGCUCAAAAAAAUUCCAAGCACGUACUCCUUGGCCGUGAGACGCGGCUUCCCACACACACGUACCAGUAUACUAACCAACCGUAGCGUUGUGAAUUGCGAUGGUACACGCUGCGGGUUCACCACCAGCUGCCGGCGACCAACGACAACAUGGAGAUCACCAGCCACCAUCGGACGGAGCAUCGUGGCACCGCCACAUGGUACGGCCGGGCUGAGACGACGGGCACGAGCGGCGCCCGUGUGCUGCGGCGCUGGAAGCGGUUCCAGGAACAUGGCACCAUGCCAUCAGUACAUGCCAUGCAGUCUUUUGAUGUAGAUGCUGCUUUGCGUUGGUCAAGGAGGCCUUUUUAUUAACCCACAUGUGAUGCGCAAGAAUGGCAGCUCUGAAACACAUACACAGCCUAUGACCGGUCUCGGUUGAAGCCAUCUUAGCUAGCUAGGGCAUUUCUUGUAAGGGUUAAUCUAAUCUAACCCCAAGGCAAGGAUUAAAAAUUGCAUGCACACAUGCAUGGGGGAACUUCUUGAGUUCUUCUCACUUGGAUCAGUCUAGCAGUAAACCCAAGGAAGGGAUUAACAAUUGCCAUGCACACAUGGGGGUUGCAUUCCUUUGCAGCAUUAAACUAGAGCCGUCAGUCGGUCCAGGCUCCCCCACCGUGCAACUCCCAACAGCCACGCCACCAUGAUGCGCUAAUUCGAGCACUGUCUGAUGCCUUUUCCGCCGUCUGCAACCUGUUACCUCUGCUCCGAUCCUCUGCACUGGAGCAGAACACAGUACAGGUUACUGACCUUGCCGUUAGUGGUUGCACGCCAGCACUGCAGCACAGGUGUGGCUGUGGCUGGCCUCCUUGGCUCUUUUGGUUACAGGCAUGUGAUGUGAGCAAAGUCGAGCAUGCACACGCACGCUUUUUCAGCAUGCAAUUGCACUUGCAGCUGCCAUGAACACGCGCAGCUUUGCUAGUUCUAUCAACGUCUAACCAAUUGCUGGUGUGGAUGCAGCUGCAGUUGAUCCAAGCUCAACGCAAAGUUUGCAAUGAUUUUUUUGGCCUACAGUUGGACGCAUUUGAUUAUGAAUGAUAGCAGUGCUAAAAAUGAAUUUCAGAUCAAAUUUACGUGUGGUGGCAACCUGUCAAAUGAUUACUGAUGGGGAAACAAAAAAAAAUGACAGAUUUGAUUAUGCAUGAUGACACUGCUAAAUGAUGAAUUUUGAGCGCAAAUCAAGACCUAGCAGCUAAUUAAUGCCGGCACUGUCACACAGGUUCUACGCGGCCGAGGUGGUUGCCGCGCUGGAGUACAUCCACAUGGUGGACAUCGUGUACCGCGACCUCAAGCCCGAGAACGUCCUCGUCCGCGCCGACGGCCACAUCAUGCUCACCGACUUCGACCUCUCCCUCAAGUGCGACCCCACCGCGCCCACGCCCGCUCACGUCAUCUCCGACCCGCUCUCCUCCCUCGCCGGCCGCUCCGCCGCCGUGUCCACGUCCUGCACCAUCUCCUCCUGCAUCGUCCCCACCGUGUCCUGCUUCCAGCUCUUCCCCGGCCGCGGCCGCAGCCGCCGGCGCCGGCGCUGGCGCACCAAGAAGCCGUCGUCGUCCAACAGCGGAAACAUCAGCAGAUUCCCCUCCGGCGGCAGUGGUGGGCUCGAGCUGGAGUUUGUUGCCGAGCCAGUGGAGCUCCGGUCCAUGUCGUUCGUCGGCACGCACGAGUACCUGGCGCCCGAGAUCGUGUCCGGGGAAGGCCACGGCAGCUCCGUCGACUGGUGGACGCUGGGCGUCUUCAUCUUCGAGCUCCUCUACGGGGUGACCCCGUUCAAGGGCUACGACAAUGAGAUGACGCUGGCAAACAUCGUGGCGCGCGCGCUCGAGUUCCCCAAGGAGCCCUCGGUGUCGUCGGUCGCCAAGGACCUCGUCACCGCGCUACUCGCCAAGGACCCCGCCCGGCGGCUCGGCGCCACGGUUGGCGCGGCCGCGAUCAAGCGGCACCCGUUCUUCAGCGGCGUCAACUGGGCGCUGCUCCGGUGCGCCACGCCACCGUACGUGCCGCCGCCGUUCAGCUUGGGGAAUAAUGUCAAGGGUGGUGCGGCUGGUGGUGGCGGUGCCGGCAGCAGCGCCAACGAUGACGGCAUGUCGGACGACGACGACAGUUGUCCCGGCACGCCCGUGGAGUACUACUAGACAAGCCAAGGAGAAGCGUCCAUAUGUCGACCUGCGCGUGUGUGAAAAGAAGCUGCCUGCCCUGCCCGGCCUGAUGCCAUCGCCGGGACCCGAUCAGGCAGCUCUUGUCUGAGUCCGGCCGAGCCGGCGCGCGUGCACGUGGUGGGGGAUGGACCACGGCGCGAGCACGAGGCAGCCGGGUCGGGGGGGACACCGCGCGCUGUCGCCUCAAGUGGUUGCGAGCUGCCUGUCUCCGAGAGCUCUUGCGCCAUGGCAAGCAGGCGACAAUGCGCACGCUGUAUGAAUAACUUAAUGCCGUUCUUGUUGCAGUUUUUAGCACUAGUACAUGUCUUAACCUGGCUUCAGUUGUGGCAAUUGCCAGGUCGCAUUGGUUAGUGCCUGUCUCUGGAAAAUGUGUAGCUAGCUAGAGCUAAUACAUGCGGGGGUGUUGCUUGGAACGCAUAGGAAAUUCUUGUGAAAUCUCGUGUUCCAAGCAGGACCUUUUUGGAAUUGUAUCAUGCAUGUUCUUGAGUUUUUCACUUGUUGUGUUAUCAUAUACCAUCGUUAAUUACUUGCUAGUACCAUUAAGAACGUAGAAAAGCACAAGUCCAAUUCAUUCUUGGCAGAUGGCAAGGAGAUGUGCAGUUGAUGUAAGCAUGAGCGGCGAGUUGGAGAUGAGGUGGGGGAGGGACCUCGUCAGGGCAGGCGCGCGGCUAAUGAUACGAGGUCCGGGGCUUGGGCGGCAACCAGGGGACACGAGACGCGGAGACGAUGAUGGGAGCAGCAGUGGGCCUGGGAAGGAAUUUCUUUCACGCCGCGCUCGUGCGCCUCGCGCUGUAUGAUCACAUCACCCGCGGCCGGUUCACGGCCGGACGACGCCUACUUCUAGAGGCGAUGGGCGUGAAAGAGGGAGGAAGGGAAUGUAAAGCGGUAAAGACGCUGCUGCGCACAGAGAAAAGUUACUACCAUACCAGCUGGACUGUAUAGAAAGGCAAAGCCAGUGGUAAAAGGAGUAUAAAAGGCCUAAAGGAUACACAAACUGCAGUUGCAAUGAUCGUUCUACAGGACGUGCCAUCGAAUGCAUGCCAGUCUACGCUGACACAGAUGAAAUGCGGCAAAUCCAAAGAAGAUGCUGCUGCUUCACCUUCACUUCACCGGAUGAGAACACUGUGUGCUUGCAUCUUCCAUGUCCAAACAUAAGAUGAUUCUUUUUUUUUUUCGUUCACAAACAUUUAAAAACUCAAGCCACUUAUUAACUGAGAGAGAACGUUUGGUUUGGUGCUUGAGGAUCUUUUUUUUCCCUAAGAAGAAUAACACAGAAACUCCAAUGUCGAGAGAUUUAGCCCAACACGAUAAUAAUUUUAGGCCUGAUGCCCUUGUUGGGCUGGCCCUGCCUGGGGCAGACAAUAAUUUCAACUGGAAAUCAUCAGGCCUUUCUUCGGCCCGGCCCAAGAUAUGGAUUUCCUCUUGAUGGGCCCAAGCUGCAGGGCUAGUCAUGUACUCCAGUCAUCCCACGUCACUAGCAGCGUUCGGCAAUCAAGCUUUUCUGACAACCUGCCACACUGCAAAUCGAGGAAUUUCAUAAUCAACUCUCCCUCGAACUUCCCGCGCCCCGCUGACUUCCCUUCAGUCAAACCCAAGAUCCUGCCUGCUCCGUCGCCGGCACGCCCCCACGACCCACUCAGCCACUAUCCCCCACAGCGUUUGCAACGCAGCGAUCGAAUGCGUACGCCGGCGGGCGGCGGAUGGCUGCUGCAGCCGCGGGGCAGCAGCAGCAAGCUCACACAGCGGGCCAUCAACAACAUCAGGUUCACCCUGCUCUGCGCCUUCGUCACGUUCCUCGUCCUCCGCGGCACCGUCGGCGUCAACCGCCGCCUCGUCUACAUCGCCGGCUCCGACCGCGCGCCGCCCGGCGCAAAGGCCACAGAGGACAUCGAGCGCAUCCUCCGCGAGAUCCGCGCCGACUCCGACCCCGACCCCGAACCCAACGACGACGGCAACACAUCGCCGUCGACCCGGGCAACGCGGUACUACGACCGCGGCAGCGCGUGGUCGACGGCGAACUACAGUCUGGGGCCCCGGGUCACGCGGUGGAACGCCAGGCGCCGGCGGUGGCUGCACCUGAACCCGGGGUUCCCGUCCCGCGAUGCGCGCGGCAACCCGCGCGUCCUGCUCGUCACGGCCUCGCCGCCGGGGCCCUGCGACGACCCCGCCGGCGACCACUUCCUGCUCCGGGCGACUAAGAACAAGAUCGACUACUGCCGCCUCCACGGCAUCGAGCUCGCGCACAUCACUGCGCGCCUCGACGGCGAGCUCACGGGCGGCUGGGCCAAGCUCCCGCUGCUGCGCCGCCUCAUGCUCGCGCACCCGGAGGUGGAGUGGCUAUGGUGGGUGGACGGCGACGCGCUCGUCACCGACAUGGGGUUCGAGCUCCCACUCGCGCGCUACGAGGGCGCCCACCUCGUCGUCCACGGCAAUUCCUACCUCCUCUUCCAGCUCCGCUCCUGGGUCGCCGUCAGCACCGGCAGCUUCCUGAUCCGGAACUGCCAGUGGUCGCUGGAGCUGCUCGACGCCUGGGCCGUGAUGGGGUCCAGAGGCCGCGCCCGCAACGACGCCGGCAAGCUGCUGACGGCGACCCUCCAUGGACGGCCGGCGUUCGAGGCCGACGACCAGUCGGCGCUCAUCCACCUGCUGAUCACCGAGAAGGAGCGGUGGAUGGAGAAGGUGUACCUCGAGAACGAGUACUACCUGCACGGCCACUGGUCGGGGCUCGUCGAUCGGUACGAGCAGGCGAUGGAGAAGCACCACCCGGGUUACGGCGACGACCGGUGGCCGUUCGUCACGCACUUCGUCGGAUGCAAGCCUUGCGGCGGCGGCGUCGGCAGGUCAAUCAGGAGCGGCGGCAAUUCCAGUGACGAGUACCCGCUGGACCGGUGCGUCAGGGGAAUGGAACGCGCCUUCAACUUCGCCGAUAACCAGGUUCUCCGGCUGUACGGCUUCCGGCACGAGUCGCUGGCGAGCGCCGAGGUCAGGCGGGUGACGAACCGGUCGGCGAACCCGCUGGAGGCUAAGGAGGAGGCUAUCUCUUUCUUGAAGAAACCCAAGGACCCGGAUGUCAAGAGCCAUGAUGUACGCAGAAAUCGAAAGCGCAAAGGAAAGAGAGACUCUGUUCUUGAAAGAAUUCUGAAGAGGCUGGGAUGGACGCCUGAGAUUUGAUAAUUUUUUUAAUGUUCUUGUAUUUCAGUUUGCAGUAGCUAGAGCUAGCACACACAGCAACAAGAACAUACAGCAAGUGAUCUGCAGUUACUUGUUUGUUGUUUUAGUUCUGGGUUGAGUCAGGACUCAGGACAAAUGAAUUGGCGGAAGAGGUUCAAACAUUGCUACGUUCAGAGUCUUCAGUAAAUAGUACUAAUUGAAGUCACGCUGACUCUGAAAUCUCUGUCUAAAGUACUAAUUGAUCAGAUUUCCCAGCUUUGACAUAGCAUAGAUCUGCUGAUGAAAAUGAUAGCACUACCAAUUCUUCAGAUAAAAUAUUUGCGCAUUUGUUGUGCAAAGAGAACUGAAACGAAGCCACUCUGACGAGCAUUAGUGCUACAACUCAAAAUACUGUGUUUGAACCAUACGUUUCUUGCCUGUUUCAUUUUGACCUGAAUCCUAAACAAAACAACUAGUACCAGCGAAAUCUGAAGAAUUGUUGUGUAUUAGUGGCACAAUUCACAGUCGCAUUGUUUGAACCAUGCAUUUCUUGCCUAUUUCGUAUUGCUCUGAAUCCAACUAAAAACAUCGAACACACUUACUGCUUGCACUAGCUACUGCAAAACUGAAAGCCAAGAACAAACAAAGAACUCAGAAAAACUUGUAACUUUCAAGAACAUAGUCUCCCUCUCUCUCCAACGAGGCCUACUAGACGCGCUGGAACUUGGCGUCCAUCUUGAGCGCGGCCUCCUUGGCCUCGAGCGGGUUGGCCCUCGGGUCGGUGACCCUCCUGACCUUGGCGCUCACCAGCGACCGGUGCUGGAAGCCGUAGAGCCUGAGCACCUGGUUGUCGGCGAAGUUGAAGGCGCGCUCCAUCCCCCUCAGGCACCGCUCCAGCGGGUAGUCCUCGUACCUCCCGCAGGUCUUGCACCCGACGAAGUGCGUGAUGAACGGCCAGCGGUCGUCGCCGAGCCCCGGGUGGUGCUCCUCCAUCAUCUGCUCGUACCUGUCCACCAGCCCCGUCCAGAAGCCAUGGAGGUAGAACUCCGUCUCGAUUUGCACCUUCUCCAUCCACUUGUCCUUCUGGAUGAGCAGCAGGUGGAUCAGCACCGACUGGUCGUCGGCCUCGAACGGUGGCCGGCCGGACAGGCUCGCCGUCAGCAGCUUCCCGGCCUCGAUGCGGGACGGGCCUCUUGGGCCCAUGGGCACCCACGCGUCAAGCAGGUCCAGCGACCACUGGCAGUUGCGGAGCAGGAAGAUGCCGGCGUUGAGGGAGAUCCAGGAGCGCUUCUCGAAGAGGAGGUCCGGGUAGCCGUGGACGACGAGGUUGCGGCCCUCGUAGCGGGAGAACGGGAGCUCGAAGGCCAUGUCGGUGAAGAUGGCGUCGCUGUCCAUCCACCAGAUCCACUCCACCUCCGGGUGCGCCAGCAUGAGGCGGCGCACCAGCGGGAUCUUGGACCAGUACCCCGUCAGCUCCGGGUCCAGGUGCGCCAUGUUGUGCACGAUGUCCAUGCCGUGGAGCCGGCAGUAGUCGAUCUUGUUCUUGAUCGCCUUGAGGAGGUAGUGGUCGCCGGCGGGGUUGUCGCAGGGCCCCGGCGGCGAGCCGGUGACGAGCAGGACCUUCGGGUUGCCGCGCGCGUCGCGGGAAGGGAACUCCGGGUGCCGGGACAGCCACUCCUGGCGCUGGGAGUCCCAGUCGCUCACCUUGGGGCCCAGGCUGUACUCCUUCACCUUGAUCAGCGUCGCCGACGGCGAGAACGAGAAGUUGCCGAAGCCGCCGGCCGUCACGUUACUGGGGGACGACGAGGAGGAGGAGCCGCCGUCCCCGACGAAGACUACGACCUCGUCGGGCUCGGAGUCGGAGCGGAUCUCGGCGAGGAUGCGCUCGAUGUCCUCGACGACCUUGGCGUCGGCAGCGGCGCCGUCGGGGUCGCCGCUGUUGACGAGGAGGUUGAAGCCGGCGGUGCCGCGGAGGACAAGCACGGUGAUGAAGCCGCAGAGGAGCGUGAUCUUGAUGUUGUUCAUGGUCCGCUGCCGCUGCUUCUUGAUGCUGCUCGCACGCAUCCGCCCACCGCCGCCGGCCACCCCCAUGCUGCUACCUCGCGGAUGGAUCUCUCGAUCGUCGUUGGAAGCUGUGAGAGCUAGUGAUUGAUGGGGCUGUCGGGUGGAGUUAGAUGUAUAGGGAGGAGGGACAGGGUUUUGGACGAGCAGGAGCAGGCAGGAACGUUCGGUUCCAGGAGGUGGCACGUUUGUGUGCAGUGGAAGUCAGCGGGGGCGCGGGAACUACGAGGGAGGAGGUGAAUACGAAAUUGCUCGGAUUUUGCAGAGAGGUACGGCAGGCGAGAGCACGAUUCCCGUUCUGCAUUACUAUAUGCUCACCGUCCCGUAGGGAGAUGUCAGAAUGUGACUAUCGUGAGGUUCUGCAUGCUGUGCUCUUUGUUGACUAUAAUUGGAGAGUGUGACAGUGUGUGCUUCUUCAACCGAGGGCUGUGCAUGUAGCGAUAUUAUUUACUAUAGGGCUUCCUUUAAGAUUUUAGUAGUAACGCAAAUCUACCCUGGCUGUAAGAUACUAGAUAUAUAGGAGAUUAAUUGUUCUAAGGGGUAAAAAAGGGAGAUUCUUCACCAAAGCCCUAUUUCUGCAAAAAUAUAAUUCACUCAACUUUGCACACUUGCUGAAUUCUGCAGUAUAGGAAGCAAGAACAAACCAAGAGUCGGAUCUCUGCAUCACAGAACAAUAGUGUCAAUGCAAAAUUACUGUAACCAAUAGUUGCAGGGGAUGUCUCUUGUUAUUAUUAUGUGGUUUUUGAGCCCUGUUUUCCUUAAAAACUAUGGCAAAGAUCUUGCCAUCCUUUCGGAAUAAAAUAAUAAUUACAGUUGGCGUAGACUUCAUGCUCUAGGCCGGUGUGACAGGUCUACCAUUUCCAUUGCUUGCAUUCUGAUCUCAGCUGGAUAAUCAUUCACACACCCAAUCCUUGGACCAGCCCCAGUGCUCCAUUUCAUGGACAACUUGUGCCCAAGCUGGUAAGAUUUAGACUCGCUCUUGGAUUUUAUCCUCUCAAGAAUUGCCUUCUGCGGGACAUCAAUGGCAGCUUUUGGGCUACGCAAACCACCUGAUAAGGUUCUUUGGUAUGUUAGCUUGGCUUGUUCUUCAGGAGCAUCCUUGCCUUCAUCACCUUCCAUUGUGUUUGGAGAGAGAACCACUUGUGGGGUAUUGGCAGAAACGACAAUGUUCUGUGUAUCGUUAGGCGUUGGAUCGUCGCAGCAGUCAUCUUUGGUGAAUGGACGUGCCUGAAUGGUCAAAACUAGCUCCUUAUGAGAAAACCCAUCUAUGACAACAUAUGUAAAUCUGAUAUUGUGAUGACUAUAUUGGUCUACCUUGAUUUCUUUGAGAUCAACCCCACUCUCUUCAAGGAAUUUCAUGAAAUUGACGAGGUUCUCCAUGCUUGGCUUGUAAUGACCACUGUAGGUCACGAUGGACUUAUCCAAAAAUAAUAAAAAAAUAGAAAAACAUGAGAGCAGGACAAAUCAAAGUAUGGAAUAAUACUAUCUUUUGCUCUAGGCAGAAAUACAAGGGGUCAACAAAAUCCAUGGCCGUCGCAAUUAACUUCCAUGGUGGUUGUUUCAAGAUAAGUAACUAACUUGAUGGGUAGGACUAUAGUAGAUACAAAAGUAUACAUUUUGCUAUGCUAACUCCACAAGUCACAAACAUAUUUAUAAAUAAGAUCAAACUUUUGAUAUGUAUUGAACAUUUAUCCUUGAAAACAGAUGUAUCUCUGAAUUCUUGUUUUUAAAUUUGUAUAAUAGUGAAUUAAUUAAGGGAUCAUCAACUGUUGGACAAAAACAUAUAUAUUCGGCUUGGUCAUAAAUUUAGAAUUAAUGAACAACAUAAGCAAGAAUACUAAGGAUUUUUUUACAAAUAAAAACAAAGUGUUUUUUUACCAAGAAAGUAAAAAAAAGCACCACAUCAAACAGUGAUGUCACAGUGGGGCAUACAACAAUACCUUGAUCACUCCAUUUUCUGCUGUAAGUUUUCCAGCAGCUAUGAUAGCACCUCCUGCUAAAAAGCUAGAGUGCUGAAAUACACCUUUCUCCUUCUGGAUGAAUAAAUCAGGUUAUAGAAAUAUAUAUUGGCCUAAUCAUAAGCUAAAAGAAUUGCUAUAAUAUUGUUUCUAGAGCAUUGCAAGUAUGGAAGUCGUUGAAAAAGUAAACAAGGUACCUUGCCAGAAUAAAGUUUUCUUGCUGUGCUCAUUACAAAAAUCCACUCAGCUUCUUCAGGACCUUGGCUUGUAUCAAGUGGUUCUCCAGAUUGCUUAUGGAUAACCUUUCCCUCAUUAAUGAUGUAUUCAUAGAGCUCAUGCUCUCGCUGUAGAACAUAGGGAACUUAAUAGAACUUACUUCAUACAUAGUAGUAGUAUGUUUAGUAGAAACCGAAUGAAGAGCUUGUCUAACAAAGAAUUCCUUUUUUCCAAUUUAGCAGUGUGCCGUGUUUAAAGUCAAAUGCAUUUUUGCAUAGUCAUAACUAAUGAGAAAAAACAAAUAAGUAGCAUGAACAAAAGUAGGUCAGGUCAUGGCAGAUGAUAUUCACGUUUCAUUUAAAACAAUAAUUGAUAUUUGAGGCUAUGUAAAAAUACAGCAUAUCAACAAUUUUAUUAUUAAUAAAAAUAUUACAAAAAUAUGCAACACAUAUUUGAACAGGGAAAAAAUAUCUUUGAAAAGGUGAACUUAUCUUUACAUAACAACAAUAGUGGCAUUUAAUAAAAAAAAGCAUCAUAUAACUAAAUUGAGGUUUUAUGGGUAAAGUGUCAAGCCCUUAUACAAACUCUUCUCGCAAUAUUUUGAUACCGAUAUAUGGCACGAUUUAUGGAUAAAGAUAGCCUGAACAUAUAUUUCUUACAGGACCGAGGUAUUUUAUGCAUUGCUUCUUAAGCAGAGUUCUUGGACACUCAGGGAGAUCAAUAUAUUUUCCAUUCCCAACAUCAAGCCUGCAAAUGGAAGCGGACUUGCUAAAAUUGCCAUGCAAUCGAACUAACAUCUUAAAUUGCUCAAAAGUUUUUCAAUAUGCACAUAUAUAUUAUCAUAUGUUAUGCCAACUGCAUCAACUUGUUCUAUUACGAAAAUAUGCAAAUGCAGUAUGUUCUCACCAAUAGAAGAAGGGCUGGCUGGCUUGGCUUUGGCACCAAAAAUCAUAGUAGAAGUGCAGGUUGUGCCCAGACCGAUGUUGUGGAUCGAUCUACAAAGCAACCAGUGGAUAUAUUAUAUAUUAUUAUAGCGCUACCGUUGAGAGUGUUGAAUAUGCUGAAAGUGGCAUCUUUUAACCCACAUGCAGUUACAAUGAAAAAUCCUAAGAGUAAUUAAUAUUGAAUUAAAAGUAGUGGUAGUGGAUUGGUACUAGUUAUACUCACAGCCUCGAGCCAGUGCUGUGAAGCCAACUUGAGAGCCUUGCUAUCUCUAGAGAGACCUUGACCAACCUGGGUCAAUCACAUAAAUAUAUGACAAAGAGAGCGAUGUCGGAGAAGUCAAAACAAAAUGAGAUUUCCCAGCAUAAUGAACAUUUGUGAAGUAUAGCGAUUGAAACCUUAGAUGCUUUGAGGCUAACUCGAUUCCAAUGUGAUGCUACACUCUUAGGCUUGGGUUCAACGAAGGAGAUAGUGCUAUGGUUGAGCCGUGCAAAGUUCAGCGCUUGCCACCUUCAUUCAUCCAAACUCAAACCCUAUUAUUGUUUUAUCAAAACUUAUUUGGACACGCAUCAAGGAGAAUCAAUUUAGUUUUUCUUUGGGACCUUGCAUUCUCCAUGAACUCCAAAUAAUACAUAGUAUCAAGAACCAAAACAAGAUAAGUGGUAGGGAAAAGUUACAGGAAAAAAUAUCUUCCAAAGUAGCAAAUUAAAAUGGCCUACAUAAUUAAUCACUUAGAGCACCAAUGUACUAAAACACGUAAAAAUUUUAAACCAACUUAAGUUUAUAAUUGGAUUCAAGAAGACAAAGCUAUACUAUAUUCUAACCAAGGCUAGCUAAUUAUAAAAAUGAUGACCACAUGGAUUUUGGUUACCCUGGGAACCUUGCAAUGAUGUUGUAAAAUAUGGAUACAUAAGCUAGCAGGUAUCAAAGGAUCCAUAGUUGGGAUUAUAAAUCCCAAGUCUAGGCUAUAGAUUCUCUUUUUGUUGUCAACCACAUAAAACUCAAACACGUUAAAUAUCUUUGCAUCAUCAUCUUCAAUUUGGUCAUGUCCGAACAUGCAAAGUAUUUGUUAAAAUUGUAGUGAAUUUUUAAAUAAAUUGUCCUUUUUCUCAUAUUUUUGCUAUACCUUAAUAGAGAUGUUUUGCUGCUUUUUGAAAUUUACUCCCUCCGUCUUGAAAUAUAAGGAUUUUUAUUUGUUCUAAGUCAAAUUACUCUAAGUUUGAUCAUCUAACACAUUAAAUAAGUAAAUUAUAAAAAUAUAUUUCGUAAUGAAUCUAAUUAUGCUCAUUUGAUACGUUAAAUAUUAUUGCUCUUUUCUACAAUUUGGUAAGUUUGAUCAUCUAACACAUUAAAUAAGUAAAUUAUGAAAAUAUAUUUUGUAAUGAAUCUAAUUAUGCUCCUUCGACUACAAUUUGGUCAAAUUAACAUUAGUUUGACUUAUUAGAACAAACCAAAAUACCUUGCAAUUCAGAAUGGAGGGAGUAUAUAUUUUGUUAAAAUUACAAUAUUUUUUUAAUUCUAGGUUACUGCUAUGCUGUUGAAUAUGUUUACUCAAGCUUAUAAAAGGUGAGGGAAUUAGAGUUGGUGAAUUAGUGCUGCUAAUUGAAAUUGUGCACGUAUAUAUAUGUAUUUUACAAUAAGAUUCAAUCGAACAAACCUGGAGAAAUUCGCUUCAAAAAAACAAACCUGGAGAAAUCUCACCCAGGGAAACUAAGAAAGAGCAGAGGAGAGGAGUCGUCUAUAAAAAAGAAGAGGUAAAGCAGAGGAAGAGAGAAAGGAAAGGGCAAAAGUGGUGUGGGGUCUCGUUACCAGAGCUCUUCUACAACGACGGCGGAAUCGGCGAGCUUCCGCCUGGUCCGGUAGCCACGGUACGCCUUCUGCAGCUUGGUCGCCGCCGCGUCAUCCAUGCUGCCGCCGUUUCCCGCAACCGGGCACCUCGGAGAAUCCGCAGCGCCGAAGCCGGCCGGAGGGAAAGCCGCCUCCGUCUCCAGCUUCUGAUUUCUAUGAAGACCGAGCAAGCAGUUUUAGCUUGGUCGCGAGGCAGAGGAUGACUGCAGCUAGCCUUCACGAGUAGGCGCAGGAAAGCAUCCCAUUCCCGUUCGCCUUUAGACUAAGACUACUAUAAUCCUGGUAACAAGAAGUAUACCACGCAUUCUGCGCAUGCAAUUGUUAAUUCUCUUUUGAAGGAGCCCUCACCAGAAUUAACAAUAAUGGCAUAUGGUUCGUUAUCAAAAGAAGAAGAUGACCCCGACCGAGGCCAGUCGUAGGCUGUGUAGGUAUUUCAGAGCUGUCAUUCUUGCGCAUCAUCGUCUCCACGAGAGAGGAGCACUAGUGAUGGUCUGGUGUCAUGUUCCCGGAACGGUUCCUGCGCCGUAGCAGACGGGCGCCUCUCGUGCACGUCUUCCCAGCCGGGCGUACGUAGCAUGUGCCAUGAUGUGUUGAUGGUGGCGAAUUGGCGAUCUGUCCAUGUUGUUGGUCGCCGGCAGGUGAACCCGCUGCACGGGUGAUUCAUUGGGUUGCAUGAUCAGUGCUAUCCUUGUGGUAAGAUAUUAGACAUAGGAGAUUCAUUGCUUCAUCAAGAUUAAAAAAAGGAUAUUCCUUCACAAAAGCGCUAUUUGUGCAACAAUGUAAGUCAGACAAGAAACUGCUGAAUUCUAGCUAGGAAUUAAGCAAGAACAAACCAAGAGUCCGACCUUUUCACUUUUGCAAUACAGAAAUAUCAACGCAAAGCUACAGUAAAAACUCAUCCCUCGUGGAGGACUUGCUCCAAGGUAUUGCAGUAAAAAGAAUUUUUUCGCAAGCUGCAGGAUCGAAAAAAGACCAAAGGCCGGAUACCCAUGACUUGCUCUGAAACUAGCCACAUGCAAGGGGCCUUUUUUGUGAGAUUCAGUGUCACACCCCAAAAUUUUUAUUUUGGGCUGUGAAUAAACAAAAUCAAUAAAAUCAGUUUUUUUCUUAUUUAUAAAAUAUUCCAACAAUUAGUUAAUAGCACAACACUUAAUUAUAUGAAAUAAAUAGUUUCUAAAUUAAACAAAAUAGUCAAUAUAGGUUAUAUAUUUUUGUUUGGCUCACGGGUCAUGCCAAAUAGUUUGCAUCUGGGGUUUCUUGUUUGGAAAGUGUAUUUCAAAAUUCGAUAGAAGUUCAUUUCAACAUAAUUUGAGUUAGAUUAAAUCCUAAACACCAUUUGGACCGGCUCACUCUUUGUUUCUUCCUUCCUCUUCUUUUCUUUUUGCUUUUCGGAACCGAAACCGAACCAUUCAUUCUCUCCAACAGGACCGAGCUCAGAUUCAGCACAAACCGCCAGCCCGACAAGCUCCUUCUUCUCUCUUGCUCGGCGCGGCAACAGCCUGCAUGGAACCACUGCCCUCGCCGCAAACAGCAAGCAUCAGGUGGAUCCCGAACAUCUCUAGUGGUAUCAUCUAGGUUUCUGAACUCUCAAAAUGCAUUAUUGGAUUAUGAACUUAUCUUAGGGCGAUGUCAUCAUCUAGAUUCCCAAACUCUCAAAAUGUAUUUGAAGUCCCUGAACUUUUCUCAGGGUGUUAUCCAAGUCCCCAAUAAAGUCUCAAACUGCAUUUUCGGUCCGAAAUCUUGUCAGGUGCUAAGCAUGAGAGGAUGGUGGAGCAGGAGGCUAGUGACGAUGGUGUAGGAGUUGGAGGAUGACUAGGGGCUAAGAUCUGGCUGGUGCAUAGGCUCAGGCAUGGGUCUUGCAACCAGAAGGUGAGGUUUGUUGCAGUGUCGCCGAUGCUUGAUUGCUGGAGCUAGGACACAGUAGCCUGGGCAGGAGAGAAAACAUCACGGUGGCAGGAAGGGGCGAGAUCUAUCAUGAGAACUAGGAGUCCUAAUCUUUCCCUCCGUUUGGUUUAGUAAUGACGUUAUGAGUUUAAGGAUCUAAAAAGGUAUUUAGAGAGUUUAACGGCUCCGGAUGACAUUUCGGGAGAAAUGUGGAAUCUAGAAAUUUAUUUUAAGAAUUUAGAUAUCUAGAUGGUACCUUGGGAUAAGUUUAGCACCUUAAAAUAUAUUUUGAGUGUUUAGAGACCUAAAUAACACAGUAACAGUAAGACAGGUUCAGGAACCACCCAUGCAUUUUGCCAACCUCACUAAUAGCUCAUAUGUUAGAGUCUUAAUUAGACCACCCUUACAGAAAUUCUCGGACUUCGCGCAACUGCUUUACGUAGGAGCAGCUCUAAGUAUAAUAUAGUAAAACCAUAAAUGACGAUACAUAGGAACAACAAAAUGAAAUUAGUCACAAGCUUAGUGAUAACUUUAUCCUGCACGCACUGAGUGAAUCAUGGCAGAAAAAAGUCAUUAGAGAGAUGCUCCCUCUGCCUGAAAUCUAAGAUAUUGUGGUUAGCAUAAGUUUGAUCAAAUUUAUAAAAAAAAAUCUCAUCGUAGGCACACCGACGUAUAACAGCGCCUCAUUCAUGCACGCCACCAGCAUACAUCACAUCACAUUUUAUUGGUUAGUUAUACGCCGGCGUGCCUGCGAUGAGAUCCUUUUUUCUAUAAAUUUGGUCAAACGUAGGCUAACUAAAGUCUACAGCACGUACAACUGCCACAAAGUCUACAGCGUUCCACGUGCUCCAUCGACCGAUCGAUGAUUCAAAGUAUCUUAGUAUCACGCAUGGCGGUUUGAUGCAUGCGAUACAUGUACAGCGUACUAGUGCUAUUCUGUCAAGAGUUAGGCGCUAGGUCCAUGACUCCAGCGGCCAAUCCAGUCUCCAGGCGAUCACGGCCCCAUGCCCAGCCCAGGCCAGCCUUGCACUAGGUUUUGUUGCAAGUAGUCUCCAGGUCCACAAACUGGAAAUGCUAGCAGGUAGUCGUAAGCAUGAAACACUAGCGUGCAGGGUAUAGCCAGGAACUCAUUUUUUUUUCAUUGUUAGGGGAACCAGCAAUAGUAUUUUUUUUGAAUUUGGUUCAAUUCAAAAAAUUUCAGUGGAAAAUCGGAAACCAUAGGGAAUCCAAGCCCCUGCCCCCCUCCCUCCACCACUGAAAACUUGUGCAUCGUCGUCGUUUUAAUUUGGAGCCGAUGGAGAGAUCAGAUGUCAAGGAGGACACGCUCCAUGGGUGGAAACUUUGGCUUCAUCGGUGUACGAUAACCCCGGAGAGACACUUGCAACCUGACUGGCUUGCGUGCACACGCUGCUAGGCGGCUACGCUAGGCCAAUGCAGACACUAGCUUCUGCCGAGCGAUCACCCUGCAUGCCCGCUGGCCUAUAAAUACCAGGUAUCGGCAAACUUGAAGCAGGCACACAAACACACACGGUUGGGAUUUGGGAACACAGCUAGGUAGCGAUGGCAUCCAACAAGUCCUCCAUAGCUUCCCCUGCUCUCAUGUUCCUAGCCGUGGCAGCACUCAUAUUGGCCACUUCUGUGCGGGCCCAGACACCCGCUCCUACGCCGGCACCGACUCCAGCUCCAGCGCCGGUGCCGGCCCCUACACCUACGCCUACUCCAGCACCAACCCCGGCUCCGACGCCUGCACCGACGCCAGCACCCACUCCAGCUCCGACGCCUGCACCGACUCCAGCUCCGACGCCAGCUCCGACGCCAGCACCCACUCCAGCUCCGACGCCAGCACCUGUGCCCACGCCUGCCCCGGCACCAUCCCAAGGUCCUUGUCCUUCUGGCUUCCCUAACCUCGCCGCGCUUGUAUUAGCGAAGCCGGUGUACCUUAGACGCGGUAUCGUCCUGACUCUCUUCCCUAAGCCGGUCCCCCAAGGCACCAGCACCAAAGUAUGCGUGUGCUUUCCCUCUACUAACAUCACCAUCGUCGGCCUCGUCAAGCCCAACUUGGCUGGCCCCUACACAUGCGUGCGUGGGCAGAGCCUGAACGUACUUCCAUGAGAAUGCGUACGCACGACCCAAAAUGUGCCGCAUGUAUAUGCAUGCGAUCAUGUCCGCGUGCGUCCAAUUAACUACUCGUAUACGUACUAUAUACAUACAUACACUAUAGAAUAACGAGCUCAUCCUGCUGUAUGCGAAUGCAUGCGCCGUAUCUGCAUGCGGAUGAGAUUGAGAUCUACAGAUGCAUGUAACGUGUGUGAAAUGCAUGUUCGUGUAAUCAUGUUGUGUUUUGUACGUGUGCUCACCAAAUACAUAUAUUUAUUGGAAGAAUCUAUAUUGAUUAAAUGCUUUCAUUAUUACUUCUCCUGUCAAGUAUUUUUCACGCUACUACGUGUCCUGCAGUUGUUAUACAUGUUCGAAUUCGAUCAUAAGAUGAUAUGCAACAUAAAGGUCGAUGUAUCACUCAAUGAUAUGCAACAUAAAGAUCGAUGCACUUCGUGCUACUACUUAUUUAUCGCUGUUGACUUUUUACCACGAUGUUUGAUUAUUUGUCUUAUUCAAAAAUUUAAUGCAAAUAUACAAAAAGAUCAGUCAUGCUUACAAUAUCAUUGCUGAUAAUUAAUUACAAACUAAACAAACACUACGUACAUAUUUUUUGAAUAAGAUGAAUAGUCAAACACCAUGAUCAGAAGUCAACAUCGACAAAUAUUUCGAUACGGAGGAAAUACCAAGUAAGAAAAUAUUUGCAUCAGCCUUCUCGCAUAUGAAGUAUGCCUCCAUCUAAUAGAGGUAGCACCACACCGCUAUCUUGUCCACACGCAUUGGUCCUUUUAAUUAUGAUUGCUAACAUGUCUGCUAUAAUGUUAAAUAAAAUGGGGGAUAAAGGAUCUCCUUGUUGAAGAUUUUUUCCUUGUUACCAAUCCCGGUUCCAGCCAGACUCCAUUCAGAAAAUGAUUCCUGGGUCCUACUCGGGUUUGGAAAAAUAAGAACAUUAACAUUUAUUGCCACACUCCAACCAGAAACAAAAAAAAAUAGUAUCCAAGAUAUUCACUUGGAUGAGAACCCUUCUAUUUGAAGUGUUUGCAGUAGGAACGGCCAUCUCGCUUUAUCGUAAGCCCUUUCAAAAUCAAUUUUUAUAAAAUAACCCACUUUGUUUCCUUCAACGUAGCUCAUCAUGAACAUGGUCUCAUGCAAGAUGACGACUCCUUCAUAUACGUCCUUGCUUAAAAGUCGUUUGAGUUGGGAUAAUUAUAUGAUCCACAACUGAACUUGUUCUAAAACAGGCCGCUUUAGUGAAGAUUUUAAAAAAAUCAUUUUGCGCAGACAGUCGACCUAUAUUCCUGAAUUUGAUUUGCUUCUUGGAAUUUCAGGAUCAGCGCUAUAACUCCAAAGUUGAGGUUGAAGAGACACUAAUAGAGAACUCACCUUCCAUCCACCCCCUUUUGUCUCAGUUUAAAUUUGACCCGUGACUAAAGGUUCAUCAACCGGGACUAAAACUCAGCCACUGGCGGGGGGCUUACCAACGGGGACUAAAGAUCCCCUUUAGUCCCGGUUGUAAAGGCCAGUGGUCUGGAGGGGCCUUUUGUCCCAGUUGGAAACACCAACUGGGACUAAAGGGGGUCCUUCAGUCCGGGUUGGUGCUUCCAACUGGGACAAAAGGGUCCCUACCCUCAUUCCAUGCGCCCCCCCUCCACCUCCUCCUCUCUCUCUCACGCGCCUUAUCUCCUGCGCCCUCCCUCUGUGCCCCUGGCCUCCCAUUCUCAUGCGCCUUAUCUCUUGCGCCCUCCCACUCCCACCGUCGCCCCCCCUUCCCCUCCCUCCCGGCGCAGCCGCCCCCUCCCCUCCCUCUCCUGAAGCCGCCCCCUCCCCUUCCCCCUCUGCUCGCCCCUCAUUGGCACCAGUGAGGAGCGACAGUGGGGUGAGGUGCAGGGCAGCGCAAUAAGAGAUGAGUCAGGUGGCGAGGUGCGGCGGCGGCGAGCUUGGUGGCCAAGAGGAAGUCGGGUGUUGUGGUGUUUGAGUUCUUGCUUUGGCUUUGUAUCUUUUUUUUUGCAGGAUUACAUCCACACUAUGGUGGUGGCAGCGGGUGGAUGGGGGUGAGUGGCGGUGGGUGGAUGCAACGGCGAGUGGAUGCGUCGGGCGGCCGGAGGCGGCGCGGGCGCGGGGUGAGCGGAUCUUUUUUUAUUUUUUUAAAUGUUUUAGUCCCGGUUGGUAAAAACAACAGGACUACCUGGAACUAAAGAUCGCCCAUUUGUCUUAAAAAAUAAAUUUCGGAGCGAUUUUCGGUAUAUUUGUGCCCCACCAACUGGGACUUUUAUGUUUUCUAGUAGUGAGAGGUAAAGUUCCUAUAUGUAGUUCAUGAAACAUUUCCAGCAAGUCUUGUUUGACGAUAUCCCAGAACUUUUGAUAAUAAGCCGGGAAACCAUACGAGCCGUGCCAGGUGCUUUGUUAUAUUCCAUUUAAAAAUCUGCAUCUCGAAUCUCCUUUUCUCCUUUUCAAUGAAUGGAUCCGUGAAAAAUUCGUUUUUAGAUGCAGCUAGUCCAUUCCACAACAUCGCAGUGGAUUAACUUUUGCUUUCUCCUGGAGUAUCGUUGUACGCUGAGAGUUUCAUGCAAAAACAAAUAUUUAAUAGAUUGUGAUCUAUUUAGCGGCUAGCCUGCAAAAUUGCGUAAUAUAUCCUUCUUAUGCCAAAAUCCUUGACCUAAAAGUGAAACUAAAUUUCAACCAAACUAAUAGCUCAAAUGUGAGUAUGACCAAACUAUAUAAUAAUCGCUCGGAACGUACUUAAGAUCAGCUCUAAUUAUAGUAGAAAACAUAAAUGAUGAUACAUGAUGUGGUUAAGGUCUAACUCUAGAUAUAGGAACAACAAAAUGAAGCUAGUGUCAGUUUUAAUAAUAAUAUAACCUCGCACAGUGAGUGAAUAGUGAUAGCGAGAAAAAGAAUAUUGGAGAGAAAGGAGAGAAAAAAAAGACAGGAACCAGGUGCGUUUGAACGACACGGUAGGCACGGCGGCGGCGUACAGGUCACUCCUAAUGCACAGUUUCAUCACAUUGUUAUACAAGACUGCAAACUUGGUAACCGUGCCUGUCUGGUUUUAUGGGGAUGAAACUCCUCUCUUAUUUUAUGAAACUCCAUCCCCUCUCUCCUCAUAAAAAUCUUGCGAAGUCAGCAAAAUUAUUGGUGUGACAUACACUAGUAGAGAAUUGGCUUUCGAUGCACCCCAUUUUAUCCCGGUUUAAAGUUGGCUCUGGACAAAAGGUUCACCAACCGGGACUAAAGCUCGGUCACUGGUGGGGGGCUCACCAACCGGGACCUUUUAUCCCGGUUGCAAAGGCUAGUGUGAAAAAAAGAUCCUGAGAGGCAUUUUAUCCCGGUUGGUAACACCAACCGGGAUAAAAGGGUCGAGAGUCUUUUAUCCCGGUUUGUAAUACCAACCGGGAUAAAAGGGGGUCAUUUAUCCCGGUUGGUAUUUUAAACCGGGAUAAAAGGGUCCCGAAUGAGGUCACUGGAACAGGACUAAAUCCCUCGAACCCUUUUAUCCCGGUUUGUAAUACCAACCUGGAUAAAAGGGGGUCUUUUAUCCCGGUUGGUGUUUCCAACCGGGAUAAAAGGGUCCCCACGAGUUAAUACAAAAGGAUAGCAUCCCCUCCAUAGUCAGAUGUGGUGUGUAGGUGGGAUGGCAAGGAAGCUAUGCGCGAGGCUGGAGGUUGUGGGUUCGAAUCCCACGCAGAUAUUUCGUGUGGGGGGCUUCCUGGUAGCUCGGGAUUUUUUUUUUGCCGACCGUGGUGACCCGUUUUAUCUACCAACCGGGAUAAAAGGGGGUCUUUUGUCCCGGUUGAGUGACCCGGGAUAAAAGACCCCCCUUUUGUCCCGGAUGGAUUUUCGGGAGAUUUGCACCCUACCAAUCAGGACUAAAAGCCAAUUCUCUACUAGUGAUAGAAUAAUGCUAAUGAAACUUAUUAUGAAACUCCCACGGCCUAACAACAGCUCCCAUGCACGCACGUUAUCAGCUGUACAUCUCAUUUUGAUGUAUGCUGGUAAGGGUGCAGUACGACUGCUACAAAGUCUACAGGGUUCCACGUGCCCCAUCUACCGAUGAUGCAACGAGCCCCCAGGUGUGUGCAAGGCCUUGGUCAAACGAUCGAGGGAGCUAGAACUAGCUAAGGUAUGAUCAUGAUGCCAUGGUCGUGGAUGUGCACUCACUACGCUUACAGAGUACAGUGUACUAAUGCUAUUCUGUCAAGAGUUAGGCGCUAGCUUCAUGACUCCAAGAAGCAAUCAAGCAAUCACCAUGCCCGGCUGGCUAGUGAUAGAGAGAGCAGAUCGAUCUAGUUUUCAUUACACGACGCACGUGUUUGCGCUACUACUAGUAUAGAAAUUAAACCCCUUUAUUCACGCACUUUUCACUGGCCUUGCUCCGAGGGUACGGUGGUGAUCUCUGUUGAUAUAUGCAAAACGCACGCAAGGUUCUUGCUAUUCUAUGGUGUAUUCUUCUUGUUGCUACUCCAUCCUAGGAACUUGACCGCGCAGACCUGUUCCAUAUUUAGGACAAACUAAUAAUUACUUCAAAAAUCAACUAAAGUGCUUUGUCGUUAUAAAGUCAUAUAUGUAGGAACAGAGCUAGUAAAGCGGAGCUAGCCUUUGCCGUUGGGGCCAAGCGACCGCGAUAAAUUUUGUAAAACCAAUGAAAAGCAACUGAUCAUCAUUAUCUAUUAUCUUAAUACGAUAGCGUUAAAAGAAGGCACCACACGUUCACUGAGAGGACUUAGAAAUCAGCAUAUUAAUCGAAAAAAGAGAAAAAUAUACACCGUUAGCUUUUAUGAAGAUCUAAUGGUCUAGAUAAGCCAAAUAGUCAAUAUCUAAUUCGGAAUUAAAAUAUGAAGAAUAAGUAGUUUGAUUCCUAUAUACGGAGUGUCUGAUUUUUUAUGAUCUAAUGGACAAGAUUUUAACUAGAGAGUCCGUGUAGAAAUACAGCUAUAUAUUUGAUUUCUUUUCAUCUCAUCCAUAUCUCUUGCGCUCCAUUAUUGCUAGAAGUUUUAUUAGGAAGGGAUAAUUAAAGAUGGUAGAGCAACUUCAAGAGGCUGCUAAUCUUACCCCAAUAUCUUUUUUAGGAAAAAAGAGAGAAAAAAUGAACUCCAACAAUCCACCUAAACCUUCCCUAAUUUUUUAGCGACGCUAAAACAGCCUACCACCGCGUAUAUUUUAGCGUUGGCGUUCCUCCCCCAAUCCUGAUCCCCGCACGCCCGUGCGUCCCUUCCGAUGGGCUCAAUACGAUGACGUGGCCUGUGUUUGAAAUAUUGGGGGCUAUUUAUUAACGAUCUGCUGUGGACUGAUAUGUUUUUGGGGGAAAUUUUUGUUGGAGAACCCCCAAUAUAUAAUUUUGGGGAAGAAUUUUUUAGGAUACUCUUGGAGUUGCUCUAAGCCCUAGAAAUAAUAGCAAUAGCACACAAGAGUGCUUCCUUUUCCCAAUGAGUCCGUACGUAGUUUGCAGUGGAAGCACAAAAUUUUUCUCUCUAAUUCCCUAUUGUUUCAGCUGCUACAGAGCUUUGAGUGAGGUUUGCCUUAUGCAACGUACACGAUAGAUGGACUCCUGGUCCGUGAGGAGUUCGCGGAGUUCAUCCAGAAGCAGACUAUAGACUCCCUAUGCUCCACCAGCCUGAAGCUUGACAAAACACUGUUGGGCGCGCCCCUUGCUGGAGAUGGCGACCAAGCGGGUGACUGAGGGCGUCCCCAGCAUGGGCAAGGUGGUGAGCAAGCUAGCUGUCACCCUGAGCGUUAUGCUGGUGCAAAAAUUCAUCGAGGGCGUCAAGUGACUUGAAAGCCUAAUCCGCGUGACUCCAUGAUGGCCAAGCUGAAUUAAGUGUGAAGUGCUAAUGUAUGCAUGCCACCACAAAUAAACAAUAAUCUCUAAAUGGUGCAUUGUGUUUUAAUUUGAUGGACGAUGGCGUGAGCUCUCGAACUAGAAGCUCAAAAAUCGGAUCAAGCGAGAUGAAGAACCUGACUACCUGAGUAGUCUCUUGGACAUGGUCAAAUGUUACUCCAGCCAACGGCCGGUUCAACUAUAUUGUGGCUCGAUCGGCGACUUGGUAAGGAGCGAUGUGCAGCUCACCUAGGUAGCCGAUCAUGGUUCGCAUUUGUGUGUGUGGCCGCAACUAAGUAGGAUUGUACGAAGACAAUGCAAUGCGAACUCUUAGCAACUUAUUGAUGACCGCGUAGACCGCCUGUACUACCUCCCUCCAUAUUCGAGACAAACUAAUUACUUCUAAAAUCAACUAAAGUGCUAGCUUGUCAUCGUAAUAAACGUCAUAUAUUUAAGAACAUAGCUAGCAAGCGGAGCUAAGUAGCCUUUGCCGUUGGGGUCGAUUGACCCCAGUAAAACUCUGCAAAACCAAUGAAAAUCAAGCUACUGUUCACCAUUGUUACUGAGACCCCGAUAAAACUCUGCAAAACCAAUGGAAAUCAAGCUACUGUUCACCAUUGUUACUGACGACGACGACCCAGCGUGAAAGAGUGAUGACCCCGGUAGCGGGCUUCGCUCCUGUUAAUAGUACGUAAUCAUCUGGUGUAAAACUAGCACCUGUCAGCAUAGUCUUUUGUACCUGUUGCAAGUUGCAAGUGUCCAAGUCCACAAGCGUACGGUAACCAUUCGUGGGUACAUACAAGCAAGAAGCCGUAGGCAGGCAAUGCGCGCACUCUUGUGGAUCAUCGUCGUCGCCUAUGUUUCGUGGAGCCGAGGGAUCGGAGAAGCAGCAGCUAGCCAUUGUUGAAACGAUAGAUGAGCUAGAGGAAGCUGCCUAUGGUCGAUGAUGUGCAACCUGGAAUGUCAAGGAGGGCACGUUCCAUGGGUGGAAAACUUUGGCUUCUCAUUUGUGCGCCGCCCCACGAGCAGUACACGACUGACCUGCUGCUGCGUGCGUGCCCUAGGCGGCUAGGGCGCCAAUCCUGAAACUUCUGCUGCCGAGCAAUCGCCUGCCCUGCCCGCUGCCGCUGGGCGCUGGCCUAUAAGUAGGACGUGUGGCCGAUACGCUUGAAGGCAGAAACACAUACGGUUGGGAACAUACAAUAUCCAUCCGCAGGUAGUAGCUAGCGAUGGCAUCCGACAAGUCCAUAGCCGCUUCCCCUGCGCUCGUGUUCCUUGCCGUGGCAGCACUCAUGGUGGCCGCUUCCGUGCGCGCCCAGGCUCCGACGCCUGCGCCCACGCCGGCUCCAGCACCAACUCCGGCUCCGACUCCUGCUCCGGCACCAUCCCAGCCUGCGCCCACGCCGGCUCCAGCACCAACUCCGGCUCCGACUCCUGCUCCAGCACCAUCCCAGAGUCCUUGCCCUCCCGGCUUCUCCAACUCCACCGCGUUUAUUCUAGGGGUGAAGCAGUUCCUUAGACGCGGCAUCCUUCUGUUGGGGCCCUUCCUUGCGCCGGUCAUCCCAGGCACCAGCACCACAAAAUGCUUGUGCUAUUACUCUACCAACAUCACCACCAACGUCCAGCCCAUCGUGGGGAUCUUCCCGGUCCCGCCCAUCGUCAGGCCCAACGUCAUUGGGCCCAUCGCAUGCGUGCGUGGACCGGCCACCAUUAACUUCUAACUAAUUACUCGGAUAUUAUAUAUAAAUAUAUAAUACUAUGAAUAACGAGCUCAUCGUUUAUGUGUGUGCAUGCAUGCGUCGUGUCAGCAUGCAUGCGGAUGAGACUAAUUCGCACGUCACAGUACGCUGCGGUACUACAGGAGGAGAUGAGUUGAGUUGACCUAUACAGAUGUAACGGGGUGACAUUGUUCGUGUUGUGUUGUAAUAUGGCUAUCAGUUUGGCAGACCACUCUAAUCAUCAUUGAUAAUAAUAUUAAGUGGAUCUAUAUUGUUUUAAAAACAUUACUGCCCUCCGUUUCAAAUUACAGGUCGUUUUGAUUUUCUAGAUGCAUAGUUUUUGCUAUACACCUAGAUAUAGUAUAUGUGCAUAAUAGUAUUUACCAACUUAGAAAAGUUAAAAACGACCUACAAUUUGAAACGGAGGGAGUAUAAUGAGUAAACCCCUACGUCUAUAUCUACUAAAUAAUCUACCUCUACCAUUAUAAAAAUAAUCUAAUAAAGUAACCACCUAAUAUUAAUCUUAAUUAUCGACAUACUUCUGCCAUUAUGAAAGGUAAUAUAAUUUGACUCCAUAAAUUUACAACCAAAUAUCCACCUUUUUCAAUAAGAAAGAUCAUCUAAAGUGACCCCCUACAUUUGCAUAGAAAUUACCUAACUCAGUCAUUAUUGAAAAUAAACUAAAACAACCCCUUAGAUCUACAUGUAAAUUACCAAGAUAUGCUACUUAUGAAAAGAGUAUAAUAAAUUAAAGUAUCCCAACAUAUAUAUAUAUAUAUAUAUAUAUGCUUCAAAAUCACCGAUUUCUACCACUAAUAAUAUAUAAUAAAACAAACUUGAAGAAAGUAUACAUAUAUAUGUCUAUAUAUAUAUAUAUAUAUAUAUAAUACCAUAGUUUCAGUGGGAACCCAUUUGGUAGUCCUGGUGGGCCCAGGAUUACCAUGGGAUUUGACCAUUUUUCAAUUAGUACUUAGCCUAGCCCAAUACAAAUAGCCCGCACCUUGCUCACAGUUAGUUUUGACUUCAAUUUUUCAAUCAAUUCUCCACAGUUAUGUGAUCAUUGGUCUACUUGAAUGAUUUACAAUAAUUCUUAUGUAUCGGAUCUUGAAAGGCUACGUGAUAACUCAUAUGUUUACCAUUACAUUUUGUGUUAUGAUAAGUGAAUAUCAAUGUUUUAGUACUUUGCAAUAUUCCUUAUAGCAUACUUCUGUUACAAGGCCACAACCACAACUAAGUCUUUGUAUUUUUGAGAUUGUUUUCUUUAACAUGACAACCAUUGAUUUGUAAUAUACCAUUUAAUUUUCUCUUUUGAGUGCUUAAUUUGUCAUUUGUUGCUAUUAUAUUUUUAGUUAUGCAAGUUUCAAACUUAUAUUUUGAAUUUAAGAUAUUAUAGGAAUUUUUAAUAUAUUUGUAUUGUGAUUUUGAUUAUUUUAUACUUGUAUAUACCAUAUUUCUUGGAAAGGUAUUUCAAUUUGCAUGGCAAAUUAUACUCAUAUAUGAAAUUAUGUAUUGGUGUAUUGGCUGGCCAUGCCUAAAUUGAAAUCCUGGUCCGCCAGUGCAUAGUUUAACAAUCUUGGAAAAAGUUUCUUGAAUGAAUCACGUACCAGUGGCUCUAAGAAUGUAUUUUGGAUAAUACUAUUACUCUCUGAUAAUAUGUUAAUUGCUGCUUUAGACAAAUUUCUCAUGUUGGACGGAACAGUGUAACAUAUAUGUAUUAAUAGGUUAACUAUAAGCACUCAUUUUAAAAAUAAUGUGUACUACCACACUCAUAAUUCUUUGAUAGAGGAAAACCAACAUUUUGAGCACUACUAUGCUGCAGGCUAAAACGCCUGCUUAUUUUAUUGUAGUAACUGAAAAGUGCAGCCUUGGACCUAGAAUGAGGAAUAAUGUAGAGCCAGUCUAGGACUUCAGAAUUUUUAGAUUUUUUUUUCUAAUGCAUCUCGUGAGGAAUAACGUAGGGCUAGCCUUUAUGAUGUGCCCAUUCAUAGAUUACAUAAAUACUGUCAUAUCUGCUUCAAGCUGUCCGGGCUGUGAUAUACUGUCAUAUAAGAGAUUCUGCACAGAACCUAUUUCUGCAAUAGUUACAGUCCACAACUAGGCACACUUGAAAACUUUGCAGUGCAGUACAUCUGACUGUAACCACAGAACAGGUGAAUCGCAGCACGAGCAAACCAAGGAUAUGAGCUUUUCAGUGUAGAAAAAUUGACAAGGCAGAAUUACAGUAAAGAGACAGCUUAACCACAUGGCUUCAUGGUAGUUGCUUGACAUAAGCUCCUCUAACUUUCUAACUUAGCUGAGGCAGGGAGGCCUGCAUCGUAGCGAGCGGCGAUGUUGGUGAGGUUGCUUUUGUCGGGGACAAGCACGAAGGUAGCCUCCUUGAAGCCGAUGGUGUUGAUGCCCUUGGUGACAAGUCCACCAUUUCCAGAGCCUGCAUUCUGAGCUCCAUUGGGUAGUCCUUGACACAUCCAAUUCUUGGACCAGCCCCAGUGCUCCAUUUCAGGGACAGCCUGUGGCCAAGCUGAUAGGACUUGGACUCACCCUUGGACUUCAUCCUCUCAAGAAUCGCCUUCUGCAGGAUGCCAGUGGCUCUGGGACUUUGAAGGCCACCAGACAAGGUUCUUUGGUAGGUUGGUUUGGCUUGUUCUGCAGGAGCGUUCUCGCCUUCAUCGCCUUCUGUCAUGUUUGGAGAGGAAAUCACUUCUGGAGGAACUGAACCCAUGAAUUCAGCAGUAAGGUUCUGUGAACCAUCAGGCACCGGAUCUUCAUUGUAGUCUUCUUUGGUGGAUGAACGCACCUGAGUGGCCAAAACCAAGCACAUUAAAUGGAAUCAUCCGCAAUUUGGUGAGAGGAGCAUAUUUUAGCUUGUGAAUGGUUGAAAUGGUGUACCUCAACUUCUUUGAGAUCAACUCCAUUCUCUUCAAGGAAGUUCAUGAAAUUGCUUAGGUUCUCUGCGCUUGGUUUGUAGUGACCACUAUAGGCCCAGAUGGACUUAUCCAGAACAGAGCACAAAAAAUUAGCAGCCAAUAAGAAAGCACAGGAACAAGACAUAAUCAGAGUAUAAAAUAUUAGCAGGAUGAUAAAACAAUGAAAUGUAUGCAUGACACGCUCUUGAAAAAUUAGCCAGAUGAUAGAAUAAUGAAAGAACCCAUUAACUUGUCAUGGCUGAAUCAAGAUAAGUUGACAACUUGAUACUCCGAUGUGUACUAGAUAGAUGUAAAUUCAGAAACUACAUUUUCCCACUAUACUCCUCCAAAUUUCAGGGAAAAUAUUUUUUAUGAAUGGAUACGAGUUUAUAUUUUGUAUUUGUCCUCCAAAAAGUAUUUCAAAACAUUUAUCAAUGGUAGCUUAUGGAAUAGAAAAGAAUGAUUUGAAGGACCAUGCACGAUGAAUUCAUCAAUUCCAAGACACCAAGAGAGCUUUUUGGUCAAAGGUGCUUGAUUAAGGGAUAGGCAAUAACCCAGGCAGGAAUACAAAGAAAGCAAAAUACUAUGAUAAAAAUGCAUAAAAAGCUAACACUUAAUAGGGUAUGGUUGCUCAAAAAUACCUUGAUAAUUCCAUUUUCCGCUGUAAAUCUUCCAGCAGCUAUAGUAGUGCCUCCUGCUAAAAAGCUGGAAUGCUGGAAUACACCUCUCUCUUUCUGGAUGGAUAAAUCAGGAUACAGAAAUAGAUUUAGCGGUGCUAAACGUAAUGUGACAAAAUGAGACAUAAGACAUACUAUUGUUACAGCAGAAAUGCAAGUGCAAAACCCGUAUGAGUACAAAAGUUACCUUCCCAGCAUACAGUCUUUUUGCUGUGCUCAUAACAAAAAUCCAUUUAGUCCCUUUAGGACCUUGGCUUGUAUCAAGUGGUUCUCCAGACUGUUUGUGUAUAAUCUUUCCCUCAUUAAUGAUGUAUUCAUAGUUCUCACGCUCUUGCUGCAAGACAUUAGAUAAUUGUCAGAGCUUGUAACCCUUUGGGAGGUUUCAUUCCAAGAAAAUGUUAAGUUUGCUAAAAAGAAAUUCCUUUUGCUGUGCUUGACUAUGUAUACUAUUUUAAAGCCAAUGCACUUCUGUUAAUGGUCAUGAUUCACGGUUUAAGUGAAUAAUAGUACGGACAGAAGCAGGACAGUUCGUGCUUGAAUCUAUUCAUGUUUGGAAUCACAAUUCAGGCCUGAGGCUGCACCAAAUGCAGUUCAUAUAUGAAGCAAUUUGAUAGUAUAAGUUUCAAUUUGAGAAACAUAAUCUAGUACAAAGAUUGUAAUAUAUAUAUUUCUUAGAAAAGAUGAAUCGCAAAAGGCUUCAGAGACCAACAUAAAUUCUGCCGGUGAAGUCAGUCGAGCAAUCAUACAGCUCCUGACAGAUGCUUUGAGGAAGGUUAUAUGGCAUGAGUUCUAAACAAGGAUAGGCAGACAUUGUGGAACAUUUCUUACCGGACCAAGAUACUUAAUGCAUUGCUUCCUCAGCUUUGCUCUUGGACACUCUGGAAGGUCUAGCUCCUUUCCUUCUCCAACAUCAAGCCUGUAUGUGUCAACAACUCACUUAAAUUGUCAUGUAAUAAAACUGAACUGAAAUUCCUAGUAUAAACAGUGAUUCAACCUUAACUAAAAUAUCUGGUAUGAGCAGACAGUCAAAUAUGUCCAUCUCUCUCCCAUUUGUUAUGCAGAGUGCACUACUUUGUUCAAAUAAGAGAAUCUGCAAAUGUAACUAAGCAAAUUGCAGCAAUGUUCUUACCAGUAGAAGAAGGGCUGGCCGGCCUGGCUUUGACACCAGACAUCGUAGUAGAAGUGCAGGUUGUGCCCAUAUCUAUGCCGCGGGUCGAUCUGUACAAGAACAAAAUGAAUACUGCUAUAAACAGGCAUUGCAUCUAGUGUAUCACUCUAAGAAGAGGAGAUGUGCAUCACUUGUAUGACGUCAAUAGUGGACCUUUUAUGAUCAAUGUUCGCACAUGACUUUUUCUUUUUUAAACCGAGAAUGUUCACACAUGACUAAAACUGCUAGGUCAACUGAUACUUAAAGUAGCCUCUUCACGCACACAUGAGAGCACAGCAACAAAAUCUAAAAAAGCAAAUACUACUAAACUGACAAACAGUACUCUAGUGGGAUUUGUACGAUUUGUACUCACAGCCUCGAUCCAGUGCUGGAAAGCCAGCUUGAGAGCCUUGCCGUCUCUGGAUAAACCCUGACCCACCUGUUACAAGCAAGCAAAAUGAGCAUCAAAGGAAACAAAAAAAGAAAAACGUUUUCUGGUGAAGAAGACAGAGGACAUGAGGGACUUUUGUGCAUGUUUUCUCAGGUAGCAAUUGGGGGCACCUUGGAUGCAUUGAGGCUGACCCGGUUCCAGCGCGAGGCGGCUGUCUCCGGCUUGGGUUCGUCGAAGAAGGAGACGGUGCUGUGGCUGAGGCGCGCGAAGUCCAGCGCCUGCCACCUUCAUCCAUUCAUCCGACAGAAAUAAAAAUAAGAACCCUUCGUUUCAGUUAAAGCUUCCCCCCAAACAAAUCCUCAUCAGUUACCAUCGAUUUCAACAGCCGUUACCAUCAACAAGAACCAAACUAGGCAUUUCUCUGGGGGACACCAAAAUCGCUAAGAAAGGAGGCACCUUUUCAUGGAACAGUACAUCAAGAACCAGUGGGGGAAAAUUGUACUAGCAAUGAAGGUUGUUUCAAGAAAGGGACCGCUCUCCUUUAACAAAUCAAACGGCACGAAAUAGGAGCCGGUAGUCUCCCAGAAGAGAUGGAUAUGAGUAGAAGUACCAGAGCUCCUCGACGACGACGGCGGAGUCGGCGAGCUUCCGGCGUGUCCGGUAGCCACGGUAAGCCUUCUGCAGCUUCGUCGCGGCGCCAUCCUCGCCGCUCCCGCCGGCGCUUCCCUCCACCGGCGGCGACGGAGAUUCCAGUUUGUCCGACUGAAACCUUGGAGGAUCCGUAGAAUCCAACCCCAGCGGAGGCGGCGCCGCCUCCACCUCCAUUUCUUUGAGAUUUUAGGAGCGAGAACGGUUCUGCUUGUGCAGUCAGCACCUUCGCAAAGUGUCGAGAGCAGAGCAGGUGGGGAAUUUAAUCCGGGUUAGCACGCGAGGCGAUGGAAUAAUUAAAUGCGUUUAAUCUUGAGGAUUGAGAGAGAGAGAGAGAGAGAGAGAGAGAGAGAGAGAGAGAGAGAGAGAGAGAGAGGAGGGGGUCGUAUCGUAUCUCAUUCGCCGGGGUGGUACGGACCUGCGGAUACGACGACGACGAGUCGUUGGCGCCACCUACCGGCUGUCCGGCUCUGUGCUUUCUGUUCCUUGGCGGGUGGCGCCAUUACUGCGCGAGGCGUGGCUGGCCCACAUGUCAUGGAGUGAUUAGCAGCAGCGCCAUGAUGACCAAGGCGUACUUGCUAGGACGACUAGCUACUAGCUACUGGUGCUAAUGGAAGACUGACUCUGACUCGGUGAGGAAGCUGGCACACGGCUGUGUGGGCGGUGACGGCCUCGACACCUGUCGCUCUCCGGCGCCUCCGCGCCGGAUCGGGACCGGUCGCCGUCGUUGUCGUCGACGGGCUGCACGCCCCCGUACGCGCGCACUCUGUGCUUUUUGUGCCUGUCGUGGCUCCUCUCUGCUCUCCGUUGCAGAAUCUUGUGCUAGGCUGCUAGCAUAGCACACACAACUCAGCUGACAGAGGUACUCCGUACUAGGCACUGCACCAACUCAGCUGACGGAGGAAUUGGAUACGUGAUAGCAGUGUCACGUGAGAUGUUAUAAAACUAAUGCAGAACUUCUAAUUCGCGAGACGAAUCUAUUAAGCCUAAUUAAUUCAUAAUUAACAAAUGGUUAUUGUAUCACCACAUUUUCAAAUCAUGGACUAAUUAGAUUUAAUAGAUUCAUCUCGCCAAUUAGACUCCAUCUAUACAAUUAGUUUUGUAAUUAUUCUAUAUUUAAUACUAAACAUCCCAUCCAACAUCCCAUCCAACAGUUUCCCAUCCAACAGUUGACUCGCAAGCCCCGCAGGCCUUCGAGAAUGGAGCCUGCAAACCCGAUGCCGAUGGAACGCACGCCGAGGUCAACGUACGAGAACCAAGAUCGCAUCACGGCCGGGGCGUGUGCGUAUACGGAAGGGAAAUAAAGAGCUACCUGCUCCCCAGAGAACAGGUCGAUCAGUCCAAGCUGUGAUAGUAUAAUGUUCCGGACCCAUAAUAUUAUUAUUAACAUUCAGGCUGCAGGCAGGGCCCAGCUGCACGUCACGGCCAACGGCCAACGGUGAGAAAGUCAGAGCUGGUAUUCUUGUACAGUUCUGCACCCAAUCAUGUGUCUGCCAAACAUGCAUCACACCGUCGCAUCACGUCUCGCUUCAGCCUUCACUUAUCUCGGUUUUGCACAGGCAACCUCACAUGGUCUUCCUCUGAUUUCUCCGGACUAGCGGAUGCAGAUGAUGGCAUUUUGUUUGACCCUCCGACGCAGGGACGGGUUAGGAUAGGAUAGGGAGAUUAGGGAGCAGCUAAGUUAAUCGAUGGACAAAAUAUUAAAACAUAUAUUUAGCUCUUAAAAGAAACAAAUGGACCAUGAGGGCGGAGCCUACUGCCUCCAUCCCUGUUCCGACGUCCUGCAGUUGCGUUUUAUCCAUCGAUCUACGUGACAGGGACCGUGGUAUCCUGUCCAUGAGAUAACCCAUCUCUACGAUAUAGAUACAGAUAUGCAUUAAAAUGGCUAUUAGAGCAUCUCCAGCAGAACUAUUAUAUUGCAAGAGUUUGUAAAAAAAAGUGCUCGGAGAGACUUUUUUCCCCAAUAAUUAUUAGAACAACCCAAUAAUUCACCCCAACUUUUUUUUUUAAAAAAAGGAGAAGUUUAACUAUCAAAUACGGUAGAAGUUGUAACUAUCCCAAGUCUUCCGGUAACAAUGAAAUGGAUAUUGGGAUAUCCCCAUUAAUUAGUUAUUAGAAAAUAUUUAUUGCUCUUAGGACCCAAAAAUAGCGAGCUAGUAUAAAAAUCGCAAUAUCUAAUAAUUAAUUUUUCCCAUCUACGUACUACAAUUAAGAAAUACAGCGGUCGAUAUAUCACAAAAUUAGAUCAUUCCUGCACUAGCACGUGGCACGGUAGUACCCUACUUCCCUUGUGUUCAUUACUCUAUUAACCCAAUUGCUUGGUAACCACUACAUAAAGAUACACUGGUUGAUCCACAAAAUCAUAAGAAAAAACCAGAUAAAAAGGAAAAGAAAAGAGAGGUUAAAAAUAGGGAGCAAGGACCAGGGACGACGAAGCGAGGUGACGGUGGCAACACCAUCCGAGCGGUAGAGGCCAUCCGGCGGACAGAAUCAGCACGGGAGCGAGACUGCGAGCAUGGGCAGUGGUUAGGAAGGGUGGGGGUGGUCGAGUGGAGAUGUGGAGUCUGAUUGAUUUUAGCAAGUCAAAGUUUUGGCAAAUCAAUCUUUUAGCUACUAUUUAGUUUGCUUCUAAAAUUUGCCAACAUCUUUCAUUUAUUUUAUUGAAAUAUUGGCAAACUUAUUACUCAUCUUUUAGCUUGCCAAAAUUUUAGCACGCCCAAAUUUUGGCAUAUCAAUCAUGCUCGUGGUUUCAGGAGGCGGAGAGAACCACCGGUCCGGGAGCGAGACUACGGGCAUGGGCAGUGGUUAGGAAGGGUGGUCGGGUGGAGAGUGGAGUCUGAUUGAUUUUAGCAAGUCAAAGUUUUGGCAAAUCAACCUUUUAGCUACUAUUAUUUGGUUUGCUUCUAAAAUUUGCCAAUAUCUUUCAUUUAUUUUAUUGAAAUAUUGGCAAACCUUUUGCUCAUCUUUUAGCUUGCCAAAAUUUUAGCACGCCCAAAUUUUGGCAUAUCAAUCAUGCUCAUGGUUUCGGGAGGCGGAGAGAACCACCGGUACGGUGUUGAAGAUAUAAAGUUGCACGUGCAGUUCGCAUGUUGCCAUAACCAAUUUAGGGCAAGUACAUUAGUGUUAUCUAAUAGGGGGUCUCAUGCAUUGACACGUAAUCUUGAGAUGACUUAAUAAACAAUCUGUACCAUGUCUUUUUAAGUUAUCUUAUAGUAAUUAUAUUUUCUUAAUUUGUGCAUAGAAAAAGAAAGAAAUAUUGUGAGUUGCAUGCAACCACAAGUCGUACAAUAAUGGUUGAGUAGUCAUCUUAUAAUCCUAAAAUCUAACCUAUGAGGUGGUUAUUUCGUGAAACAAUAACCUCUUUCUCUUUCACCAUCCUCUCUCCUCCGCAUCAUUAAAAAUCUCACGUGGCAUUAUAUGAGACUGUAGUGUAGCAAUGUACAAUGAACUUCACAGGUCAAAUAAAAGAAUUUGAAGGCCUUCUUAUAACGUUGGGCUUUUCCCUUAUGGACGACGGCCCAAAGCGACACUACUAAUUGGAUGGAAGUACAGAUGAGGCCCAAAAGCACCAUUCUGCGUGAGCAACAGGCACAGCGCAUGGCGACUGCCGACAUGUGAACAACGCACGGCCGUAGUUCAGCAGAAAUGUGACUCUGCUAAAAGAAGGCAGAAAUGUGACUUGAGUCUUAAAAAAAAAAGAAAUGUGACUGUGAGAUUUAGAAAUGUACGAUUUGUGCAAAGACUAGGAUGCAAUGCCACUCGAUCCCCUGCACCUUUUCUUCGAAAGCAAAACAUGCAAUUAUUUGACCUCAAUCAUAGAGAAAUGAAUAGGCCAUUAGGACAAGGGGAGUAGUACGUACGAGGUAGCGUCGCAACUGGGAUUGCUUCGUUUUGUAGGCCGUCAUGCACAUGACUUAGACUGUGUUAGCAUAGAUUCUUUUCUUACAGAAACAGGUUUCCAGCCCCCCGGCUUAAUCGGGUGACGCGUGCACUAUUAUCAGUAUAUUACCACGACAUAUAAUGUACAGCUAAAGCAGCUGACGAUCGAGCUGACCCUGAAAACCUGCGAUGGAUGAAGGAAGCUUCACAUAGCUGGAAAGCAGUAGUCCACGGGUACGUGUCCCGGUAUAAAGUUCAGUACGUGCAAGCAUGGACGCGUAUACAAGCUAGGCAUCAUGUACACUUGGGAACGUCGCCAAAAUCCCGUCUUGAACUAUACGCAGUGCCCCGUGAAGUUAGCUGAUAUACGACCUUUCCAUCGCCUAUAAAUUUGGAGCAAUCUUGCAUGAAACCAUAUCCCAUCACAUUCGGCACCACUGCGGCUAGCUCCACAGCCACAGUGCAGUGUGCUUUUCUGUAGUCCAGAUGGCUAGGCUGGGGGCAUUGCUUCCUUUGGCCCUCGCGGCUGUCGUCCUCCUGCUCGCCGUCGCCGUGGACGCCGCCACGCCUGCCGCCAGGCCACCCAAGGCCCAGGGGCCGAAAGACCCGCAGCCACCGCGGAACGAGAAGCCCAAGCCGAAGCCGAUGAAGGUCAAGUGCAAGGACCGCAAGCUCUACCCUUACUGCUAUGGUAAACCCAUGGAGUGCCCCGCCGAGUGUUCCCAGUCGUGCUACGCCGACUGCAACUCCUGCAAAUCCGUCUGCGGUAAGCACGCUAGCUCCAUCUCCCUUGAUCUUGAUUGACGACGACGCAUCUAUUGAUCUUGUCCAUCUGUUCUGAUAUGCAGUGUGCAGCGUUCCGGGGGCCUGCGGCGACCCGCGGUUCAUCGGCGGCGACGGCAACGCCUUCUACUUCCACGGCCGGAGGGACGCCGACUUCUGCGUCGUCUCCGACCGGGACCUCCACAUCAACGCCCACUUCAUCGGCAAGCGCGGCGCCGACGGCAUGUCUCGGGACUUCACCUGGAUCCAGGCCAUCGCCGUGCUCUUCGACGGCCACCGCCUCUACGUCGGCGCCCGGAAGACCGCCGCCUGGGACGACGACGUCGACCGCAUGGAGCUCGCCCUCGACGGCGUGCCCGUGAGCCUCCCGCAGGAGGUGGACGCGACAUGGACGUCCAGCGCCGUGCCGAUGCUGUCGAUCACCCGCACCAAGGCGGCCAACGGCGUGCUCGUCGUGCUCGACGGCAAGUUCAAGAUAAGGGCCAACGCCGUGCCCAUCACCGAGGAGGAGUCGAGGGUGCACCGGUACGGCGUCACCACCGACGACUGCCUCGCGCACCUCGACCUGGCCUUCAAGUUCGACACGCUCACCGGCGACGUGCACGGCGUGGUCGGCCAGACCUACCGCUCCGACUACGUGAACGGGUUCGAUGUCAAGGCAUCCAUGCCCACCAUGGGAGGGGAGAGCAACUUCGCCACGUCCAGCCUCUUCGCGCCCGACUGCGCCGUGGCGCGUUAUCACGCACCAGCUGGUCACCGUGGUGAUGGCGUUGCAAUGGCGUGAGAGCUCGCUGGCGCCAUCACCUGUGCCAGUGUGGUGUGUGAGGAGUAACUGAAGGUGUACCUCUACUUAUUAUAUACUGCAAGCCCAAGAGCGGGGUAAACUACGAUGUUGUCGGAGUUGUACCAUGCAUGCAUGUUUGCAUGGUCGUGAAAUUCACAGUAAUAAACUUGCUAUUGGUUGAUGUGUUCAUGGAAAAUUAUAAUGUCAAUUAUAUUGGUGACUUAUAUUUUAAUGCAUCCUUUUUAAUUGAAUUUUUCCGUUGGCUGACCUAGAGUCUUUGUAUUCAGUAGUAGCGGUCGCUCAAGUUAAGGUUUGGAUUUUACUUAGAUCAAUAUAUCUUUGAACAGUGGUCGUUUUCAUUGGUCAGUGAGAUCCCAACUUCAAGUGCUAAAUCAAAGUUGUCUAUAAAUAGAGAAGAAGUGGUCCUGCGAUUGUAAGAUUCGGAUCAUAUUGAUUGGAAGCUGGAUCGUUCGUGUCAAGUCUCCACCAAAUGAGGAGAUAACCUCACCUCCGAUCGGGCACCCUACUUCCCAUCAGAAUCAGCGUCCAGAAGCUCCUUCCUAGAUUCAUCCUGCAGUAUGUUCGAGAAGAAUGUAACGAGGCAUCACAAACAACCAAUGCAACCAAAUCAUCCAAAGCAGUCAAGUAGUUAGCCGUUUAUAUGUAUCCACUUGGGGAAAUUAUUCUAGGUAGCCCCGCUGGUUGGUCCCCAAGAAUAUAUCCAUCUACUUGCAGUUUUCAUUGCUCCUCCUCGAUAUUGUACUGCAGUGCAGGCCUUACCUGCAACAGGAAUGGAUUAGGAGGAAGAAGCUAGUAAAUCGGAGCCUCCUAUCCUAUUUUUAUAUAUAUUUUGAUGAAGUAACAAAAUCAUAUAUACAGCAAGUUUAGGUGAAGAUGCAUGAAUUGAAAUCGGAGGGUGGUCGCCGGUCACGGGCCAGCAGUGAGCACUGAGCAGCGAUCAGGCGGUGACGAGUGGGUGAGAUGGCGAGUGGGCUGCAACUUCUUGGCUGCUGCCCAAAGCCCACUCACCAACCUCAGUCCAGUCAGAUGCUAUAGACUAUGUUGAUAAUACUCAUGCCGAGGAUGAAAUAACCAAAAUGAAACACAACAGAAUUCAUAUUGCUAGGUGAUAACACAUUAUACAACUGCUGCCAACGCAAUGUUCUAUGUCGCUAUAUAAAUUCAGCAUGGCAAUAAUAUACAUGACCAAAAGCAAAGCUAAGUUUAUCACUAGAACCAACGUAUACAUUAGCAACAUCACAUUGUCGAAACAAGUGACCAAGCGACCAUAAUAUCUAAUGUGCAGAAGCCAAGGCGGCGAAGAACGCCAUGGCUUGCACCACCCUUCUUAGCCUUACAAGACUUGUUCUUGUCCACCACAAUUUCCUCACCUCGCCCUGCCUUCACACAAACCUCCAACACAAACCUGGCCUGACUCGCAAGGAUAUAGUUGCCUCCACCGAAUGAACAAUAGAGCCAAGCUCAAACUCCAGCGAAGUCAAGUUGCGGUAAGGUACUGCUAGAAAGCUCAUGCUUUCAUCCUCAGAUUGAGUAGUGCCCUUAACUUUCAGGUCAACCUCAAAUGUCACAGGGUCCACCAAUACAACGGCACGGGUAGGAUCUGUCAGCUUCAAAUGUGGAUCCUAUCUGCAGUGCAGCACCAUUAAAUAAAUACUAGGGUAAAUGGAAGUGAAUUUCAAGAGGUUACCAGCAUAACAAACAAUACAGAACAUUACAAAUCAGUAUUGUAAACACGAAGUGCACAACAGAAAAGACGCCGUAAAAUUAUUAGUUUGGUGCAUCAUCGACAGACAAAAAAAAAACACAUUUUACCAUUGGGAGGACUAGUAUGAUUGCUUCGUCAGGUAGUGAAUAGGAAAGCAAGAAGCAACAAUCAAGGCAGCGAACAACUGGUAAUUAAGAAAUAAUUAUACAGACCUCUUGGGUAAGGAUUUGGCAGCUCUCUCUCGGGCAGUGAAAGAUCAUAUUGCGAUUGUGAUCAACUACAUCACGUACAGCAACCUUGCCAAACACAUGCAUGGAGUGGCCACUGUAAUCCUUCUCUUAACUUUGCGACUUUGAGUGAAUAGAUCUGCCGGGCCGCCCAAUCAAAAAGAAUAAAUGGGCCAAGCUUGGACCGCUCGGAUUUUUUCGGGUUGGCAAAAUGACACCACGUCCGGCCCUAUAAAGACCACGGGCUGAGCUUAGCCCAACGGGCUUGGGUCGAGCCGGGCCGCCCAAUCAAAAAAAUCGGGCUGAGCUUGAACCGCCCGGAUUUUUUCAGGCCGGCAAAAUGCACACCACGUCCGGCCCUAUAAAGGCCACAGGCCGAGCUUAGCCCGGCGGGCUUGGGCUGAGCCAUUGGGCCAGGUCGGGCCGAGCCACAUUUGCUCAGGUCUAGUGCACAGCAGUAAAUAAACGUAGCUAAUAAAAAGUGCUCAGGUCUUGCUGCUAUUCAGUACUAAUAGCUAACAACACAAAGCACUCUCAUAUCUAGUUAUCUGCUCCGUCCUCUGCUGGUGGCGCCCAAGACUAUCAAUCUAGUAUUCAGGUUCGUUGGCACUCAUAGCCUGCAUGCGGAUAUUGUGCUAUGUGCAAUGAUAAGAAUUGAAGCUAACGCCAUAAUAGAUUUUAAAAAUCAUUUCAUUUGGUCAGUUCCACUAAUAUCUUCAUGCAAUUGUCAUGCUAUCCUGAAUGUAUUAAUAUCUCUAUUUACACUUUGCUUUUGAAAAAAACAACUAUAUAUGUACUAGAUUGUCUUACCAUAUAACAGAGCACAUAAGGGUGAGUAUGCGUGUGUGUGUUAACUUCUUCCUCUACACAAUUUUCGCAAAAAUAUGAUAGAGAACUAGUGUUUAUUUUAGAGAUGAUUGAGGUGAAAGUAAAUUUGGUAUCCAUAAAUAUAUAUUAGCAGUGGAAUAUUAAAUUUAAUUAAGCAUUUAAUUUACAUAAGUAUGAAACUAAAAGUUUGUUGCAAAAUUUGAAAAUUAUAAAUAAUCAAUAUAUAGUUAUACCUUAUGUGCAUAAUGCAGACUUCAUAUUAUUUAAUAAGUAUCAAAAUGUGACACUGGCAGAAAAAUACUUCUAUCCAAUGCAAGGGCUCCUUUUCUCUCCAUCUGCCAAAACCCUCACAAGCCCACUCUCCAAUGGUAUGCUCAUUAGCGUCCGUCCGUCCGUCCGUAGUAGCAAUCUACUUGUAUGUACACCUGUAUGUACUCUCUGAUGCUCAAUGUAAGUUUGGGCUUUCCAAUUGCUAAGCAUGCUACACCUGUAUGAACUUGUGAUGCUGCAUCACGUGCCAUCGAUUCCAUUUAUCAUCCAUGAUGCUGCUGCUGAGCUAGCCAUUUCAAGGGAUGCACGUCUGGGUCGUGCUCAAGCCAUGGCACCUGUAUUGCUCGGACAGCAGCGUAUUCCAGUGACAGUACUUGCUAACCCUUUUACCACGGAUGCCACUAGGUCACCUCGCAUUAGCUACCAUGGCGUUCUGAUGCAUGACGUGGACAAUGUUACAUGCAAGGUGAUGCUCUUCUUCCGGGACACUGACUGGUACUUUGUCAGCUUUCAGCGUUGCGUGGUGGUUGUGUUGCCUAAUGACAGUCUACAAGAAAACUGGGGGGUGGAGAUUCUUCUUCAACGAUCUCGUCAAGGACAAGGAGGUUCCAGCAUUCUUGUAUAUCGUGAAGAUGGGCAUUGGAUUGUCUCACUCCGACAAAGGGUAAGGACGCAGUUUCAUUCAUCCAUCCAUAUUUAUUUGUUUUGGUCCCCAUGCUUGCUUUUUGAUGUUUUGGUAUAUUAUUUGCUGAAUUAGUAAUAUGCACUGUGCAAAGACUUUCCAGGCCCGAGGCUAUGGCUGACCUCUUCAACACGCUGGUCGGAUUUGAAGAUCAAGUAUACAUUCACAACAACGGGACAAUCGGAGAGGUGAGAGGAUUGACUCCAGCCUUGGAAGAUGACUUGAAGAUAGCCAUCAGCAGGAUCAUCAUUGUGUUCUGUGAGGCCAUGAGAUUGAGAUCCAUCUACCUCCUCACCCACGCCAGCCUUGGCGGCCAUGAGUACGCAACCCUCUUACCGUUCGCCUGUGGAACCUCUUGCGCUCAUGGGGGAAGUUGUCAGAUUACGUGCUGAGGAUGAGGAGGCAGGGUAGCAUGGACCUCAACAAUGAGAUGGAUCCACUCAAUGCCGACUUGUCAUCCCACGGGUUCCCAACAAUGACCCUCAGUGACUUGAUUGGGCCAAAUGGGGAAGAUCGAGGUAGUACGAAUCAUCAACCUAAAGAACCUGAGCAAUCGUUUAGCCAAGCGAGGAGCGAGGACCAACUUCCCCGAACCUAACUUUGUCAUGCCAGCCACUCCAGAAGCAGUAGGAUUAGGAGGAGGAAGAGGGAGAGGUAGGGGGAGAGGAGGAUGAAUGAAUGUGAUCUUAUCACCAUUUAUUUGUGUUAGUUUAACUUUUGAGCAGAGAACAUCGACUACUUCUGCUUAAUGCUUAUUAACCUCUCCUGGUUGAACUUAAGAAGAUUCAUUCAAACUAGAUUGCAUCUAAGUCAUAUUUUUGGAUAAAGCUUUCAUAUUUCGCUAGCAUCUUGCCCCUUCUGUGGUUGUCUAUGAUUCUGCUCUGCAUGAUCUCUUGAUGAAUAGCUUGAUGGGCCGCUGCCCUCUAUUGAGCGCUAGGCUAAACCUAACCCUAAGAAUGGCGUAUCCUAGUAGCCUACCUGUAUGCGGCAUGGAAACUAGAAAGAAAAUAAUUGAAGAACUUGGUGAUGAGCCCUAUGCAAUUUUAGCUGAUGAGUCCAGUGAUAUAUCACAUAAAGAACAACUAGCUCUUUCCUUGCGUUAUGUUGAUAAACUUGGAAGGCCUUGUGAACACUUUAUUGGAGUUGUUCAUGUAGAUGAUACUACCUCUUUGUCACUUAAGGAAGCUAUUGAGGGUUUACUUGUUAGUCAUGGAUUGACUAUGACUCAAAUUAGAAGUCAAGGUUAUGAUGGGACUAGCCAUAUGAAAGGAGAUAUUAAAGGGCUAAAAAUAUUGAUCAUGCAAGAAUCACCUUCUGCGUAUUAUAUUCAUUGCUUUGCACAUCAACUCCAACUAGUUCUUGUUGCUGUUGCCAAGAGAAAUACUGACUGUAAGAGUUUUUUUUGAUUAAGUAUCUAUCUUAUUGAAUAUUAUUGGAGUUUCUUGCAAGCGUCAUGGUAUGCUUUGAAAUGCUAGGCUUGAGAAUAUCAAGAAAGCACUGGAGUGUGGUGAGCUUGAAUCAGAGUGAUUAAAUCAAGAGAUGAGUUUGCCUAGGCCUGGUGAAACUUGAUGGGGUUCUCAUUACAAAACUAUAUGCGACAUCAUUACUACGUAUUCCUCAAUCCAUGAUAUGCUCAUUGAUCUUGGUGAUGAUAUUUAACAUAAGGAUGAUUGGACAAAGAUACAUUUUGUGUUGGAGCAUUUGAAACCUUUGAGUUCGUUUUCUUUGUGCACUUAACAUAUGUUAUUCUUGGAUACACAGAUUGAGUUAUCCGAGUGUUUGUAGAGAAGGGAUCAAGAUAUUCUUAAUGCGAUCCCCUUGUUAAUGUGGCAAAGAACAAAAUGCAACAAUUGAGGUCUGAUGGUUGGGACCACUUCCUUGAGAGGGUUAUUUCUUUUUGCAUUAAACAUAAUGUUGAAGUUCCUGCUAUGGAUGGUGAUUAUGUGCCGUAUGGAAAAUCAGCAAGGUAUGCCCAUGCCUGAAACCAAACAAAUGAUGACCAUUUUAGAAGAGAAGUAUAUAUUGGUGUCAUUUAUCAAAUUAGUCAAGAGAUUGAUAAUUGGUUUGAUAAGAUCAUUAUGGAGCUACUUUCUUGUAUGUCAACCUUCAGUCCUUCCAAUUCAUUUGCUUCGUUUGAUGCACAGAAGGUACGUAGAUUGGCUGAAUUUUAUUCUAAGGACUUCUCCAACAAUGAUUUGCUAAAACUUGAAUUGCAACUUGAUAAUUAUAUUGAUGACAUGCGACGAGAUGAUAGCCUCAAGGGUCUAGACAACAUCGUUGAUCUUUCAGUUAAGCUUGUUCAAAUACGGAGGCACAAAGUGUAUGAUAUGGUUUACUUGCUUCUCAAAUUGAUAUUGCUUUUACCAGUGGCAACAACGAGUGUUGAAAGGUUAUUUUUUACAAUGGUUAAAGUGAAAAUAAAGUCAAGGAAUAAGCUAGGUGAUAGUGUUUUGGACGAUUGUCUAGUCACAUUCAUUGAGCGGGAUAUUUUGUUCCAAGUGAAUGAAGAAGAUAUAAUCAAGAUAUUCACGUCAUUCAAAAAAUGGCGGGUAAACAAAGCAGACAAGUAAUAGUGUAAGUUUCUUUUAUGCUAUAUUUUGAACAAUUUAUAUUGUGAUUUGUUAUUGUUUCUAGCUUAAUCUUUGAAUUUACCGAAUUGUAAAUGGUUUCACUGAAUUGCAUAAGAUUUUUUUUCGACGUACCCUGUGGUAAAAUCCUAGGUCUGCCACUACCGGUCAUCCAUGAAUAGCAUGUCUUCGAGGAUGACUAGGUACCUCUGAUUGCUUAUUUUUUUUGAUCAAAUAUGAUGAGUCCACUUUCUGUCGCCUCUAUCAGCCUCAAGACAUCCAUAUUGCUUCCUUGUGGUCUGUAGUUUGUGUGGAAUUGAAUCAGCAAGCUCUGGAUGAUCGAACUUGUUGAGAUUGAAAGAUGCAUCAGCUUCACCCAAGCACGGCAUCUGAAAUAUUGACAAAUUUCAGGGUCAAAGUAGGCCUUCUUGAUUACGAAUGCUGUCCCAAGAUCGCUUCCUGUUCCCCACACCGAGAUCACUUCACUUGAAGGGGACCAUCCUCUUUGUUGAUCAGCUUGAUGAGAUCCACUUGGCUGCUCUCACAAGCUGGGUCUCUUGCAUGAAGGCUGCCCAGUGCUGUUGCGUUAGCCACUGCCUGUGGAUGCAUAUGCUCUGACGACUCAAAGCUCGAGUCACCGAUAUGGCUGUAGCGUAGGUUCCUGUGUUCCAUAGCCUUGAGCAGGUCUACGGUGGCAACUACAUCAUCCAGGGCCACCAGCGGCACUGCUGCCAGCAUGACCCGUUGUCCAGUUGGGCGACAGAAUCGAUGCAAUCCUCGACAUCUAAGGCCAUGUUGCGGACCUGCUUCACCAAUGUCCUCAUCAUAUCGAUCAUUUGUAGCACGCUCCGUGGUGACGAUGAGGAAGGAGUGCAUGAUCUCAAACUCAUCUGAGAUAACAAUCAGGCCCUGGUUCACGCUCUUCUGCAACUGUUUCUCCUCCUCAAUGGCCGAUUUGGCCAUGUUAAGUGUACCCUCUACUGCCGUCUUGGCCAAGCCAAGCACAAAGUCCGCCAUUGCUUCACUCUCUAAUCUCUAUGUUUGUCCUGCUCCAGUGGUUACGGUGUGUGUGUGUGGGGAACUUGAAAGGGUAAGCUGGCAUGGAACACUAUAUAACUAAUGCUAGAACUACUUCAUGUUCAAGGUGUGCAAAGAAUCAACAAAGUAAGCUGCACGAAAUUUCACAGGAACAGACAGACAAGAGUGGAUGGUGAAGAUAAGAAAAAAAAAUAUUCCUUGUCGAUGUUCGGAGAAUAGAAUAUAUGGACGCUGCAAAGAAUAUUUUACUUUCCGAUUUGUGAAAAAGACUAAAUAAACUCAUCUACAAAAAUUUCAAACAAACAGCGAGACGCACUAGCAACAAAGAACCGGCAUCCCGCGGAAAUAUUCUCAUGUAGGUCAAACCCAACCCACAUCCCUUUUGAACCAAACACGGGACGAUGUAGGUCGAACCUGUUCCGAUUCACAUCGAUCCGGUAACCAAAUUCACACUAAAAGCACGUAAGGUAACUUUAUUGGCCCAGCACACAAACUUCCUUCUUUCCAUAAGAUACUCUCUUCCUCCAACAAGAUUCCAGACUCUUUUCCUCAACAAGAGUCCUGCAGUUUCACUGGUACACAUCAGUGGCUGCCUUAAUCAUACAAUUGUUUGUGUAGCUUACAAUAAUUAAUAAGGUAUCAUCAAAACUGGAGUUGUUCAAUUCUUGCCCCUUCAGAUAUCAAGAUUAACAAAAAGUAAGACGGUGGGAUUCAGUUUUUAGUGCGACAGGAAUUGGUACCGGCAGCAAUCAGAUUAAAACAUCCAUAUUUAUGUUCAAAUACAAUGUGGAAAAGAAAAAAACAAAUCCAAACAACAGAUCUCCACCGAGCCAUAUAUAGGCAUUGCUCUGAAGCCACUAGGCACUAGCAAUGAAGACUGCAACGGUUGGCGCCCUGCAAUGCAUGCCCUUGCCAUAAGAUACUGAUGAUCAAGGGCCGGCUUAUAGCGCUUAUAUUAGAACAGAGAGAGUAUACAUGAAUCUUCAGUAUCUAACUCGUAGGUACAUAAAAGUAUAGAGCUCAAAUUAACACUAUGGGAUUAAUGAGCCCAAAGUCCAAGAUAAGGUAGUAGUACUAAAAGGCCCAUUUAAACCGGUUGGCCCAAAAUCUGGUAGCUACAGUACAAUUAUGGAUAUGACUUGAGUUAGUAUGGCCCAACGCGUUGCUAAUAAAAUAACCAGACCAGUGGAAGAUCCAGCCUUAGAGAGCCUAGGGGGCUCUUCUCCCUUUUUCUUCCUUGGCUUCCUCUUUCUCUCCCUUUCCUUCAUUCUCUUCCGUGUCUUCUUUCUUUCUCCAUAAAGAUGGUGUGUGUGGGUACCAACUAGGAUCAUGUCAGGUAUAUUGUUUAAUAUUGGCGAGCCAUGUCCGUUAUCGCAAUAUCAGUGGAAGUAUCAGGUUUAUGUUCGUCAGAAUGUUGGUGCAGUGGGUGACCCAGCUGUUGUAUCUUGCUGGACCUUCUACCUGGACUGAAAUGAGAAGGGGGUGAGCGGUAUCUUCUGAGUCUUUGCGGUCAUAAAGUCCACACGGGGACGACAACAACAUUUCUGGACAGCGUAACUGUGUGACAACUCGAAGCUAUUCGUCUAUGUUUUGCACUGCAACAAAUCAUCAUUGCAUCCCACUGUCAUUACCAAGCCAUGUCUUGAUGAUCCCACUGUUCUAUUAUUGAUGGACAGACAAUUGAAAACAGAUCAUACAAAGUAUAGUGAGCGGUCCCUUAUCUAGAUAUCUGAUAGUAUCUCGAUUUCACAAAAUUAACGCUCCACGGCUCACUAAAUAAGGGAGAAAGUAAAUAAAAUCUCUCCAACUUUGAUCUAAACAAUGUGAUGCAAACGAGCUUUGUGCACAAAGAAGAUCACACAGCACAUGUUCCAGCAACAACUUGUACCUGUGUUCCUGGAACAAGCACAUCAAUCGGAUUGCUUUGUUUAUCCGAGCUACCUGUUAAAGAGGUUGCUACUCUCUAGUAACUGUCAGGUUCAGAGAAAGACCUAAAGAUUGAAGUCAAUCUCUUUGCCAACUAACACGAUUUUUUUGGAAUCCCAACUUUGCCACCUACUGUAGCUCGUCUGGCACAUGGGUACAUUUCAGUUGUGUUCUUAUGUUGCUAUCUAUAUAGCCUAUAUGGUAAACAAACAACUAUCUAAUCACUUUUAAGGUACAAAAAGACAUGUUAUUCUUCCCAUGAGGCUAUGAUGAUCAGCAGCUUAGGGCAAAUACAAAUCUCACACUAGCAAGAACAAGGUGCAAUAGAGUGGGUUCUGGAUGAUUCGCAGAUGUUAGACAACUCUGAUGGGCCAUGUUCUUGCAUUUGAUGUUCUUGGAUGGUUGUAAAGUUGGAUGGAGAGAACGAAACAAAUCUCACCGUCGGAGCAUGCUUCAACUUUACAACCAUUCAAACUCUGAAAAGAUGGCUCCAUUGAUUGCCUCAAAGAGUUGUGAACAAGUAGCCAACAUGCCAAACCACAGAUCCUCCAACUUCAUCACUAAAGGAGGAGCUAGUAUCUCAUAUUUUUUUCCUCAAAUAACUGGACACAAAUGGUGAGAAGGUUCAGCAACUAACCAAUAUAAUGCUAUAGAAAUUACACGUCAUAGGCAUGUGUGUCGUUUUCAUUGGGCACCUUCUAUAACAACCGGUUGUUUGUUUGUGGAUUUUGGUCUACGAUGUGGCCCCAAAUCUCCUCCAGUUUGUAGCCAUUCUGGCAAUGUGAUGGUGAUUUCAUUGUGCACGUUGCAAAAUAAGCUGUCGAGUUGGCACCAACUAGGAUCUGGUAUGCUUUUUUUUUUUUUGCCAUGCUGCAUCAGUUGCGUUCCCUGAAUUGCAUCAACGACUAAUUAUGUUGGAACUUGGAAGCAUCUACACAAUCAAUAAUUGAGGUAUCACUGUAUCAGGUUUGCAUAGAUGACUCUUGUCAAUGACACAGAACUAAACUACAAACAAAAUUAUAUCGGCUACUGUAAAAGAGUUGAAAUAUAGAAAUUUUAGAAUGAUUGGGAAAAAUGAGAGCCGUCCAUCCCGAGAAAAUCUAAUACUCCCUCUGUUCCAAAAUGUAGGUCGUUUUGAUAUUUUUAGGUUCAUAGAUUUUGCUACGAAUCUAGAUAUAGUAUAUAUCUAAGUGCAUAGCGACAUCUACGAACCUACAAAAGCCAAAAUGACCUACAAUUUGAAACGGAGGGAGUAGUGGAAACAAAGGAAGUACAUUGAAGUACCUAAAGAAAAGUACCAAAUUGGUGGGAUCAUGUACAAAAAAUACUCCUUAAAUUUAAUUUUUAAUUUUUUUCCCGAUGAGACGGUGGAAACAAAGGAAGUUGAAAUACCAACAAGUACCAAUGGGUACUUUUAAACUAUUGUAAAAGAGUUGAAAUAUGGAAGUUGGGAAAGGGUAGGGAGGAUUCAAAGAAAAAGGACAGCUGCAAAUGGCGCUGGAGAUAAACUGGGAAACAGGACAUGGAGACUUCUAUGGAGAUAGCAUAAUGUAUGCAUUAUCUUAGGAAUCGGGUGUCAUUUUGCAGCACGUUUUAGUUCCUCUUUGCUGAUCCAACGGGAUGGAUCACUAAUUGUAUUCUUGUUCAUAGUAUAUGACUAUUCUUCGACUUGACAGUGUGAAAGAGAAUAUAGUGCACUUGAGAUCACCUAAAAAUUCAGCACCAUCUGAUUAGCAACAAGCAUCACAUUUACUGACUACUGAGAAAAGGAGACAAAUGCAGGAACCCAUCGUUUUCACCUCAUUAUCUCUGCAACAGCAAGCCCUGUUCUGCAAUACCGUCUAUGCACUAUGCAGUUCACUUGUCAGUGGUCUGAAGACAAAUCUGUAUGGGCAUACACAAAGAGACAAUCGACACCAGACCCUGCAGGUUCGCAGUUGCUUCUAGUGUGCAAGCUGAAACUGUAGUGUGGACCCUACGUUGGAUCUGGCAAUGAAAUUAGCAGGGGCCGCGAGCAGAAAUAACACAGGGACCAUUGUUUUCCCUGUCCAUGUACAGUUUCCUUGGUUAUACGAUCAAUCUGGUGAGCCAAUUGUGGCUACUGCACUGAUUUUUCGUCAGGAUUUCAUUGUGGUCUGAAACUCUGAAUCUGCUGCUCCAAGAAAUAUGAAUGAAAAUCUCUGCAGCUGAAGGUAACUAAUGUAGGCUUAAUCCUAGAUGAUUUGAAAUAAUGUAGGAUGAAAACAGAGGUCCAGAAAGAAAAAAAAGAACUGAAUCACGGGAUGGAAUAUGCAAGCCGCAAGGUCCGUAUGCAAAAUUCUGAAGAUGAAAGGCCAGUGGACUCAUCAAACAGUGGUGAUAACAUUAUGGAUUUCGCAGUUAGCUUUCUGUUGCAGCAUCAGAAAAGGAACAAAGCACACAUUAAAUGGAUCACUGGCCGGUGGAACUUCUGAAUGGAACUUUCGAUUCAACUUGCUAUUUCACUCCCUCUACUUUUGUCUAUGUACACUUCAUCUCCUUUUUCCUGAAAAAACUCUACCUAAUCUCUAUCUUUUUUCUUUUUCUGAAACCACGAAUCUCUAUUUUCUAACUCUCCUAAUCCUCACUGGGAGCCCGCCACUGAUGGACGCGGUGAGCCCCGACACGAACUUUGGCGCGCAGGCGCCGCUGCCACUCUCCCCGACGACCUCGACGUCGAACCCUCUCACCACCGCCACGGCGACCGCCUUCAUCUCGGUGAUGGCAAGCUCCUUGCCGAGGCACACACGGAGGCCCGCCUGGAACACCGGGUACUUGUACAGGCUCUCCGGCACGAAGGACCCUCCAGCGCCGGUGAGCCACCGGUCUGGCCGGAACACGCCGUGGUCGGCCCCCCAGAUACGCGGCAUGCGGCCCAUGGAGUAGGGGUGGUACAUGACGCGCGCGCCGCCGGACACGUAGGUGCCGUCGGGGAGCACGUCGGCGGCGGCGCAGAACUUGGAGUCGAACUGCACCGGCGGGAACAGGCGCAUGUUCUCGUACAGCACGGCGUGGGUGUAGUGCAGGCUCUUGAGGUGCUCGUAGGUCACCGGCGUCGAGUCGUCGCCACCGGCCUCGGCGCGCAUGGCGGCGGCCACAGCGGGGUUCUUGGAUAGGAGCAUGAAGAGCGUGGUGAGCGCGGAGGACACCGUGUCGCGCCCGGCGAGGAGGAAGCUGACCACGAUGUCACGGAGGUACUUGUCGUCCACGGCGUGCGCGUCGCCGGCCGAGGCCAUGAACCGGGACAGGAGAUCAUGGCUGUUGGCGAAGCCCAGCUUCCGGCGCUCCCGGAUCAUCGCCGCCGCGAGCUCGUUGACGAGCUUGAUGGCCUUCUUGAGCUCCCUCUCGGACCCGACGUUGAGCAUGCGCUUCACCUUCCACAGCAGCGGCGACGCCGCCGCGCCGCGCAUGGCGCAGAGCCGCGUCGCGGCGUCGAACGCGUUGGCGAGCUUGGACACGGGCAUUUCCCGCUCGAGGCAGCCCGGGUCGAGGCCGAAGGAGAUCUUGCAGAUGGUGUCGAAGGCGAAGCGCCGGAACACGUCCUGCAGGUCGACGACGGCGCCGCUGUCGGCGGCGUCGGUGAGGACUGGCAUGAGGCGGGCCUCCACCUCCUGGGCGAUGAUCUUGUAGGCGUAGGAGCGGACGGCGACGCUGCCGAGCUCGAGGCUGGCCAUCUUGCGCUGGUGGCGCCAGGCGUGGCCGUCGACGUUGAAGAUGCCGCCGCCGAGGAGGUCGCCAAGGAGCGCGGCGAAGGUCUUGCCCUUGGGGAAGUUGUCGAAGUUGGUCUUGAGCAUGUACUCGACGUUGGCCGGGUUGGCGGUGACGGUGCAGCCGAGGACGUGGACGUGGAUGGUGCCGGUGGCCGACUCCCGGAGCUGGUGGGCGUACCAGUCGCCGAGGUUGGUGAAGUCUCUCGCCCACGACCCGGUGAGGUAGGCUCGGCAGACAUGGCAGCUGCACCAUGGCCACCGGCGCACGAGCAGGAGCACCAUGGCCAGCGCCACCAAGCAGAGGGAGAAGGCUGAGAAGGCCAUGCCCGCGCACUGCGCUGCCCAUGGCAAGUCCAUGGCUCUUGUUUCUAGCUAGAAUUAGCUAGCGGAACAGGCCUGGAUCAGCAGAUCGGCAGGAGCGAGAGAGAAAGGAGAGGAAAAUGUGAGUUUGUGCGGCGGAAGACCCAGGAGGCUUUGUCUAUAUAUAACGUGGGUGGACCGGGAAUUCAGCACAUGCCGCACGUGCGCUUUGGCUUUAAGAAACGUUUGUCUAAACCUUUUCCCUUUCCCGCGUAGUACACACAGCUCAUGUCCCCGUCAUUGCGCAACAGCUGAUGACAGUUGGGUCCACAUCGCCAAGGAGAGGGCAGGGGGGGGGGGGGGGGGGGGGGGGAAGGAGAGGAGCUUGCCACCCAAGAGCGCAGUAUCUUAGAGCCUUUUAAUAACAACUCCAAAGUGAUUUUAGGGAGAGCUUAGUCAAACAGUACUUUGUAUGAGUGAUCUGAUUCUCUGAACUAAAUCAAGAUGCUAGGAACUUGGAAAAAAAAACUAGCUUUUCCUUAUUCACUUCUCGUCCAGAAUAAUUUCCAAUAUAAAGGUUAUCCUCAAGAACCAUUUUCAACCAAAAACUUAAUUCUCAUAAAGAAACACUUUUAAAAGAGCUCUACUGAAGAGGUCCUUAGCACAAGGUUGUCUUUGGAACUAAAUCUUGAAAAAAUGUUGUAUCAAAUGCUUAGGUGUUUGAAAAUUCAUACUUUGGGCUUGUGGGGAUUGUAACCUUAUUCAGUUGGAUUUUUCUUGAAAUGGAAAUGUUAGUGAAGGAGAAGAAAAUCAGAAUGGCGUAGCGAGUCAGUUGCACUAAUUACUACCUCUGUCCCACAUAAUAUAGCUACUUCUAGCCAUUCAAAUAUUGCUAUAUUUUGGGAUGGAGGGAGUACCUAGCAACUGUCAGUGAAUUGCAUGCUCUUAUUUUUUUCUCUCUCUUGAUUCAACUACCACAACUUUCUCUCAUGUUGCUUCCACUACAAGUGAAAAGUACAUGAAAAAUAUUUAUUUUAGUGAAAAUAAUUUUGUUUUACAAUUAAGGAGGGAAACGCUAAAAACAAAGUAAAUGUGGACGAGAAACAAAUACACAGGUGCAGUAUCUAGAUCAAAGAGGGUUACGUACUAAGCUAGAGGCUAGCAAGAUAAGGUUACCUGUCAAACCGGGCCGGUAAAUGGUCCAGUCAAUUCAUCAUCGGGUUAAACAUGCAUCAACAAGCUAUUUGACCGUGAAUAAAGCUAGAAAGCAACAAACAAACUCGUGGGAUGAUUGGAUUGCCAUGUAAAUAUUGACCUUUUUAAACUUUUCAUAGAAAAAAUAGGACUGGAGGGCCUACGCCACUUUAGUCCCUAUAUAUCUUGUUCAUAUUCUUUUGAGAAUCCAUUGUUCCAAAGUGAGACACAAAAUACACCAUGUCGAAAAUUAUACCUAGAAAAUAAAGCCUAAGAUUACACUAGUAGAGAAUUGGGCUUUAGUCCCGGUUGGUAGGGUCCAAAUAUCUCGAAAAUGCAUCCGGGAUAAACCAACCGGGACAAAAGGGGGGGUCUUUUAUCCCGGGUCACUCAACCGGGACAAAAGACCCCCUUUUAUCCCGGUUGGUAAUGGGUCACGCACGGCCGGCGCUGCAAAAAAAAAAAAUUCCCGAGCUCCCAGGAGGCCCCCCCACAAGUCACGCGAAAUAUGCGCGUGCGCGGUUCGUGGGAUUCGAACCCACAACCUCCAGCCUCGCGCGUAGCUUCCUUGCCAUCCCACCUACACACCACAUCUGACUAUGUAGGGGAUGCUAUCCUUUUGUAUUAACUCGUGGGGGACCCUUUUAUCCCGGUUGGAAACACCAACCGGGAUAAAAGACCCCCUUUUAUCCCGGUUGGUGUUUCCAACCGGGAUAAAAGGGUUCGAGGAUUUAAUCCCCUUCCAGCCACCUUCCAGUCACCUCGUUGGGGGACCCUUUUAUCCCGGUUUGAAACACCAACCGGGAUAAAUGACCCCCUUUUAUCCCGGUUGGUAUUACAAACCGGGAUAAAAGGCUCUUGACCCUUUUAUCUCGGUUGGUGUUACCAACCGGGAUAAAAGACUUUUAUCCCGGUUGAUGUUUCAAACCGGGAUAAAGGCCUCUCAGAGUCUUUUUUUCCCACUAGCCUUUGCAACCGGGAUAAAAGGUCCCGGUUGGUGAGCCCCUCACCAGUGACCGAGUUUUAGUCCCGGUUGGUGAACCUUUUGUCCCGGACCAACUUUAAACCGGGACAAAAGGGGGCGUAUGGAAAGCCAAUUCUCUACUAGUGUUAGAAUCAAUGUCAUUAGCAUUGAGAUAUAUACUAGGCAGGGCCCUGUUUGUUCGAAGCUGGAAAUUAAAAGGAUAAAAGUGGGCAAAACAUUGAUAAAUUGGGAGAUGGUUUGCUGGCUCGAGCUCGUACAUUUUUAGGCUUAGUAUAAAAACAAAUAAAUAGUAUAACUAAUAAGAUGCAUUUAAGUUUCCCGCAACUGAAUAGCAUUACCAGGCAUUAGUCUAGUCUUAUUAGCGCGCAUUGUAUCAUGGUGCAUAUAAUUUCUUUUUGUGGCAUGUCACAGUUAGAAAGAGAGAAGAAAAGUUGUACUUGGUGGUGAUACUGAUACACUUUGCCCUUGAUAUCCAAGACUAGAAAACCAUACUCGCAUUCUGUAUUUCUGUGUCUACUCUAAAAUAGAACAAUGGCCUAGCUAGGAAAUAAUACAAUGCAAUCCUAGCAGAAUAUGUUAGCCUUUAAUCAUAACAACAUGAUCAUAUAAUGCAUCGGUAAUAGCCUUGGCGAGGAACAAAUACACACUGCAAUGUUAGUUGAAAGUACCUAACGCGACUGCUACUAGCUAGGUAGUUAGUACUUGAUCGGAUUGGUAUGGUGUACGUACUGCUAGUUGAGAUGAUUAAUUGUUGUCUCCGAGAAUCAUAUGUAUCACACGCAUGCUGCAGCUUGCACUUAAUUUAGAGCUGCAAGUUGGUUUAGGUAGUAAUCAAGCAAGUCGGCAGGCAUGCUUGGUCGUGCUGGCGCCAAAAAAAAAAUCCGUACCCCUGAUCCCCGACAGCUGGCGUCCAUGGUUCUUGGACUUGUUUUUUCCCGCGCGUGCUGCGCAAGUGCGCAGCUGGGGUCGUCUUCGAACCACGUACUACACUUCUACUUGAUUCGUUUAUUUCUCGAACCACGUACUGCGUGAAGUGGCCAGCUUCCAAACAUACUCCCUCCGUCCAUUUACUCUCUUGCGCGAUGACCAAGGGAGGGUUGAAGGAGGACCGAUUAUCAUUUAAUCGCGGCUUUGUACUAAAUGCACCGUGGGCUGUUGGGUUUCCAAGUAACCUCUCCGCUAACGCCGUUACCACGCGUCCGCGGCCAGCACGCGCGCUUGCCAUCCGCGGCCCUUCCGUUUUCCGUUUUGCCGCGUGAAAAUUGCCGAGAUCAUCUCCUUAGGGCAUGUACAACUCACGGACAGGUGUUCGUCUCUAAGCGUCUCGAAUCUAUCAUACAGAUAGGUAUAAAGACAGGUCAUACAACCCACCGAUGGGGGAUCCGUCUCUAUACUGUUUAAUACUUUGCAUGUAGCUAGGUACAUAUGGAGAAGAUUUGGGAGAGAGAGCACCUUCUCCCGCGCGCAAAUCACACCUGCGCGUGCGAGCGCCCGGGAUCCGCGCAACGACGAGUCGAGGAGGCGGUACAACGCUGCUGGAGCCAUCUCUUUCGCGAGGUGACGCCGGCUCCGUCUCUACGCUCUCACGGGGUGUUUUCUGUAAAAACUACGCUGAAGGGACGGGGUGAAGGGACCCGUUGUACAUGCCCUUAUUUGCCGCUGUCAUCCUUGAGUCCGCCCAGAUGAAAAAAUUGCCGAGAUCACCUCCAAAAUUAGCCGCGCUCGCUUCAAAAUUUCGAAGCUAAAUUCUGUUGCCGCCUAUGCUCUGGGAUGGUCUAUAUAAGUCUCCAUGGAAGUCAACCCUUGAGCAUGCAGUUCCAGCAAACUCUUUCCUCUCUCUUUCUCUCUAAUUCAUGUUGUACUAGUUCAUCAACAAUGCCUGGACUAGGGAUCGACUUAAAUGAAGCACCACCUGAAUCAGCAUUAAACCAUCCAAUAGAUUGGGAUGACGUAGUCGAUUGGGAUGGCCCUGCCCAUGAACUCGAUUAUGCCAUGGUUUGGGAUGAUGGAAAUCAAGGUGCAGAUUUAAUAAUGAUCCUUGAUUUGUCAUUUGUUUCUUCUGUUCGUCAUCUCAUCUUUUUGUGUGUUUCAUGUCAUAGGUGAUGAAGAUGGAGGAUUACCAGCGCCACCCACAGGAGUGCAAGCACCUGGUACAGUAGAUGGAGAUGGUCAAGGAGCAGAUGGAGAUCAAGAUGCUGCUGCAGUAGAUAGCGUGCAAGCAGAGGGUCUUUCAAAUGGUGAUUUUCAGUUUCUUGUAUUAAUCAGUGAUUUGUUGGUUGGAUCGGGUUCAGUUUUCUUAGUCAGGUUCAAGAUCAGUUUAGUCUAGUUUUUUAGUUUUAUUUGUUGUCGGAUAGAGCGUCAAGUGUUUUUUAUCCAUGCUGAAUGAUCAGUCUUUGUCUUUUAAACCAAUGUACAAUGUCGUGUACAUCGAUGAAAAGUAGUUCUAUAGGACUCGUAGGAACAAAAAUAUUACCUUACAAAUGAUGAAGAAAGACCACAAUGAACAGUUAAAAGCAAAAAUUUUAUUGAGGAGGUGAUGUUCCUAGCUAUGGUUAUGAGGUCUAAAUUUGAUGACAAUGGUCAAUGCAUUUUUGAUGGUAAACUAGGUAUUUUUCCCUUUGUGAAAGUAGAGCCAGCAAAGAGAUGGAGCCCAAACAGGGACGCAGGUACUAAAAAUUGCAAUUUUUUUUGCAUAUCCUGCAUGAAUUAUAAGUCUUAUUAACAAUGUUUACAUCUGUAGAUACCCUUGUAACAAAAGCCAUGACGUCGGUAACAAAAGAAGUUAGCCGAGAUUUCCUUGUGAACAAGGUUCUACCCGCAAUCAAAGCAAAGUGGUCUGCAGAAGAGAAAGGAUUGCCCAUAUACAUACAACAAGACAAUGCUAAGACUCACAUUGAUGUGAAUGGCCCUACAUUUGUUCAGGCUGCUCAAGCAGAUGGUUGGGGCAUUAGGCUCACAUGCCAACCUCCCAAUUCUCCUGACCUUAGUGUAUUGGAUCUCGGUUUUUUUGCAGCAAUUCAGGCACUGUUUGAAAAGGGAACACCAAACAACAUUAACAACAUUAUGGCAAAGGUUGAUAAGGCGUAUCAGGACUAUCCUGUGCAAAGGGCCAAUCGUAUUUUUCUAACCCAGCAGGUUGCAUGAUGGAGAUCAUGAAGCACAAUGGAGGCCAGCACUACAACAUCCCUCACAUGAAGAAGAAAACUCUAGAGUUGCAAGGACAUCUUCCAACUACUCUGAGUUGCCCUUUGCAACUUCACAAUCAAGCCAUGGAGUUCGUCUCUAGUUAGAAUUAGAAGUCAUGUAUGAUGUUUUUUUGUUGCUUUGGUUCGAGUAAUGGAAACUGCAAACAAUAUUAUCCCUUAUUUUUCAAAUGCAAUUCAUCUUGAACAUGAAUAUUUUCAUCCAUUAGCUAACAGAACUUACAGUACUGCUAAACUCAACACAAAAAUUGCUCCAACUAAUACUAGGACUAGUACAAGGAAGGAAAAAUAAUCUUAAACAUGGACAUCUUAGUUUCUUCAAGCUUCUCAGCGUCCAGACCUCUAUCUGGAGUCUUUGGCAAUCCAUUAGAAACAUUACAGUACCCACGACCAAUCCAAAGGUAGGUUGUUGCAGCAUCAUUGACGUCCUCCUCAUGGCGUCCAUACAAGAGAGGCAAUAAUAAAGGAAACAUCAAACUAGAGGCUUCAUGAUUCACCUUGUCGGAUUGAAACUUGUUAACAUCAGUUGAAGCCAGCUUCACUAGGGCAUACACGGUGUCAGGUUCGUCGAUUUCGGCAAUGUCCAUCUAGGAGUCCGGCACCUCAGUCUCACCUACAAAAGUAUCCAUCAUGAACUACACCUCGCUGUCGCCCAUGGGGUCUUCAUCUUCGUUGGUAGAAUCUGGUGCCGAGUUGACACCACGCACGUAAUGGAUCUCAUCAUCGUCGUCCUGGUGAUCCAUCGCAUGCAGCAGCGUGGCAGCAUGGCGGCGUGGAGCUACUCAGCAUCGCGGCGGCAUGGAUCGACUCGGCGGCGCGGAGGCGUGGUGGGCUGGACACUUUCACGAAGGCUAACGGGAGGGAACGGAGGCGGUAUUUGAAGCAAUGAGAGGAUGGCGCCGCAUCAAUUGCCGUGUUUCGUACAAGGAACCAUGAGCGCCUAGGGACGAGGUCCGUAGCUUAAACGAUGCCGACUCUUGGAAAACUUUUUUUUCCUCAGAUGAUAAAUGGACGGAGGGAGUAUAUUGAAUUUUAGUGGAUAUUCGAGAAGUUAGAUUUUAGGAUUCUCAAAAUCCCAGAAGCUCAGCUUGAGUAGAAGUCUAUUUAAUUUGGAUCGGAUCAUAUUCUGAGAAUCCAGAAGCAAGAAACUGCUGACUAGCUUCCAAACAAAUUAAAUUGAAUUCCUGUGGAGAUUCUAGGAGCUAGAUUUUAGGAUUCUCAAAAUCACAGAAAGUAGAGUGGGACAGCUUCCAGUAGCUACCUCACUCUAAGCUUCUGGGAUUUUGCGCUCCUUGAUCCAUUUGUGUCCUCCUUGACCUGAUCCCACUCGAAACUGUCCAGUCUAUCUAGCUGUGCAAUCACGUUGGAUUGUGCCCGCAGCUGCUCUGAUCUUGCGAUGAUCUCGCGCGUGCAGGCUUCGGAUCGGUUGGCCGUGUGAUCCGAUUCUCUGACACCUUAUAUAUACGUGCACCAUCCAUGACGACGACGCAGGACGCAAGCGACCACAAUCGGCACUGGUGGGCUCGGGCCGGCCACGUCGCCGGUCGAUGCAGCUGUGCUCCCGGCGGCCGCUUCCGUCAAAUCGGUCGAUCCGAUCAUCUUGUCGUCAAUUGUAUUCUCCCAUGGGAAUCACGUGAAGAAAGGUGAAAUGUACGGUAACUUACUAACAAAGGUAAUAUGACUUGCGAGCUUUGCGGUGAUAUAAGGUUCCGUUUGGUUGUUGAGAAGCUCCAAAAUUCAUGUCACAUCGAAUGUCUAGAUACUACUAGAAGUAUUAAAUAUAGACUAAUUACAAAACUAAUUGCACAGAUGGAGGCUAAUUUGCGAGAUGAAUCUAUUAAGCUUAAUUAGUCCAUGAUUUGACAAUGUGGUUGUUGGGGGGUAAAUAUUAACGGCCUCCUUAAAACUCCUCAAACAGCGGUCAUAAGGGCCCGGGCCCACCUGUAGCGACAGUGAUCUCCGCCGACCCAACGUGGACAAGGAGAAUUCCACUCCGCCUCGCCCGACCCCUGGUCCCGGGGUCGGACACGCCCGACCCCUCGCCGCAAGGCUCCGCCUCGCCCGACCUACGGUCCUAGGGUUGGACACGCCCGACCCGCCGCAAGGCUCCGCCUCGCCCGACCCUGGGCGCAGGGGGUCGGACUCAUCCAGGCCCACAAGACAAGGAUCCACCUUGGGCGCAGAUCAGCGGACGAGGGCGCAGAUCUCGUGGGCUCCCACCAACCUUGCCAUUAAUGCGAGGCGGCUCUGGCGUGCAGAAAGGCGCCCGCACUCCUCGACGUGGCUCGCCACCGUACUCAGGCGGUACACUGUAGCCACGACCGCACAGGCUACAGCGGCACCGUCCUAGUCCGCGGCCUUCCCUGUUCGCCAUAGGGUGCUCUUUACCCGUACCUCCCGGCAGAGGAGGGAGCGCCGCCCGGUUCUGCGCUCGGUCCGGCGGCAGAGACAUAACGACCACGCCUCUCGGACAGCACGCAGGACUACAGAGGUCGGCCGUCUCCCACGACAUGCACAGUUGCGGCGACCGGACAUCAUCAUCAUGCUUGGCCACGGCGGUCGGACAACGUGCGCAUCACGCACACACGGCGACGGCGGGCAACCAGAGGAUCCUCAACAGGAUCCAACGACAGCCGCCCCUCUCCGGCGGCCACGCUGGUAGGAGAUGAAGGCCGGAAGGGAAGGCGGCGACCCCGGGGACUCGGUCCUUCGACCAGUACUCUGCGUUACCUUACACACUUAUCUCUUUUACUUCUCCUUACGCCUGACUCAUCUGUAACUCCAGUGUCCUCCUUGCGCCAUAAAAGAAGGCCCAGGGGGCCCGAAACAAGGAGGACUCUCAAGCCAACUGAACUCACACCCUCUCCUCACGAGCAUCAGUGCACACCCAAGAGACUUGGGACCAGUUCCCUCUCUCGCCUGUUUGUAACCCCUACUACAGACUCCGCGUGAGUAACACGAGCAGCACCCCAUACUGGACGUAGGGCUAUUCCUGCCCGAACCAGUCUAACCUCGUGUCCUCUCACGCAGCCAUCCGAGCCUUACGCGCAUAAAACAAAUUUAUUUGCCGUAGUCUUGAUCUGCUAAUCUCGACAACGACAGUGGUGCUACAGUAAACAUGUGCUAAUGAUGGAUUAAUUAGGCUUAAUAGAUUCGUCUCGGGAAUUAGCCUCCAUCUGUGUAAUUAGUUUUAUAAUUAGCUCAUGUUUAGUCCUCCUAAUUAGCUUCCGAAUAUUCGAUGUGACAUUAAUUUUAGUCCGGACUAAAGAUCCAAACACCCCCUAAGGCUCGACUGAAUCUUCGUGUUACUUCUGCUGGUGCUGAUACAAUGCUUUUUUAAUUCUUAGGUCAAAGCGGAGACAAUGUUAGUUUUAGGGGGUGUUUCAAUGCUUUUUUAAUUCUUAGGUCAAAGUUGAGACAAUGUUAGUUUUAGGGGGUGUUUGGAUACUAGGUGCUAAACUUUAGUAAAGUCAUAACGGAUGUUCGGAUGCUAAUUAAGAGGACUAAACAUGAGCUAAUUAUAAAACUAAUUGCAGAACCCGUGGGCUAAUUCGUGAGACAAAUCUAUUAAGCCUAAUUAAUCCAUCAUUAGUAAAUGGUUACUGUAGCACCACAUUGUCAAAUCAUGGACUAAUUAGGCUUAAUAGAUUCGUCUCGCGAAUUAAACUCCAUCUAUACAAUUAGUUUUGUAAUUAAUCUAUGUUUAAUACUCUAAUUAGUAUCCAAACAUUCAUAGGAUAGGUGCUAAAUUUUAGGGUUGGUAUCAAACACCCGUAGCAAACCAAGCUGGCGGCGAGCAUCAUGCUAGCUGCUUGCGUACAAGAUGAUGACGUACGUAUCUUACGUGGACACGCAUCUACUUUCUGCACUAAUUGUCGGUAGGCCAUUCAUCGCCUGAUCGAGAAGAUGAUUCGGUUUUUUGGACACGUGGCGUGUGACCCCACCCUCUCUAAUUAAAAUAGGUCUAUAAAUUGAUGUGUGUAGAUCCGUAUGGGUGCAGCGUGUGCUAUCACUUGGACAGCGAGGCGGGACAGAUCGAUCGCGAUGCGGCUGGCUAGUGCUCUGCUAGCUGUGUGCUGUCAAGCUGAUUGGGACUGGCGAACUGCCGUGUCCCUUCAGUUCCCGUCCCUGCCACACGUACGUACGCCGCCGUGGCCGCGGAUCAGCGGCAAGAAUUCCGCACGCUUUAAUUUCCCACGACCACCAUGCAUGCAUGGGAGGCGUCCGUAGUCCGUACACCUCUUGGAGCCGAUCUUUAUCUCUUUGGGGCCGGCACCAGGCGUGCUUUGUGGAAUCUGUACGAUCCACCGCCAUUGCAUCAUUCAUGCCACGCCGGCGCUAAGCCAAUGGCGACCUUUGUUUUUUUGGAGCCAAACGAAUGGUAACUUUGAUUAAACUUUCAUUUCCUUUAGGUUUUUCCAUGACGAUGGCAUCACCGACCAAACUUAAAAAUGAUCUGUGUGGUACGGCGUGGGGCACUGCCUAUGGGAAUGGGUAUAAUCUAUCUAUGUACUGACUUUUGUGACCAUUUAUUUUAUUUAUUCCUGAAUAAAGGUCAAAGUGAGGUUGCACUAAAGGAGUGUACUAUAAGACCCUUGAAUCAUUUCUUAAACUCAAUUCGAAAGAGGAAAACGUGCCUGCAAAUACAAGCAAUAACUUUUCUAGAUGAUCAGUUGGUGAUCGGGGCAAUGCUCAGUAACAUUCCAAGGCCUGCUCUUCAUAUAUAUUAGAGGGCACACCUUUGUGUUCAACUGAAUAUUCCACCGAAAGCUAUAGCACCAUCACAAUUCUGUAAACUAGUCCAACAAACCGUGCAUCCGCGCACGGGCUAAUACUUUUAGAUGACAUAUAGGUUAUUAUUUAGAUUAGGGAGAGCCAUCAAAAAUAUUUUCUAUUUUUUGCUUUCUUUUAUGUGUUAUUUUCUUAAUGCUUAUGAUAUCAUAUAAUUUAAAUAGUACAUAAUACAUUAAUGAGCAUUGGUUGUUAUGAUUGGGUAGUGAGACCAAUACAUUUUUUAUAGUGCAUACUAUGCUUUAAAAUUGGUAAUAAGUACAAUGACAAUAAAAAAAAAGGAAAAUCACUAUGUUUCAUGCCGUCUCCUCGGUACUUCCCAAUGUAGCAGAUAUUAAUCAAAUUUGAGUAUAUGAGCAUGUGGGAGGCCCAUCUUUUGCAACUCAACCAUGUAGAUAUCUACAUUGAAAAUGGAUAUUGUUAGCUCACCUAUAAAUGAAUAAUUAGCAACAUACUUGAAUAUGAGAUGUUCAUAUUUACCUGUAAUAGGUUCCCAACAUUGUAGUCCAUGUUUUAUGUCUCUCGUCAAUUUCUUCAUGUUAUCUUGAAACACUGUACUGUUGAUGUCAGGCAAUGGUCUUUGACCUUCUCCUUCCUCAACGACGUUACACAUAAAUGACACAAAUAGUUUAGGGUGUUGAACAUAAUAACAUGUCAUCAUAGCAUCUUGGUGGUUUUGUCCCUGUAAACAGCACGCCUUUGUAAAGGAGACGAUAAUAUUAUCCUCUUUCCAACAUGUCCAUCUCUUGUGUCUUCUUCUAUGAAUGUUUUUUUCUUGGUAAAAGGUUCCUCAGUGUCUACCUCUUCAUUCAGUAGUUAUUGUGUAGCCUUUGUAUGAGUUGUCUUCUACUUCCUUCAAAUAAUCAAAAAGAAAAUAAAUUUAGGUCAGAAUUUGUUUCAUCGAUACAGUAAACUUAUCAAAUAGUAAGGAUUCAAAAGAAAAAGUGCAAUAAAAUACUUAGUAAUAAUGAAAAUGUGUUACCUCUUUGACACUUUGCAUGUUAAUUGUUGAACUGCUCUUUUCUGUUGGAAAAAUAUCUUUGGAACACUAUAAUCAGGUCAAAAACUUGUCAAGUUGUACUCGGUCAUUCUGAACUGAAAAACAUUGUUUGUCCACAUAUCUGUUGAUUCAUUAAUUACCAUUUGUGCUUCCUUGUCAAAAAGUACACAAGAUGCAACUGCUGUUGGAUCACUUAUUGUAAAGUACUAAAUAAUUUACCGUGCUAUAAGUUUAGCUCUCUUGUCACAUUUAUUGCAAUAGUAGUGAUCAAAUUUCGUUUCAAGUUGCUUCUUACAAUGCCUCUACUACAUGAGAUGUAGUACAAACCAAAAUGUUGCAUUAGUUUCAUUUAUUGUUGCUUCAACGGUAAUUACUUUAUCCUGUAAGUAGAAAAAAUACCAUCAGUGUGUGUAAGUCUUUAAACAGGAUAGUCUAUAAUGAACAAACUAAUGCAUACCUGAUUUGAUGUGUCAAACAAUAUCGAAUUCAAUUCUUCUAAAGUUCUUCUGUUGUACUGCAUAAGGUCUUCCAAUGUCCCUUUUAGAUGGUCUUCCAAUACCAUCAGUAUGUUUUAAAGUUCUUCUAAAUCCCUCUUAUAAUAUUAUCAAUUGAACUAACGCUUUUUUCAUAAUUCAUGUUAGAGUGCAGGCUACAUAGCUUAAAAUAGAAAAAUAAAUAUCUAAAUUUGUUUUAAUAUUUUAUUUUCUUAGGAGGUUAGUUUGUUGAAUGAAAAAUAUUGAAUAGCUCAUAUCAAAUGAUGACUUACUGUCAAAUUUCCUCACAGUUGUAGAUGUUAUUAUGAUGACAUGGGAUUUUAUCUUAUCAUCAACCUCCUCAAAUUUGUCUCCCCAAAAUCUAACUUUAACUUCAUGGUCACUGCAAAUUUAAAAUUUUGUAUUUAACUAUCUGACUGCAAAUUAAAUUGUUUGGAGGGGCACUAUAGAAGAUAUUUUGAUAUUUUGAGUUCAACAAAAGUUCUGUAGCAUGCAUGUAAACAUUGAAAGUUUUGUAGUUGUUUUGGAUGAGAGAAAAGUGAAUUAACUUCCUACUCGAUCAAGAGCACAAUAUCAUGGAUUUUGAUCAAACAAAAUGGUUUAGUAGGCGUAACACAUGCCAUGAAAAAUUAAUCUAGUUGUAGAAGGGAAAUUAAACAAAUUAAUGUCUUUCUCACGUGAGAUUUGAAUGGUCUAAAAGGUUCCCUGGCCGUAGCACUUGAACCUUCAAUAGGAAUAACAGUUCAGAGGCAAUUUGAUCGUACCUUUCUAUUGAAUAGCAGCAGGGUCUAGUUCUGUUGAUGAAAGUAGCAGCAGACCCUAGUUGAUGAAGCAGUACACAAAACAAAAGAGUUGUUCGGCAAAGACGGCAUCUCUCUUUUUAUAUACACGCAAGAGUAUCUAAUUUAGUUGUAUUAGCUAACAACCCUUUAGGAUAGAUUGUUUUAUGAUUUAAAUAUGGGAGAGAGAUUGAAGGCAAGAGAUUACGCUAAAUUUGAUCGGCAGGCAUCUCUAUAUGCACAUACGUAUCUAGUUUGUUUGUUGGUUGUAUUACAUAAUUAAGGAUUCUUUAACGAUAUACUCUUUUUAUGGUUUAAAUAUGGGAGAGAAAUUAGGGGCAAGAGAUUAAUUGUGUCACAUGUGACCGGCAGGACAGGGUAGUUAGACAAUUUUUUAUUUUAUUUCAAGCAAAGAGAUUUAUUAUGUAAGAUGUGACCGGCAGAUCGUUUAGAUUAAUUUUUUCUACAGUGGAUAUGUGAGUAAUUUAGACAUAGAUAUAGGAGUUAUUUUGUUAAUUCUUUAUAAUGGUAUAUGUGGGUAAUUUUAGAAACAGAGUACAUCUAACGGCUAUUAAAAUCUUACUAGUAAAGCAAGAUGUUUUGCUUUUUUUUAGAAUUUAUAGGAUUUCUCAAGAAUGUCCACCUAGAAAUCCUAAGUGGCUUCACCUGGAAGCUUCAAAAGGAACCUCGAAUUAGUAAAAGGAAGAUUAGUUACGGGUUUACGCCGCAUAUUUUACGCAUGACGGUACGGUCAAACGGAAUCGAUACAGUAAAUCUGUGUCACUGCAUGGGCACCAAAAUCCGAUCCUUUUCGUUUUCGUCCCGCCGAUCCAUUCAACGGGUCUCAAGGUCAUCAGUGUCCCGCGCCGCCAGGCAGUGGAGAGAUGUGUGCCGGCGCCGCAGAACGCACACAACAGGCGGCGGCGAAUGGUGGAAGGCAUGCCGUUGUCGCCUUGUCGGCCACGCUGCACCACACGUACCACGACGUUCGGUGGUCGACAUGUGGAUUAACGGUCCUACUAAUCUCGUGCACAUGCAUGAUGGUUACUGCAAGUAUGGGCCUGCUAGCUUUAUUUGGCUGCUUGAUGGGACACUUGUCGCACGCUCACAUAUCUUGCAUGGGAGACUGCAGGAACGCACCAUUAUUGCGAAAAAAAAGGCUCAGCAUGGGCGGAAGUCAAAUUGUCAAGUUUGAUAAAUUAUCAAAUUUAUAAGGAAGAGUAUCGAUAUUUAUAACAUUAAAUAGGUAUGCUAUGAAAAUAUAUUUUAUAAUAAAUUUAAUGAAAAUUUGUUAGACAUCAAAAGUUGUUGGAGCCCAAAAGUGGCAGUGGUACCGAUCAGGCUUGUAGCCGAUCUGGUGCAUGUCCACCGGUCCGGUGGCCCCGACCGGUCAGCCCGAGUCUGAAAUAAUUUUUGGAGUCCAGGGCGAAUCGGAGAUGAAGCGGGAUUUUCUUGCGGGAAAAGACCUCCCGCCCUAUAAAUAUAAAGGGCCCUGACCGAUUGAGGGCAACCAACCCAAUCGUUAAAAAAGACCUCCCGCCCUGUAAAUAUAAAGGGCCCUGACAGAUUGAGGGUAACCAACCCAAUCGUCAAACACAUUUACCUACUUUUUACCUCCAAACCCUAGCUUUCCAACCCCCUUGCUUUCCUCCUUCGUCUCGACAGCAUUUGAGGACGUUCUGAGUGGCCUGACCGAUCUCAGAGCAACCCUAGGCCCGCCAUCUCCGACGGGGUCCCUCAUGAGGUGGUGAACGUAGGCUUUCGCGGUGCCCCUACGAGGAUCGGUCUGACCGGACCCCCUAACCGAUCUGACCGGCCAGGUGCAGAAGCCUCACGAGGUGAUCUUUUGAUUUGCGUGCGAACCAGCGUGAUCGUGUGUUGGCCGGAAAAGGCGCCAACAAAAGUAUUGAUAUAUUUUUAUAUAAAUUUGGUCGAACAUAAGAUGAUUUGACUUAGGACAAAACUCUAUACGGAACCGGAGGAGUAGGUGGUUGAGUAUUAGUUUUUUUUUUGACCUCGUAUCUUUCUCCUUUCUUGCAUCAUGAGGCAUUGUUCCAACUUUCCCAGUGCUAGCCACAAUUAUUUCUUUUUUAAAAGACUGCAGGAACGCACCAUUCACAAAACAGGGGCGACCUCAGUCAGCAUGGGACGGCGGCACGCUUGAUGCAAGCGCUCACGUAACCCUCGUAACUGAGGGUUUUUUUUUAACCUUGUCUCUUUCUCCUUGUUGGAGUAGAAACUACGUGCUCUGCAUAUGUGCUUUAGCCUUUAGUCAAAGGAUGUUCUUUCUUGCGUCGUGUUGCUUUGCUCCAACUUUCUAAGUAGUAGUAGCAGCUACAAUUAUUUCUUUUUAAAAGACAGAGCCGUGUCAAUUUUAAUGCCGCAGCUGAGAUGCUGGUAGCACUCAAGCACAUCCCUUGCAUUUGAUGUUCUCUUCCGGCGCAAAUUCAGAAUACAACCCAAAACUGGAUUAUGAUUGCUUCCGCCUGAAACAAUUUGUGACGGCAUGAAUUUAGCAUUGUGCCCACUUCAUGCUGGUGAUGAGGAAAAAGUCAGGAGGAAUACGAAAACCUGCUCAUUUAGACGGCACCGAAAACUGAGAAAUGAGAGCCCCUUUUUAUGCUUUCCACUCAGGCUGCUUGACCUUUAAAGUACAUGUACAGACAUGCUUGGAUUAUUGGAAAGCCAGUGCUGGUAAUUCUAUUCCGAUAAAAUAUUCGCACCAUGAAAAAAAAUGUAGUAUGUCCAGCAUGGAAGCAGUUGAGUAUAUACGACAGUAUCUUAGUAAGUCGAUAGGGAGAGGUUAGGAUAAAUGGGCACAUGUGGAUGUGCAAGUGCGGCCGCUUUAGCUAGGUUGCCGGGCCGCAUUUGAGCUACAAAACAAGCACAUUUUGCAGGCCUUAUCUGCAAACAACUGCAGCUCUAUCUUGCUGUUACAAGGGCAAAAAGGAUUGACGCCUAUAUAUACACGAGAUUAAUUGUAAAUGGUUGGAAAGAUCAAACAUCUGCAUCAAACCUUAUUUCUAAUGUACCACUGUUUGAAAUGAUGGCCUUCCUGCCUGAAAGAGUUGUUGUGAACAAGUAGCUAACCAACCAACAAGUCAUAGUCCCACACUAGCUAGCAGAAGAGGUAGCAUCUAGUCAAUGUAAUUGGAAUAAGCACCGCUGCCAUGGCUGAUUUCUUAUCCAAAUUCGUGGACUGCGAGCCACUAUAUUGCGGCCCCAAAUUUCAUAUCGAUUAAUUCUUGCCGUACCGGCAACGGCAAGGUUAUGUUAUUACGCACGUUGUAAAUCUGACAUGAUGCGAGAUGGUCGGUGGUAUCAGCGUCAACUGGAUAGGGACAAAGUGUAUUCAAGUGGUGCUCCAUUCUGUCUCCCUAAUUCCGUCAGUGACUUAUUGUACUGGGCAAAGAUUACAUUACUACAAAGUUAGUAAUGCAAGCAUCAAGCUUACAUAGGUGAUGACGAAGGUGUCAGUGCUAUAAGACGCAGUGGUCAGGACACGAAAAUGAAAGUAACAAGUACUUUAGUAAUGCACAUCAUUUUUUUUUACGCGAACAGCAGACUGCACAUCAAUUUUAAUUGGGUGCAUCUUAGGUAAAAGUGAAACUCUACAGAUUUGUUAAAAACUUUGCUAAGGAGUCGCCACAAAUUGUUAAAUACUCAAAGCUGUAGGUGAUGUUAUGUUGUCAUCAAUCCAUGCAUUGAAAUUUGAGCAUGCUGUUUGUGAGAUUAAACUAUAAACACAUUUCUAGGCCUUUUUUGUCUAUGCAAUCGCAAUGCUAUUGCAGCUGAUGUUUAUCUUACAAUCAAGAUUAACUUCGCUCUUGAGAUUUUGCAUUGAUUUAGAACAUAACAUCACCUAAUUUGUGGUUUAUAAUUCCUCAAUUUUUUUAGUUAGGUUUAAUUUUUGACAAAUUUGUAAAGUUGCAAUUUAUUGGCUGUUUUUCAACAUUGGUUCAAUUAUAUGAGAAUCGAGCACUGGAAUAUAGUCAAUAAUACGAACAAGCUAUUGGCUAUAUUUCAAAACAUGUUACGGUCAUAAAUAAUAAUGACAUAUGAAAAUAAGUCAAUCUAAAUAUAUCUAAGGGACCGGUGACAAAAAUAGCCUUUUACAUUAAUCAUCCUGUUGGGUAUGUUAGUAAUUUUUCAUUUAAUUUAAUCCAGAAACAAAAAUAUAUAACAUGAUAGUAAACAUAGAUAGAUUAAUCAUGUUGCAGAUACUAAUUAAACUAGACACGUGCCUAAAAAAAGUAAACUAUGCAUGCUAAGAAAAUACUAGCACAUAUACCUCAUUAUUUGCACAAACCAGAGGAAUCCCUAACACUAUACUCUGUUCGGCUGGCUGCUUUGCAGCUGGCUGCUGCUGCUCGCAAGCAGCUGUAGCAGCACGCACCAGCAGCCGCCAUGCACUAGCCGAACAACGCCACAUACAUACAUACAUACAUACAUACAUACAUACAUAUAUACAUACAUACAUACAUACAUACAUACAUACAUACAUACAUACAUACAUACAUACAUACAUACAUACAUAUAUAGCAGCAGGGUUGAAGAGAAUAGUAGUUGCCAAAGUUAUGUUUUGCAAAAUCUACUACAGCACGUACGCUAGCUUGAUUACAUUAUUAAUUAUCCCCCUUUAAGAAAUUUCCAAGGAAAAAAUUGAAGGACCGUACAUAUAUAUUGAUCGAUCUGCAUGCAGAAGCCGGGGAAUAGUCGCGGCACAUAUUUUGCUCGUGGUCGAAUGGCAGAAGAGAAGAAAUUUGAUAUCUCUCUAGACUGCAGAAAGCAAACCAAAGAAUUUGUGUGUACGCUAUCCUAUCCACCACCACCAGGACUAAGCAAACACUCCCACAAGAAUGAAAACAACCUUCCUCGCAAAAAAGAAAAAAAGAAACAAAAAAUGAAUGCAAACAACCUGCGCAGGACAGGACCCUUUUUCCGCGUACCUGCACGGAUGCGUCGUCGGCAUUUUCGUCCCCGGCGCCCCGCGCGUGGCGCCACCGGUGGAUCCAAACGCGUCGCCGUCAGAAAAUCUCACGACCGGCCACCUAAUUAAGCAAGGUAAUACAGAGAUCGUCCAAGCAAAAUCGCAGAAAACUCCUGGAAACCGGGCUCUGGUUUGGGUCGCCAGUAAACACAAUACGUGACGGCCGCCGUACGUCCUUUCGGUCUCGUGGGCUGCUUCGCAUGAUCUUCGUUCCUGCAGUGUCCCACGUCCUGCUGUUCAUUUGGACGUCGGCCGCCGACCAGAGAGGCCUAUUAUUCCUGCCACCUUUUGCUUUCCAGUCGUCAGCAGGCUGCUAGGUUUUUGUAGCACAAAUGCAUGGGUUCAUAUGUAUGCAGAGUAGGGGAACAGAACGAUUACCUCAAUUCAUCAUAAGAUGUUCAAAGACAAGGAUAAAAGCAUGCUCAUAGAAGAGCACAUGUGCGCCGGUGCAAGUGCGGCAGCUUUGGCGCUUUCGGAGUCGGAGCUACAACUCGCUGCGCGGUUCAUACGAGGCUCUGCAAAUGGUUCGGGAAGCACAUUUUGAAGCAUGUUGGGCUUAAUUCUCUAUCUGUCUUGCAACUCAGCCCAACUAGGCCCGCAAGACCGCCAUCACCUUCCCUGAUUUCCCUUCUGCCGCCUCACUCCAGUCCUCAGUCACAUUCAGGGUUCGCGCACGGAUCCCUGACGCCGUUCGCCCGUGUUCUUCUGCCCCCCAAAUCAACAGAUCAGCGCCGCGGAAUCUAGCAGCCCGUUCGGUUGGCUGCGGCUGGGCUUUUUGCGGCUGGACUUUUCAGCCCAGCCGUUCGGAUGGCUGCGGCUUCUAGCAUCCACGGAAGCUGUUGGAAGGGAUAACGACGCGCCUCCAGUGCCUCCCUCUCGCCCCCUUCGUCGCUUGCUCCCCUCCGUCCCUCGCUCCGGAUCCGCCGCCGCCGCUCCCUCCGCUCCCCCGCUCCGUCCCCUCCGCCCGGUCUGCGCCGCCGGCGGGCCCUCGGCUCGGCCGCUCCGUCGCGCUCGCCCGCGCGACGCCGCCGUCCGUCCUGCUUCUCCUCGCCCCCUCCGUCCGGCGCGGCCCGUCCGGAUCCGCCGCCGGUGCAGCUUCCGCUCCGCCGCUCCCUCGCUGCCGCGCGCUCCCCGCCGCCGGUGAGGCGUGGAGUGGCCCUCUCCCUCCCUCCCAUCCGGCCGGGCGACGGCGCCGUUCCUCCCGCUGGACGUCCCCUCCGUCCCUCGGUCCGGAUCCGCCGCCGCCCGUCCCUCCGGAUCCGCCGCCGCAGCUCCGAGCCGGCGCACGCGCUGCCGCCGCCGGUGGGCCGUCGGGUGGAAGGACCGUCUCCCGCGCCGUCGCCCCCUGCAUCCCCUUCGCUCACAUGUAUGGAUGCUACCCCAUCCGUAUGCCGCUAGUGAAUGAAUGAAUGCUUUCACCUCACAUUUCUGGAUGUGAUUCCUGUUAGGCAUGAAACCUGAACACCUCAACCUUGAAUUAUACCGCCGUUGAUUUCAUCGGGUUGCAUUGUUUGAUAAUAGUCUGAAACAUUCAAGUGGACACUGAAUUGGUUCAUUAUUUUUCUGUGUGUUAGAAGGGGACUAAGACAAUCACUGUGAAGCGAAGACAAGUCAUAGGUUGAUAGAUUGUGUCCCUCUCGCCAAAUGCCUAUUUAUCAUGGUUAAUGUGUUAUGCUAAUCCUGCGUUCCUUACUUUCAUUUGAUAAUUCUGGGUUUGUACUCAAUAGUUAGCAAGUAGUGUCCUAAUUACUACUAAGGCUGGUGUCAAUCUCGAUUCAAUUUUUGCACCCAGCAGCAAAAAUGUGUAAAAUGCUUCCUGUUUUUAGACAUGCUGCUGGGCAACUGACUUGUUUGAGUAGGGUUUGAUUUUUCUAUGGGAUACUCAGCAUCAUGCAGAAUCUUUCUCAUGAUUGCUGAAGUUUUGAGCUUUCUUCAGCGGGCAUGCUCAAUCUGAGCUCAUGACUGUUCUGCGUUGCAACUUUUUGCAAACCAUUGCUGUUUCUGCGCAACCAAAUAUGAAGACAUUUCACUACAUAUAAGAUCUAGUCAAGUACAUACCUUAAUGCUUAUUGUUGCCCAUUGUGAUAAAAGGAAGGCCUCAAACUAGGAUUGAGGUUAUUUCAUGGGUUAUUCCUUACAGCAAGGGUAUCUGAAACUGAAAUAUCAGGUUAUAGCUUGAUUGGUUGAUUUAAUUUCUCCCCUGGUUUUGGAGGCAUACUUUCUUCUCCCUGUUUCCCUGUUACAUACUAGACUACUUCAUAGUUAGCUGACAUAAGUAGCAAUGGAAAGUUUAAGCGAACGUGGGUGGAAUUAUGCGUUUUCUCAUGAUAUUUGGACCUUUAUUUCCUUUUCAAGUAUGCAAGUAUUUUUUUAGAUAUACUGUGAGAAGUUUGCUGAAAGUGUACAAAAUAUAAGUAUAAAUGCAGUAUGAAUUGACAAUGUCUUAGAGACUUAGUUGGAGUAGACAUUAGCCCUUUGACUGCACCAUGAUUGUCAGCUAAACUAAAAAGGUCCUGAUAACAUGCACUUCCUGAUUUUUACUUGGAUCUUAGAGGCAAGUCUCGUGAAUAGCAAUUUUUUGCCACUGAUAGUCGAAGAUGCAAGCUGAAUGUCACAUUGUGCUGACCUUGUGAUUUCUUUUUGUCACCUUUCAGGCUUCAGGAGGAAGGGUGCAAGGAACACAACACUGAGGCAGAUUCAAGGGUGCCCACACUGGCAUCGUCAUCGACUGGUUCCUGCUCUCCCCCUCCCCCCCGUGUGCCCGUACAAUUUCCGCCACAAACGCCCCAAAGCACCUGCUAAGGCAAGUAACAAUUUCUUUAUUUUACAUUGCUUAGUUGUGUACGUAGGUCGUAGUUGUCCAUAGAUCGGUGCCAUAUAAUUGCAGCUCCUGUGUGCUCAGAUGAAUAACUGUGCCAGCUGGGAUGAGCCCACGACAAAAAUUUUGCUGGACUUGUGCAUUGAACAGAAGAACCAGCUCAACUGGAGCGAUAGAUGCCUCACUAAGUUGGGAUGGAGGAAUGUGCACUCCAGGUUCAGGGCAGAAACUGGAUUGCAAUUGGGAACGAAGCAGCUGCAGAACAAGCUCAACAACUUGAGGAGGCAAUUCUUCGGCUGGCAGGCAUUGCAAACCUCAUCUGGUUUAGGGCGCGACACACAAACUGGUGGUGUGUCUGCUGAUGCCACGUAUUGGGAGCAGUACCAACAGGUACGGACUUUGCGACGGCCCUAAGUUACUGAUCGUCUUACUUGUACUGUUUUGUUUGCGAUGCUGAUAUUUUACUUUGAUGGGACAUUGCAGGACACCCAGGCGAGGGUCCCAGUCGAGUUCUGUGAAGCCUCCACCUUUCCUCAACGAGUUGUUUGAGUUGUAUGGCCACGAACCCCAAGAUAGGGGCACCUUGCUGACGGCCGGAGGUAUUCGUGAGGACACACCUAGCAUGGGGACUGAGGGCAAUUUCGUGGACUUGGAGCAGGACCCCGCCCCUGCUAGUAGUGCUCGUGUCAGUGCUCGUGCCAUGUCAAAAAGGCCGGUCCGAGAGUUCUCUGUGGACAGUCCCACCAAAAAAAGAAGUGACAACUUGGAGCAGUACAUUAGGGAACUAUCUGAGAGUGUGGCCAAGCAGAGCCUGCUACGUGCGCCGAGUAUCCAUGACCAAAUCUCGCGUUGUAUUGAGAUCCUAAAAGAAGAUGGUAUAGAGCAGGGGUCGGAGCUUCACAACCAGGCUAUGUUUUCAUUUGGGCAGAGCGCGGAGUGUCGGUCCACGUUCAUGGGGUUGUGCACAAAAGAUGCCCGAUUGAGUUGGAUCAAUUUCUACUGGAACAUGAUGCACAAGAAGUGAUGGUGCCCUGCUUAUUUGUUAGCUUAGUUGCACUUGUGUUGUGUUGAACAUUAUUGUUAGCUUCUGUAACUAGUAGUGAUCGUUGAACCUUUCUAUGUGCGCCGAGUUGAACAUUUUUAAGUUAAUGAUCGUUGAACCUUUCUCUAGUAUUUUAGUGGUUGUUUCUGUUCAGGUGUAUCUGACUGUUGACCAUUUCUAUUAGUUAGUUGUAUCUGUUCAGUUGUACGUAUAAGUUUUGUUGCUAAGUUACUUUGAAGUUAAAUUACGUUCAAUUUUUUUGCAAACUAGUUGUACCUCCUCUCAGUAUACAGAACGUUGUUCACCUUGUCUUAUAAGCUGUGUUUUCAUUUUCGACAGGUACUUGAAGUAUGAGUGGUGCAGAGGAACACAACAGUGACACCAGCAGCGACAGCAGCUCUGUGUUCGAUAUGAAAUGUUUAGGAGGAGCUGCAGCCGCAUAUGCGGAGCUUCGCAGCAUUCAUCGUGCUAGACGGAACCCGCCAGUUGAGCUGCCACGCCUGACGGGUCGGCAAUGGGUGGAGCUGAACCUCCGGGACAGGAGGCGGUGCUUCGAUAAUUUUCGUAUGUAUCCCGACACGUUCCUUCAGUUGCAUGACAUGUUGGUUAGCAGUCAUGGGUUGAAAACGUCGCAAGGGGUAGAAUCUAUUGAGGCGUUAGCUAUGUUUGUGUGGGUGUGUGCGACACAGCAGGCUUGCCGUCAGAUUAGAGAAAGGUUUGACCAGAGUUUGGACACAGUUAGUAGGAAGAUGGCGCAUGUGGCAAAUGUAAUGUAUUCGUUUGCCCAGCAAGUCAUCGCUCCAAAGGAUAAAGAGUACUCUACGGUCAAUCACAAGCUGACCCAAUAUGCACCGUUCUUUGAUGGGUGCAUAGGUGCUUUAGACGGCACGCACAUUCCAGUACUUGUCGGGCGUGAGUCCCGUGUGGAUUUCCUAAACAGAAAAGGAUGGACGAGCUUCAACGUGUUAGCCAUAUGCGAUAUGGACAUGCGAUUCACGUACGUAGGAGCUGGGAUGGCAGGCUCGUGUCACGACAUGGCGGUUUUGCGUGACUGUAUGUCGGCAAGCACGUACCCACAUCCACCUGCAGGUAUGUGACUUCUAAGUGUGCACAUGUAGCUAGACUUGGAAAAUGUGGUGCAGUACUGUUGAUUGUUUGUGAUUACCUGCAGGCCGCUAUUAUUUGGUCGACUCGGGCUACGCAGUUCGCGAAGGGUAUCUGGGGCCGUAUAGAAAUACGAGGUAUCACCUGGAGGAGUUUAGCAGAAGGGCGGCGGACACAUUGGAGGAGAAAUUCAAUUUUCACCAUUCUAGUCUUCGCAAUGUGGUGGAACGCGCAUUUGGUGUCCUGAAAUCGAGGUGGCACAUUCUGCGGGAAGUUCCACUAUAUUCAAGAGAACGCCAAACGAAGAUUGUUAUUGCUUGUUUUGCACUGCAUAAUUAUUUGCUGGACCUUGCCAAUGACAGUUCUGCAGGAUCGUCCAGGGCGCGAGAACCGGACUAUGCGGUGUCCGAAUGGGUGGCAGCUAAUGCUACACCUGAUAUGGGCAGUGUCCGAGAUUGGAUUGCGGCGGGAAUCUCGUUGAUGUAGACGCGGGAUGUAUGUUGUGUACGUUCAUGUUGUAAUUUGUAUGUACGAAAUUGUAAUAUGUUGUGUGUACGAUCGUACCCUCGAGUGUGUUUGUUAUGUUUGCCGGCCACCAUUUAAAUGGUGUAGUUGCAUUUACCGCUACAAAUUUUAUUUUCGAACGUAGCAGCGCAUCCGUAGGGAAACCACUUUGGAAAUUGCUAAGGAUAAGCUGUCACCGCUCCCUCGCUACUAUCGGUACAGGAACAAUUUAUUUUCGGUUUUUUUAACAACCUUAUAUUUUUUAAGUAUCAACAAUUCCCUUAUGAUUUGUAGUCCCACACGUUGUAAUUGUUUCAUUCUCUAAAAAAGAGUAGGCAAAUGAGACUUGAUUAAUUGGUUUGCUGCAUAAAUUGCUUUUGUAACCGGACUAAGUUUAACCUUAACCGUCAUGUGGGCCAAACGGCCCGUUACCAGGCAAACCCGGCGGGCCAAACGGCCGUUAACAGGCACACCCGGCGGCAGCAGCAGCAGCUGCAGCGCUGCAGCAGCCGCAGCGGCAGCCAGCAGCCGCAGCCGCUAUAAGCGCUGCCAAACGCGGUCAAGGUCGGGGCAUCCGGCGGACAAGGACAGGCCACGAGGCGCUGGCGGGCGCAUUCCCCGGCGACAGUCAUGGCACGUAUGUGGUACCACAAUUAUUUACUAUAAGUUAUCAUAAUUAUUUAGCAUCAAAAUAUUUUUUUAAAUUAUGGUACAAUCGAUUUAUAGUAAAUUAUAACAUAUAGGAAUGGACAUAUCAAUUCCAGUAAGUCGACUACAUUGUUGUCUGAAACCAUUCAAGUUAUUGUAAUUAUUCUAGUGUGUUGGAUGGACUGACCACAGAAUAAAGCUAUUCUAUGACCGGUCAAGAAGUAUACUCUAUGUAUGUAUGUAUGCACACACUUAUUAAGCCUUGAUCCGAAUGAAUCACUGAAGAUAUUAGAAAGAGACAGCCACGACGUCCUGAAGCAGCCAGAAGCCAUGAGGAGGUUCCGUAAUAGCGCCAACUUUAUAGAAUUGCACAACGGUACUGGCCUCCAGAUCAAACAAAGGAGUCAAGGAACAAUAUAAUAUAUGAGAUAAAGCACCCAUAGCAGUACUGAAGCAAUGGGAUUGCAAUUGGGAGCUGAUGUCCGUCUACCAACCUUUUACUACAAGUUAAGCGUCGGCAAAUAAAUGGGCGUUGGGGAGGUAACAAGCUCAAGGGAUCAUACGAAUGAAUAAAAAUCAUAAACUGGAGUCCAUCACACAAGCAGCAACAUUGAAACAGACGAGCCUAAGGAAGGCUGCUAAUGGUCUGAGAACCGCUCCAAAAUCAAACCAUAAAUAAAAGAAAAUCCACACCAACCAACCCAUUACUCUUAUAUAUCUAAACCAAACUAACUCAAUAGUGUAAAAAAUCACAAACCAAACCAAAUUGCAUGUCUCAAACUGGUUCUAAGCCACUUAAAACCUAUUUUCUAUAUGUAUCAUAUGGUUAGCUUUCGAUGUUGGUCCACAUGUAGAUCUAGUAGAUUACCAAUUUGCAUGAAGUAGCUAACUAUCAUUUUAAGACAUCUUUAAUAAAUUUCAGUUAAAUUUGCUAAAAUUUUAAGGUGUGUACGCGAGGUUUUAGUUUUAGGAUCCACCUUUUAACGUGAGGCUCACAUGUAGAUUUAGGCACACUGAUCUGCAUGAAGUAGCUGACUGUCUGAGACAUCUUCAACAAAUUUCAUUCAAAAAAUUUAAAGUGUGAACAUGAGGCAGCAAGAAUUGGGGAAGCGGAGCUUGCUAAUAAGAUGAAAAAAGAAACUGAAAACCAAAGCAACAUCCUUGAUUAUAUUUCUGCCGUUGCAAACAAAGUACUGCGUUGGAAGGUCUAUUGUAGAGCUUCUGGCCGACAAAAAUAUACACAUAAUACGAUUUCAUUGCGACGGAUAAAAGUAGAUUGGGCCUCCUAUGGAUGCUGCAAAAGCUACCAGAGCUCUCUAUGACACCUGGAGCAAGAGACCUAUAGCUGCGAGUCAGAUUCAAACGCACUUGCCUCGUGUUCGUUGUAUAUUGCAAGACUCAUGGAUAUACUACAGAACCGAUCCGUAUUAUAAAUUGUUUGAUUGAUGUGCCGUGAGUUUGGUCUCGAAUCUUAUUUCUUUAUAGAGAUGGCAUUAGGUAAAGUAGGCCGUCAGCUCAUGCUCCUACGAUAGUAUUUCAAAAGAGAUGCUCACAUUAUGGCUAGGAAAAAAAUCCUAUAAAUUCUCGCAAAAAUUAUAAUGGCUCUGUUUAUAUCCGCUUAUUUCCCGCUUAUCGGUGGAAAUAAGCCAUAAGCCCACCCAAACGCUUUGAUUAUUUCCCUUUUGCUACGUAAGCCGCUUAGUGCACAAGCUGGGAAACAACUGGCGUCCGGCUUAUCCUGUACGCGGGCCGGGAGACGCUUCUCCAAUAAGCGAACAUAUUUUCCCCCCCGCUACCCUCACCCACCGACGCCUCCAGCCGUCCGCCCCCGCGCCUCCCGCGACCGCCGCCGGCUCCCGUCCGCCGCCAGUUCCCGUCCACCGCCGCCGCCCCUGCAGCCGACGCCGCGGCCGCAAAUCCCAUCACCGGGUGCCGUCCGCCGGGCUUGGCCCCCGCCGCCGGGCUUAGCCCCCGCUGCCGGGCUUGGCCCCUGGCGGCUUGGCCCCCGCCGCCGGGCUUGCUUGGCCCCUGCCGCCUUCCUCCUUUGCCCGCCUUCCUCCGCACCCUCACGGAGCACCAGGACUCCAUUGCAGGUUGGUCGCCGCACUUGCCGCCAAGACAAUUGCUACUCUAGUCUUGCUGCUCUUUGUUCAUUGUUUGUUCUUGCAGUAUUAUUGAAGUGCAAAAUCGGGGGAUUACUGUUGCUUUGGUUCUUGCAUUGUCAUCACUUGCUCUUAAUGCCGCACCCUUUGCUUGUUUAUGAAUAAAGCAAGUUCAUGUGUUAGAAGCUGCUUUAACUAGUUAUAUGAAAUUCGUAGUGAUUAAAUCUUAUUUCAUUGUACUAACUCUUUCAAGACACAACGGUAUUAGUUGUUAUUACUCCAUUAGAGAGGCCUCAUUCAUUGCUCUUGCUCUUCUGUUCAAUUUAUGUUCAGUAUUACAAUAAAAUUUCUCCAAUUGGUAAAGUCAGUUCCUUUUCACUGUGUUUAUGCUAAUCGAUGCAUACUUGUGGCUUUGUCUCUCUGUUCUGCUUUGCUACCGUACUGGUACUGUCUUAGGAAUGGUAAUACUACACAUUACUAUAGUAGUAAGAAUUUAGUUUAUCAUGCGUUAUUUUCUAUCAUUAACUGUACAGGAUACUACAGGAUAUAUUGUAAAGUAUUUGCUAUUCACAUGGGAUACUACAUAAUACUUGCAAAGUAUCUUGAUAGUGGAAUUGUAAUGAUCAUCCCCUUGAGUGGUCUAAUGUGUGUAGGGCCAGUACAGGCACUGCAUUGUUUCCUUCUGUGUAGGUACUUGAAGAUAGGUCGAAAGUGCCAAUGCAUUAAUUUGAUGUCUUAUAGGAAGUUGACAAUAGGCGGUUCGAAUGAAGUCAUUAAUUUAUUUUAUGUUCUGAUGAUUCAACAUAAUUACAUGGAGAACCAAGCCACUGUUAAUUUUUCUACGUAGAUUAUUUAUGAACAAUGUGGUCUUUGUCAGUAAACAAGCUUGUAGAUUUGUAUUUAAUUCUACAAUACUGUAAUCAAAUUUUAGAUGGGAAAGUCGUCAAAGAUUGUGGCAAAAUGGGAUUCAUUUGCCGCGAAAGCUUUCAAUGACAUUUGUGUGGAAGAAGUACUUGCUUUCAAUCGACCGCAGCAAUGUUUGAAUGCAGUGGGAUAUGCAAACUUUAUUAAAAAGUUUUAUGAGCAUACCAAGAGGCCAUACGGUGAGAGUCAAAUGAAGAAUAGGUGGGAUAUAUUAAAAAAUGUAUACCCAAUGGAAGACUUUGAACUUGAGAGCAACCGGAUUGGGAAGAGAUCCUAUUACUGGUUGUAUUGUGGUUGACGAUGAAUGGUGGGAAGAACAAAAUAAGGUGAGCCCACUAACAAUCCUACUAGAGAUAUAGUUCACAUACACGUUGUUUGUUUUUUUUUGAAUAGAAGGUAUAAUAGCAUGCUGUUUUGGUGAUAUUUUACAGGCUAUGCUAGGUUGUAUCCGGUUCAGAACAGCCCCGCUUGAAUAUGAGGAUCAGAUGUGAAUCAUGUUUGAAUCUGUCAUUGUUACAAAUGAAACUUCAUAUGUUCCAAGUGGUGAUGGAAACGUUGAUGUUGAUGAACAUGAUGUUGUUGAUGAUGGGGGCAACAGUGAUAGGGAGGCACAUAAGGCCCCAUCCAGUUCUGAGUGGAGGGCUCCAAAAAGGUCAGCUCCUAGUUCCCCUAAAGGAAAGAAGAAGAAGACUUUUAGAGACCAGUACAUGAAGCGUUUGGUCGAUGCAUAUGAGUUGAAAGCUCAAAGUAGUAAACAUUCAGCUACUUCACAAGUUGUUGAUCACGUUAGAGAUGAGAUUGGAAGUAUGUUGGAGCAAGUCAUUAAGGAUGGGGCUGAGGAGGGGAGUGAUGAACACUUCUAUGCCACACAACUUCUUCAAAAAAAGGAGAACCGUGAUGUGUUCAUUACAUUGAAGACACCAAAUGGGAGGUUGAAUUGGCUGAGGAGGGCUUGGGAGAUAAGGAAGAAGCACUAGGGUGUUGCAUUAGUGUGCCAUUUCUCUUAUGUUGUGUGAGACAUAAAUUCAAUUUUCUAAGUAUGCUGUGUGAGACUAUGAACCUUCUAUUAGUUGUGUUGUAACAAUAAAAAUUUAUCUGAUGACUUGGUUAGUGCUUUUUGACAGGCUUGCAUUUGUUUUGAUGAGUACCUCUAGUGCAACUAGUGAAUGUGAAGGCAACAGUGAUUAUGUUCAUACCAUGGAUGUUGAUGAAUCUGAUGAUACUAAUGAUGAUUACAUAGUGGCAAUGCUUGAUUUGGACUACAUGGCAUCAUCUGGUAUGAACAAGAAGAAGAUUACUACUACGAUAGUAAGGAUGACUGGAAUACAGUGGGUUGAGUUGCAACUACAAGAUCCAGUGGAGUGCUUUAACAUGUUCAGAAUGAGGAGGUCAGUUUUCUUAAGCCUUCAUGACACUUUGGUGCAAGAUUAUGGAUUGAGAUCAAGUAGAUAAUUUUGUAGCAAGGAAGCACUAGGAAUGUUUCUAUGGGCUUGUGGUGCACCUCAAUCUUUUAGGCAAUGCAAGAAUAAUUUCCAUCGCUCAUUAGAAACUGUGAGUAGAAAAUUUGAAGAGGUUCUUGAAUCUAUCAUGAGAUUAGCUGUUGACAUGGUGAGGCCUAAGGAUCCACAAUUUUCUACUAUUCAUCCUAAACUACAAGAAGCAAGGUUUUGGCCUCAUUUCAAAGAUUGCAUAGGAUCAAUAGAUGGUACCCAUAUACCCGUAACUGUGCCAUUAGCUGAUCAACCGAAAUACAUUGGUCGGUAUGGGUAUCCUUCACAAAAUGUCAUGGCGGUAUGUGACUUUGAUAUGCGGUUCACAUUUGCUGUCACUGGUUGGCCUGGUUCUGUCCAUGAUACUCGUGUAUUAUUGGACACGCUUCUCACAUACAAGGAUCAAUUUCCACAUCCUCCCGAUGGUAAGAACGAGUUAUGUUGCAAUUUAUUUUUCAGGGAAUAUUUUCUCAUUGUGAUAUAACAUAUAAAUAUAACAUGCAGGUAAGUACUAUCUUGUUGACUCUGGAUAUCCUAAUAGAAAAGGAUUUCUUGCACCCUACAAGGGAUAGAGGUAUCAUGUUUCUGAAUGGUAGCAUGGUCAGCAUCCGGUAGGAUUGAAAGAAGUGUUUAAUCAUGCACAUUCAUCCCUUAGAAAUGUGAUUGAGCGAUCAUUUGGAGUUCUAAAGAUGAAGUGGCACAUUCUCUUAAAUUUGCCCAGUUAUCCGGUUAACAAGUAGUCGAAAAUUAUAGUUGCUUGUAUGGCCCUUCACAAUUUCAUCAGAGAUAGUGCCGUAUAUGACGUGCAUUUUGAAGAGGAUUUUGAGGAAGAUGAUGGUAAUCCAACCCAACCUAGCACAGAUGGUGGUGGUGGUGCUUUAGGAGAUGACAUUGAUAUGGGUGCAUUGCGUGAUGCUAUUGCUGUCGUUAUGGUUUCGUGAUUCGUUGUUGUACCCAUGAUGGAUGUUUCCAUACUAGACCGAUCUAUCAUAUGAAUUUCAUAUUAUUGUAAUGUAAUUUCUAUUUAACGAACUCCAAAGGCAUUAGAAUUAUUAUCUUCUCCUCAGAUUCACAAUAAAAAUGAGCUAUUAUCAGCCUUAUGGGCAUUCAGGUUAAUUUACCAAUUAGGACAGACAAUCGACACAAAAUAAUCAGGAUUGCCAAACACCCUGCUUAUUCAGACAGCAGGCUUAUCAGAUAAGCUUGCUUGCCAGAUAAGCGAGUUCCAGAAAAGCAUAUAUAAACAGGGCCAAUAUCUAUCUAUCAAUUCGAUAGGCUCUAAUCCUUAUUGAUUAUAGUAGCUAUUAGAUCUAUUAUAUUAUAAAAACAUUUACCCUCCUCUACAAUUACAAAACUAAUAUAACUAAUAAGCUAAAUAAAAAUAUCUCAAAGUACACCAACAAUAUACGAUUCUAAAGCACUUUAUUUUUCUCGUUAUUAAUAUAUAAAACAAUAACUUAAUACAUAUAUGUGUGUCACUAUGUGCUACCAAUGAUCUCUAUGACCCUCUAAAAGAGAAAUGUAUAGCUGAAAAUCAGAUUCAAACACACUUGCCUACAGGAUCGAGGAGGUACACUGCUAAGACUCGAUCGAUACUACAUAUCUGAACAGUAUUAUAAAUUGCUUGACGUGACAUAUACUUGCAGUGAGUUUGUCUCAGAUCUUAUUUCCUUACAGAGACGACAUUUGGUUAGAGACGCAUUAGCUAAGCCAGCACCUAAGCCCAUAAGGCCGUAUAAUUUUGAGAGACAUAAACAUUUCAAAACUACGUAAUUUAAAAACAUCUUACUACUACUAAUUGAAAAUUUCUUUAGAUUCUCCACUUUAAUUGUCACCCGACGAGAUAGGAAAAAAAUAUAAAUGCUAAAAGUUCACAUAAAAUAAAAUUAUAUAUGCUCAUAAAUUCGGUACACUCUAAUCACCAUAGCCAUUGGAUCUAUUACAUCUUUAAAAGAAUUAUUCCUAUAGCUACAUAUGCCAUUAUGAAAAAUAUAUAGUACCCCUAAAUUUUAUCUAAAUUACUCACGUCUGCUAUUAUGAGAAAAAAAUUUAAAGGAACCCUAAAUAUUCAUCACCCACUUAUGCCCAACACGUCCUGGGAGCUAGGAUGGAGCGCGGCAACGCCUCAAUUGGGAGGAGGCUGGUGAGCACUUCUAGAAAACUGGUGCAGGGGGAGGGAACAAGAGCAGGAUGCGCACGGGAAUCGAGAAAUUAUGGGCAACUUCUUAUGGGGUGUUUAGGAGGAGGGGGCUAAAUUUUAGCCCCCGUCACAUCGAAUGUUUGGACACUAAUUAGAAAUAUUAAACUUAGAUUAAUUAUAAAACUAAUUACACAACCCCUAGGCUAAAUCGUGAGACGAAUCUAUUAAGUCUAAUUAGUUCAUGAUUUGACAAUGUGGUGCUACAGUAACCAUUCACUAAUGAUGGAUUAAUUAGGCUUAAUAGAUUCGUCUCGCGAUUUAGCCUAGGGGUUCUGCAAUUAGUUUUAUAAUUAGCUUAUGUUUAGUCCUCCUAAUUAGUAUCCGAACAUCCGAUGUGACAGGGCUAAAGUUUAGCCCUCUCCUCCCAAACACCCAAUAUAUGCCCAAAUAGCACUACAAGAAACACAUGUUCUGUUAUAGAUGAACUACCAUAUUCUAAAGCAAGUUAAUUGCGUACUAUACGUGAAACAUCCAAAAUGGAGCUAGCAUAGGACUAUGAACAUAGAGAGAACAUUUCCAACAGUUCUACCUUAUCAUUUUUUUCAUCAUUAGUUGCUUUAGUUUCAUUGUUGCGCAUGUCCAUUUGACAUUCUUAAUUUGAGUAUCCAACCAAAUCACUUCAUUGACUAAUUAUCAGUUAAAUUAAGGCUAUGAAGUUUGAUACUGAGCUAACUCUAGUGUCUGAUUUUUGUUCCAGCGAUAGAAAACUCAAUCUUUUGUCUAUCUAGUAUUUGGUGCUUGUUAGGUCGCUUGCCUAUCUAAAAUUUAUCUAGCACUUCUGUUCAUUUAUAAAACCUUAUGUAUGUUUCUUGGAGUCCAACAAUUGAAAGCUGUCGUGUACUUAUAUUUUUUAAUGUAGUUAAUGGACGGUGGAGGAAUCUUUAAAGGUUCAAAGAAGUGUUACUGUGUCUCUGGAGGGCUGCAUGGUGUUGGCUUGUUGGUCGAGAAAAUAGUCACAACCAUGGCUUUAGUCUUGAUUUUGGCCCAACCAGUCCGUGCUGAUAUGUUUGACGUUUUCAUGUAUGUGUAUUAUGCCUUUAUUUGAUAACAUAGUUAGCAAGUAUUAUAAGAGUUGCCUUGUUUGUUGGUAUUAGCCAUUAGGGAUACUAUCAGAAUACAUGUCCUUUGCUACGAUGAAUUUUUGUUCUUUUGAAAAUCGCGACCCCCAACCUGUGACGCUGGUAGUUUAUCUAAGAUGUUAAAUUAGUUUUGAGGAAAUAUUGAAUCUAAUUAGAAAGAAAGGUUUCUUGUUCCAAUUUUGUUUGGAAAAAUAACCAUCAGUUUGCAAAUUAGAAAUGUGGAAGCCUAUAUAUUAUUUUGCAAAUUAGAAAUGUGGAAGCCUAUAUAUCAUUUUGCAAAUUGGAAAUGUGGAAGAAGACGUCGGUUCCAAAUUUUAAAUAUAUAUCUGGCCCCAAAGAGCACUGCUUGUUUUAUUUGGACACGCGGUAAAAUUGGACAGAGGAUUGGGUCACUAUAGGAGAGGUAUUUUUUUAACUUUGUAUCUAAAAUCCGUUAUUGGGAGUAUUUUUUAGGCACACUUGGAGAUACUCUUUGACUAUAGGUGCAGAUUCCACUCCAUGACCCCCCAUACAUAUGUAUGUCGUGAACUUUGCUAAUUAUGGACUUUAGGUCGUGAUGGCACUUUCAAAAGAUGUUGGAGCCUUGGAGGCAUCACUAAUAACUCGUCUUGACAAGGAUAGUAUCAUGCGUAAUAACUAGAUGCCACCUAGCUAUUAUAUGUUAUCAUCUCACUCGAUCUGUUCAUGUUUUUAAAAGUUGAUUUGCAUCUGGUUUAGUACCCAGCAUUGGGUAUGUAUCUGUUCCCAUUGAUGAGUUGAAGGCAUGGAUCAGCGUUGAACAAAACGAGCAUUGGCUGUAUGUAUCGGUUCCCAUUGAAUCAGCGUCGGCAGAUAAAUGUGCGGUGGCAAGGUUCCUAGCUCCAGGCAUCGAAUGAAUGAAUAAAACAUAAACUGGAGUCCAUUUCACAAGCGUAGCAACAUUGGAAGCCGUUGGAACAGACAGGGAAUGCAUUCGAUCAUGUCCUCGGCAACAUGCAUUUCCUGCUGUGUUUACUCUACGGAUGAAAAGAAUGUAUAUUGGAGGUGAUGGAUAUGCACAAGUAUACAGCCGGCCAGAUGGAAUAUAUCAUAUAUGUGCCAAUACGAUUCAGGAGGACAGAGGUGGGGAUUCCUCCUCAAUCUCGUCCUUUGUCUGUCCCUCCGUCCUCCAAGCUCGCUUCCUCAAUCUCGUCCUUGAUCUGUCUUCCAACCACCAGCGUGAAUUGAUCGAUUUUGUAAAUGACGCAAAGUGGCUCAAUAUAACGGAGUAGUGCGUGGACAAAAAAAUGUUAAAUAAUCAUAUAAAAUAGAUCCAAUUGUAGACAAUGUGACAUGCCUGCCUAUUAAAUGGAUUGCCCAACAAGGCAGAAGGGGCAGUUUCCUCUGCUCGUGUAGUAUUAGCCAAAGCAAGCUUGUUCGCAGUCAGAAAACGCCAAUGUCAUUUGCACGGAACUCCCCAUCUACAUCUACAUGAUCAUACAAGUUGCAGUACAUACAACCUAACAGUAAAUAAAUACACGCCAAAACAGUAAUUUGGAUGAAAAUUCUGAACUUGAGAUGGAGACACAUAGUACCGUAUAAGGUGAAGUUGCUAUCCUUUUUGUCCCGCAGUACAAGGGCGGGGCACUUUGCUGCUGGAUCAAUGUGGAACCGCUUAGCAAUAUCAGAACUUAAAGUCAGGUAAACUCCGACACCAUUUUCGAUCUUGGAUGCAAUAGCAACAAGCUCAUCAUAGUAAGAAUCCUAUAGUAUUUGGGGGAAAAAACAGUUCCAGGAAUUAAAAUAGCCGCCUAAGGUGCAAACAUGCAAGUUCAUUAUGUACCAUUGUAGCUCUCUCUCAGUCUAGAGACCUGGGUUCGAGCCCUGCAUCUUCUUAGGGCACUCGCAAUGGGUGACGUUAGUCUCUCUGCAAACCUCCAUGUAGGAAAGAGGAACGAGGAGAGAGAAUGGCGAGAGCCGCUAGCAUGCACUCUAGUGCUGAGCGGGCCCACCACGUGCUCAUCCUUUCUCCUCUCUUUCUUCCUUUGCCUCGCGGUCGUCGGAGAGCGCUGGGGUGGAGGCAGAUCAUGGCAGCGAGGCGGAACGGGGGCCUAGCAUGGGCGACUUCCGGCGGAUGAAGGCAGUCCUCCUCAAAUUUCAGGUCUCAUAUUACCCCCGAGAAGUCUAUCCUACUUGUCCAGACCUUCCCAUGCCGACUCUACAACACCACCCCACGCCCUCCUCGUGUAUGGGACCAAACCAAGAGGGUGUUGAGAUAAUGAAAUCAAUAUUUUAAGCAAUGAAUAGUGUAAAAAUAUCUCAGCUAGCUCUAGGUGAAGAGCUAAGUUCGCAUAUCUGCUGAUGCUCUUCUCUUGCACUGCACCAGCCUCGAGGUGUCCUCUUGUCUAAAUUACUUUUAUUUUUCUUUCCCAUAAACUAGCAGCUAUCUUAAAUUGUUGGAGACGUCCACGCAAUACCCCACGCAAUACUUGGACAGAGCAUGCGCCAGUUGCGAUUCGCCUCUCUUUCUUUUGCUCCUGUUCCUCCUGAUGAUGCAGCUACUUUUUGUAAACAACCUGCUACUGCUGCGGCUGCUUUUUUCAAAUAACUUGUAUCUGUUUCCCUGCAACCUGUGCGCUCCUCUGCCUUGCUCAAGGUAUAUAUCCUGCUGCUCCAGCUCCUGCUCUGCUAGUUCGCGUAACCAUGUCUCGCAACGUACCACAUCUACACAGCAAUGGAUCAUACUGACAACAGUAGAAGAGUGGCAUUAUUACAUAGUAGCAGUAGUGCAGUACAACAUAAAUUUGAGCGGCAACAGUAGACGAGUGGCAUUAUUACAGGCUGAUUGCAGUACUCAAGCAAUGAAACAGACAAGCCAGUAAGGUAAACAGGAUGCACGUCCUCAGCAACAUGCAAUUCUUCUGUUUUUAUUCUACGGAUGAAAGAAACAUUAUAAGAUACAGCCGGCUGGAUGGAGUUUAUAUGUAAAUAGGAUUGAGGAAUCACGACUGCUAUGGGAUUUCCAAUAAUAUUUCAACAUAGUCCUCGUUCUGUUCAUCAGUCUCGUCCUUAUCGGUCUGUCCUCCGCGUCGUCGCUUCUUGUUCACAGACAAAAAAUCGGCAAUGGCAUAUGCACGGAACGGCCCAUCUACAUGACACAUAUACCAUUAUUACAUGCAACCCAGCAGUAAAUACAUGCCAAAAAGUUGAGGAAAAUUCUGAACUUGAGAUGAAGAACACACGUACCAUAUAUGGUGAAUAACUUCUCCUCCUGUUUCUUCAGCAGCACUAGACACGGGCGCUUUGCUGCUGGGUCAAUGUUGAAUAGCUUAGCAGCAUCAACACUUGUAGUCUGGUAAAAGCUGAGAUCAUCUUCCAGCUUUGAAGCAGCGGCAAGCUUAUCGUUGUAAGGACCCUGUCACAUUUGGGGGGAAAAAUAAUUCCAAGAAUUAAAAUAGACUUCGAUGUCUAAACAUACAAGUUCACCAUCUACUAGUUCUUGCUCAUCCUAGGUCGUCUUCAUCGUCCUUCACCCCAUGGAAAGUUACUAUAAUAACAUAUCCAAAAAUGAGUGUGGUUUCGUUCGGGAUCUUACUAUUACUAAUUGGAGGCUCCUUUUGAAACCUCCAGGUGAAGCCACCUAGGACUCCAGGUGAAGCCACCUAGGAUUCCUAGGUGGACACUCUAGAAAAAGAGAAAUCCUAGAAAUUCGCACAAAAAAGCAAAACACCCGACCAUCAAUCCAUAGAUUCAAAUCAUCAUAGCCAUUGGAUCUAUUAUGUUUUCUAAAAAAAUUACCCACCUAUGCCAUUAUGAAAAUAGCAUAAAAUAACCCCCUAAAUCUAUAUAUAAAUUACCCACCUCUGCCAUUAUAUAAAAUAAACUAAAGUAACCCCCUAAUCUUCAUCAAAAUUACCCACUUAUGCCAUUAUAAACAAUAUUUAAAAUAACCCCCUAAUUUGCAACUAAAUUGCCUACCACUAUUACUUAAAAAACUUAAAGUAACCCCUUAAAUUUGCAUCUAUAUUACCUACACAUGCCAUUUAUUAAAAAUAACAUGAGGUAACUCUACGUUUGAAUCAAAUAACCUUAAUUAAAAAUAUAUAGCAAUAUAUUAUUCUAAAUCGUUUAUAUUUUGCACUAUUGGUAUACGAUAUAAAAUUAAGGAUACGAUAUAAAAUUAAGGUCUACACGCAUGAGGUGUGUCACCAUUUAUAAGGAUAUAAAGUGAUGAGAAUAUAGAUUUCUAUGCUAAAAUUGUAUCUCAAACUUAAGGUUCAUUAAACAAAUUUAAGCGCAUACCUACGAUGCAAAGUGAAAAAUUAAAGAUUAUAAAUGUGGAUGAAAAUAUUAUAGAGUAAUUACUAACUAAAAUCUAUCACAAUUGGAUGAAUAUUUAACAAACGAGAGCUAGCUUAUGGUAAUAGUUUUUUAGCAAUGUAGUCUCAUUUUUUUCCAUUGGAGGCUCCGCGUUAGUUCCCACGAGACAAGCUAGAAAAAAGAGACAAAUUAUCAUAAAAAUUAAAAAUGUCAAACACUAUUAUAUUUUCUAAAAAGUUACCCACCACUAUUAUUGUGAAAAUAUUCAAAAACGAGCUCUAAACGUAUAUUUCAAUUAUUGAGCUUAGCUAUUAUAAAAAAUAAUCUAAAGUAACUCCAUAACCUUCAUCCAAUUUACUAAUACACAUCAUUAUAAAGUAUAACUUAAAAUAUCAUUCUAAAAUUUUAUUUAUCUAUGUUAUCCACGUAUGUCGUUAUUAAAAAUAACCUAAAGUAAACACCUAAAUCUUAAUCUAAUUAUGUUCAUGUGCAUCAGAAAUAUCAAAAAGUAAAUUAAUAUAUGAUUUUAAAUUACCUAUUUAUGUCAUUAUUAAUAUAAAAAUACUAAGUUAAAGUAUAUACACAUGAUGAGUGCCACCAUUUAGACCAUUUAUACAUGUAUGUGAGGAAUCGAUGAAAAAUAUUGAUUUGUAUGCUAAACAUAAUGUAUGGAGGAUUGGAGGUGUGAUACAAAAUAGAAAAAAUAUGAAUAUGGAUGAAAAAGUGCAUUGAGUAAUUAUUAAUUAAAAACCAAUCACAACUGAACAAAGAUAGGUACAUAUCUAUAUAAGUAUUAUGUUGAAAUAUUAAAAAAUAAGAGAGUAGUAGGUAAACAAUUUUGAUUAUUAGCUAGGAGUUUAAUUUCUAAAUAAUUUUUAAAUACAAUAGCUUCUAAAAAUAUUAGCCCAUGCGGGAGCACGGGUUGAUGGACUAGUGCACUUAAUUAGUAUAGCAUGCAUCAUCAUUUUUUUUAACUGAAUACUAAGUGGAUUUGAAAAGGGAAAGGUUGAGCAGGAAUUUCACACAACAAAGAAAGGAAGUAGUAUUUGGCUGCAUUGCAUUAGGGAUCGGAGUAGGGUUUGCAGAUGACAGGCGAUGGCAUUACCGAAGAGGCGAAGAAUAUUAAGUAAUAAUGCAAAGAAGAGAGAGUAAGGGAUGGUACGUAUAGGGAAUCGAGGAAGGCGAUGACGGCUUGGUCAUCCUCGGCGAGUAUUCUCUUAGCGUCAUCGAUGGUGAUGAUGUUCUGCGGGCCCUUCGGAACUUUGGUAGUGCUGGUACUGUUCCAUUCUUUCCACUCGCGGAUGUCAAGGUGGUAGAGCAAGGCCCAGAGAUGGGUGAUGAACUCACCACCACGCUGGAGGUGCCGCAUGUGCGCCUCAACAUUGCCAUAAGGCGCGGCGUAGACCAACAUCCGGACCCACAUAAGCGCCAGCGUCUCCCAGUGGUCCGGGCGACUUAUACCUUCAACAAGCGGAGGAUCAUCACUGAGAAGCCGCUUUGCUAGAUCCACGCCAUCCAAAAUAUAAGGAUCCUCGGGGUACUGGUCUAUCCAUUUAGCUUUUCCUUGGGAUAUUGAAUAAGAUGCUUGAUCUGUCCAACUUUUAGGGUCUGACAGUGCCUCGAGGAAUGCAUCCUUCUCCUUGUCCAGAGAUAUGCUUGCCGACUUCGCAAAGUCAUUGUAGGCGCGCUUCGUCGCCAGGGCCGGCCCAGGAAGUAACUCUGGCGCUGACACCACUAAGUAAGCGCAAUACUUGGAUAGAGCAUUGGCCACGCGCCGAUUCCGAUUCUCCUCCCUUUCUCCUCUUCCUCCUCCUCCUGCAUCUUUUUUGAAACAUCCUGCUAUUGCUGCAGCUGCUUUUUUCAAAUUACUGGUAGCAGUUUCCCUGCAGCCUAUGCGCUCCUCCGCCUUGCUCAAGGCAUCUUGCUUCUCCAGCUCCUGCUCUACUAGUUCGCAGUACCAUGUCGCAAUGUGCCACUGCAUUAUAUACUUCGUAUAUUUGUAACCAUGCGAAUUCCAGUAAUCCUGAGGUGUAUUUGUGCCAUCAUCGCGGAAGGGAAGGUCUAUGCUAAUUGGAUGCUUUUUACGAAAGGAUAACCAAUUCGUAUCUACUCUGUCGGUCUUGAUCUGAUGAAGAAAAUCAAUAACGUAACCCUUCACAUCAUCGUCCAACCUGACGGUGGUUCUUUUGUUGGUGUCGCUGCCCAACAAGUCCCAGAGAACCUCCCCGAUGUAGUCCAAUCCGAGCACCUUGACCAAGCGAUGAGAGCAUUUCUGGUAAAGAUGGCGAACCAUGGAUGUUAAGCUGCUAAGUAACUUGUUCUCAGUCCUGCUUCUCCCUUCACCCUCUUUUUUCGCGGUUAAUCUCCCUUCAGGUAGUAGUGAAUACUGGCCGAUCUUUUCUUGCCACAGGUACUUGUCAAACCAAUUACUGCUGGUAGCCACAAAAGCUUUCAAUCCCAUCCACCGUCGCAACCAGUAUGGCGUCUCGUUUUCUCUGAACCCAUCUAUACUGUUUCUAUCCGCGGUGAAUACUUGGUUCCUGGCAUACGCGCAGGCAAUAGCCACCCUUGCCCAGUUUGAUGUCCAGCACCUAAUCAAGUGCAUCAACUGCAACAGAGCCAGGGACACCAAUAUGACAAAAGUGACAACAAGAUCUGCAGUCGUGGUGCCCACAACGUUGAUGCAACCACCAGGACCAGAAGCAAUAUGACGGCUACUCAAUGUCCCAGGAAUGGCAGCUGCUACCCCCACAAAACAUAUCCCAAUAAAUGAAGCCAAUGCCCAUAAACUAGCAGUUUUCGCCUGGUAGUAGUGAAGGAAUGGAUUACCAGUGAAGAAGACAUCGAACAGAAGAGCCAACUCAAUCUCAAUCACCUUCAAGGCCCAGUUGCAGUCAAUGUUCUUCAGGUUUUGCGGAUCUUUCACAGGAUAGCUCAACCCAAGAAAAUGCCGUUGCAACCUAUGAGACAGAAACAUGGCAACGCACACAUCGUAACAGGGCUGUAGCCACUCAUACUUGUUUCUCCUUAAUACCACUUCUAUUAGAUCCAAAGUGACACCACCCCUCCCAUUAAUGUAAAUUCCAAAAUCGACGAUCAUAUUAGAUCGUUCAAUUGGAUGUAUGUCGGGAUUAUUUUUUAAAACAUAUGUUUGCUCCGGACCUUUAUGCAUAGUUUGAACCAUGUUUCGCAUUCUGCUUUGUUGCAUAAGAGCCAGUGACCUAUGAAAUCCCUUGAUGAAAGUGAUGGCAGCUAGCCCGCCGAUGGCCGUGUUACCAACAACACUGGAGAUGGUUGAGAUACUCAUCAGCAAGACAUAUCCACAAUUGAGGAAAAUCCCAAAUACCACCUUUGAGAGCGGGCCCUUGUAGUCAAGACCGUUGUACGCGGUGACUGGAUCAAUGCAGCCAAAAAGGGUGAACAAAGACACUGUCCAUAUGGGAUACAUCUCGCUCUUCACCGACGAAGAUUGCAUUAGACCAAUGCUGUAGGUCCCAAGAGACAGAGAUAAUACAUGUGCAGCAAAAAAGCCCUUUUGGACUAUCCAGCGAUUGGACCAGCGACGGCAUGACCCAAAAGCAGCAAGGAAGAAAGUGAUGAGAAUGGCCACAACUGCCAAUGCCUGGAUACGGAGUACUGUCCCCCUUGGGCUGUUCCACAGUUCUCUUAGAUGAUGCAUGGAGGUUACUGACGUUGUAUUCCCCAAGUGCUGCACCAUAUUUCCCAUGCGGCGAUAAUCCACCUAAAUAGGACAACACGCGUGCUAUAAGGAAGGGUGAUAACAUAUAUAGAUAACCACAAAAAUCUUUUAUAUAUGGUCAAUUGGCCAUGCAUGUCUGCCUGCACGGAUGAGCCGACAGGGAUAGAUUUUUCUAUAUAGUAAUGCACUAACAUGUGUUGUAUGUUUUGCUAAUUAAUUGUGCAAACUCACGGGGACCUCUAUUUUGACCUCUCUUCAUACUUCCAGCAAGCAACUCAAUAUUAAGAUAUAUAAGGAAGGGUGAUAACAUAUAUAGAGGGUUUCAGGAAUAUAACAUGAGAAAAAGCAGACUUAUUAUUAGCGCCACUAGUCCAUCACCACGUGCUCUUGCAUGGUUUAAUAAUUUCAAGAGGAAUGAGUAGUAGAAAUUCAUAAAAAAAAAUUAAGAUCCAUAGACAAUAACAAAAAUUGUCUCCCUUGUGUGUGUGCUCUCUCUCACUUGUUAAAUAUUGUAACUCAAUAUUUAUAUAGAUAUGUACUUACUUACACGUUAUGGUAGACUAUAGUUAAUAAUUGAUCUAUACACUUUUCAUCCACAUUUAUAGUUAUUUUCACUAUCAAUCGCACACCUCCAUAUGUGUUUAAGUGAACCCUUAGUUUGAGCACUGUGUUUAAAUGGAAAUAGGUGUUCUCCUCGCUCUCUCCGUACAUAUGUACAUGGUUUAUAUGGUUACACACAUCUUUGUCACACCCUAAAAUUUCCAUGCUGAGUUGAGAAUAGAUAACACCAAAUAAAAUAAAGGGUUUUCUAGUUUCUUUAGAACUUUCCAACCUUUAGUUGUUUAUUACUAUCAACUAGGAUAGAGAAAAUAAAAUUUUCAAAUCAACAGUUGCAGGGUGUUGCAUUCAUGUUGCCUCUGCAUGGUAUUUAUGUUUGAAAAAUUGAUUUCAAAAUUCAAAUAAGAUGAAUGAUACCACUAAUUACAAAAGGCUAUUUUUUAGAAAUGAUUUUCAAAAAUAGAUUUUAAUUUAUUUUCCAAAUUAAUUUAUGACAUCACACAACCUUUUUUGAAUUAAUUUGUAUUCGAAAUGUCAAAUUUGCAUUUUAACUCCCCAAACUUCAAAAGCUUAUAGGGAUUCUAAGGACUGGUUCUUGAAGCCUGUAAUCCAGCUUAACAACACAACAUCAUUAUGGCUCUGGACCUGAAUAAUUCAUUAGCUUCCCAAUUAUGUACAUUAAUUGUCAGAGAGGUUGCACGUGGCAAGCAAUGUACAAGAAGGGGGCCUAAAUUGACAAAUCCGUAGUAGGUGUACAGAUUGAGAACCACACCUUUUUAAAAGUCUUUAAGUGUAACCUUGGCUGAUCACUCGCCAAUGUGAAGUGAAAUGGGAUCAUGCCUCAUGGAUAAUGAUGUGCGACCUUUUCAUAUUGUAAAAUUAAUAUAUCAAAUGUGCUCACGGUCAAGAGCUUCUUAUACUUCUUGUCAGAAGCGGUGCUUAGGUUGGUUGGUUUGGUAGUAGUUUGCACAUAUGGAUUUCUAAGGGUUAAUUAUGGAUUAGGUGGUGAUAAAAUCCAGUAUUUAGAGCUAAGGAUUUUGGAUAAAAAAUAGGAAAUGUUGCUUAAGCAUGUGUUAAACACAAAAGCCCUUCUAAUCUUAUCUUCAUGUCGUUUUUUUACCAAACUUGCGAAGUACAAUUCAUUAUACUCACUCUUUGUUUGUCUCACUGCCACCUGCUCCAUAGACCUCAGCAAUUAUGUAAAAUUCACGAAAGAUGACAACUUCGAUCCAGAUGCUCUGUUCUAGGCUGGUGUACUCGCAGUCUACUGCAUGUGGAGAUAGAGACCCGUUCCGCUAAAUACUAUAAUAUACCCAUGUACAUUUCUUUGGGACACAUGGGUUAUUUUGUAAUGAAGUUUAGCAUUUACGUAAUACUAUAAUAUAAUAGCAAAGGUGGGUAAUUUAGAUAUAGAUUUAGGAUGAUAGAGGUACAGAUUCAACGGAAUUUAGUUCAUUUCAGUAAUUUAUUUGAGAGCUUUUCUUUUUUGAAAACGUGAUAAAUCUAAUGACUACGAUCAUAUAUAGAGCUGAGUCUAUAAGAGAUUGGUGGCUGGAUUUUCUUUUUGAGAAUUUUUAGACGCAUCCUCGUGAGAAUUAAUAAUAUAAAACUCCGAAUGAACUUCGGAAUGGUAAUAGUAAGGUUGGACAGUGCGUUGGUCACAACAGCACUGUCCGAUUCCACAACUAACGGUUUUUUUUGGAUCUGCGCAAUUGGAUCAUGGAAUUCAGGUUGAACGAAAUCUCGACCGUAACCAGAACCCAAAUGAAUAAUAAUAAAAAAGAUAUUAUUGGUACUAAAAAAGGACUUAGCUUGUUAAAGAGAAAAGAUAGCUCCAUGCGUGCUGCCAACAACUCAGGAAGAUUUAUUUCAAACAAAGUGGUGCGUUUUAGGGUCCAUUGCAGGGCUUCUUCCCUCAGACAAAAAUACUUUUUCACUGAGAUAGAUAAUAAGAUAGUUUCGAGUCACGUACCAUGGCUUCGCAGCUUCGCUUUUCUCUUCGAGGCAGAGUUGAGCUUCCCCUGUUGCGCAGGAGACGGCGACUCCUUUCGGAAAGGCUAGAGGCCGGCGACCUCCUUUUGAUGCUGCAGAAGCUAAGACACCUUGAGCAAGAGACGUAUAUAGCUGAAAGUCAGGUUCAAAAGCACUUGUCGCCUCGUGUUCCGUGUAUUGCAAUUGCAAUAUCGAGAUCUGGUCCGUAUUAUAAAUUGCUUGAUUUGCAGGGAGUUUGAUCUCGGAUCUAAUUUCUUUACAGAGACGACAUUAGUUAAACUAGCCCAAUCAGGUCGUGCUUAUGGAGGAAGAACAUGAUGGGCGGUUGAUGAUGUCGAAAAUGUGUAUAUUUUUUUGACUUGACAUGUACCGUCCCAAGCGAGUCCUCAAAGUAUGUUAUCAUCUCACACGGUCGUGCAUCUGAGCUCUUGUUUUCAAUGGUUGAUUGGCACCUGUCUUUGGUUGUUUGUAUCAGUUCCCAAUUGAUGAGUUGAAUAUCGUGAUCGGCAUUUGAAUAUCUCACAACUUGUAAGGUUAAGUUUUUCACACUGUUGACACGACACAACGACCAGAUGUAUACACACUGACACUGGCCGGCUCCCAUGUUAUCGUUACGAGGACUUUUAUUGCAUAUCUCGUGAGCCAAGCUCGAGGAAUCCUUUUGUAUCCCGCGGGACAGGCUCAAUAGCUAGCGCAGGCAACCAAUCAACCUAAAGCUGCAUCCCGAGAGCCUGAUUCGCCUGCCAUGCGGGGAACCAAUCAUCCCCUUAGUGUACUUCUAGCUUCUGCAAGCGAGAGGGACCCUCUCACGUACUGUUCGUUGUUGGCAGUAUGAUGAUUAGCGUGUUUUAGUUCGAUCGAUUUCCAGAACUCACAGUCGAGGAGAUUAGCCCCUGAACUCAGUAAGCUGGUGGACGUUAACCAAACUGCUUUCAUCAAGCAACGGUCUAUUCACGAUAAUUUCAAAUUUGUUGAGCAGGCUGCUAGGACUUUGCACAGAAAAAAGAAACCCUCCUUGCUGAUCAAACUGGAUAUUGCAAAGGCAUUCGACACAAUAAGUUGGCCCUUCUUGCUGCAAGUGUUAGAAUCCAUGAGUUUUGGGCUUAGGUGGAGGAAUUGGAUAUCAAUCCUUAUCUCAUCAGCCUCUACGAGGGUACAGCUCAAUGGAAGACCAGGACCCAUAAUUCAUAAUGCUAGAGGUUUAAGACAGGAUGACCCACUAUCACCAAUGCUCUUUAUUCUCACCAUGGAAGUCCUCAACCGGCUACUGAAGAAAGCUGCCCAGGAUGGUGUCCUUGCCCCACCAGCUGACAAUGCCAUACAUUACCAAUGCUCUAUCUAUGUUGACGAUGUGAUUCUCUUCGCAGCACCAAGUGUUCAGGAUGUCACCACUAUUCAGGAGGUGCUCAGGUUCUUUGGACGAGCAUCUGGACUUCAUACUAACCUGGGCAAGAGCUUGAUAACCCCCAUCUCAUGUUCACAGGAACAGCUCGAUAGAAUUCAGCCUAUCCUACCGAUCCCUAUCUCAGAUUUCCCCAUCCUUUAUCUGGAGCUACCUCUAUCAGUCACGAAACUGAAGAAAUAUCACUUUCAACCUUUGAUUGACAAGGUUUCAGCAAGCAUGCCCGCUUGGAAGGCACCUUUAAUGAAUAAAGCCGGAAGGCUUACCACAGUGAAGGCGGUAAUGAGCUCGAUCACAGUCCAUACCAUCAUCUCUUUGAAAGUUCCAGAAUGGGUAUUGCAGGAAAUCAACAAGAGACGUCGGGGCUUCCUCUGGGCCGGCAAGCCUGCAGCGUAUGGUGGCCAUUGCUUGGUGGCCUGGCCAUAUGUCUGCAGAUCGCUCGCUUAUGGAGGGUUGGGCAUCCCCGACUUGCGCAUCGCAUCGCUAGCCUUGAGAAUGAGGUGGCUAUGGCUGAAGAAAACGGAUCCCGGGCGUCCAUGGAAAUAUAUGCAGCUCGACUUCGAACAGGAUAAUGAUCUGAAAAAACUGUUCCAAGCUUCAAUUCAGGUACAAGUAGGAGAUGGCAACUUAGCGUUGUUUUGGGUCGAUAACUGGAUGGGUCAAGCCUCGCCGUGUACCUUGGCUCCGGAAUUGUGCAACUUGAUCAGGCCACGAAUCAAGAAUCGACGGGCAGUAGCGCAGGGGAUGCACCAAAAGCAAUGGAUUCAUGAUAUUGUCGGACACCUAACAAUAACUGCGUUAACUGAAUACGUCACCUUAUGGCAUCACUUACACCAGGUUCAGUUAAUGCCCGGGGUCGAAGAUUCGGUGACUUGGAAAUGGGAUAUCUCUGGUUCUUACUCCUCUAAAUUGGUAUGCAAGUUCUUCUACAGCACCUCCGUCAAGUUUGCCACAGUGGAACCGAUUUGGAAGGCUUGGGCACCAUUGAAAGUGAAGGUAUUCAUGUGGUUAGCUGUCAAGAAUCGGCUCUGGACAGCUGCUAGGAGGCAGAGGCGAGGAUUGCAAGAUCAUGCGCGUUGUGGCCUGUGUGACCAGGAAUCAGAGACUGCAGAUCACCUCUUCUCCAGGUGCCCAUUCUCUAUGCAAGUGUGGCAUCGAGUCAGUGCAGUACUGAACCUGCACAACGCCAUCCCAGCAAAUGAAGUCGGACUGCUAGACUGGUGGCUCAGCAAGAGAAGCGGUGUCCAUUCCGGACAAAUGAAAGGCUUCAACUCAGUGUUUAUGCUUGUUUCAUGGAAAAUAUGGAAGGAACGCAAUGAAAGGGUGUUUGCAAGAUCACCACCAAAGGAUGCCUCACAACUGCUGUAGGAGAUCAUUCAGGAAGGGCAAAUCUGGUGCGCCUCUGGUGCAAAACACCUAGCUGCCAUAGGCUGGCCGAUACCAUCAGGUGUUUUAGAUCAGCAUUUCUGAUUUCGGCCUUUCUAUGCCAUUUGUGUUGUCGUUGCGGUGGUGUAAUGUAAGCUAAAAUAUGCCUAAACCCGUGUGCAUGCGCCCGGAUAGGCCCGCGAUGUACAAAAACUUUUUUCUUCUUAAUACAAAGAUACGCAGCUCUCCUGCGUAUUCACGAAAAAAAAA